This 124875-nucleotide long non-coding RNA is filed under the name Eucalyptus grandis. Its description in RNAcentral is "long non-coding RNA (EGRA_LNC001690)". The record is from RNAcentral. Lineage: Eukaryota; Viridiplantae; Streptophyta; Magnoliopsida; Myrtales; Myrtaceae.
UGCCAACAAUAAGGCCAAGAAAGGGUGAGACUGUGGGAUAGCUGCUUCGUCUGCAGGUUCCACUGAAUUAAAUAAAGGUUAACCAGUUAAGAUUACCUUAUUGAACCACUGAGUCCUAGAGGUAUCAUGUAAACCAAGGAGCAGGUAUUCAGGCUGAAACAAGCACAUGAUACUAAGUUCACAUUGUUUAAAAAUGAUAACAACUGGUGCCAAGAGGUUAGCAAUUUUUUUUGCUUCUUGUUGACACAAAGUACUGAUGCACCUGAUUGAGAGGACUGAUGUUUCGAGUUUUGGGUUGGGAAGAAGUCCUGAUAAUAAGACCAUCAUUUCAAAGGACCAAAUCUCGAAGCUGUUGCAGGCAAAGAAUCAAACAAAAACAUCAUGAUUGCUUCGAGCUACAGAAUCAUGAAGACCCAUGUCGAUAUUGUACAAGGAAUAGUGUCAGCGUCAAUUAAUAAGAAAAUGUAUCCUUUCGAAGUCGGAAAAAUCACAUCCUGAACAUAAACUAGAAUAAAAAGGUUUGACAGCCCAUUGAUGAUUCUGAAAAAGAAUUAUGACCAUCAUUUGUUUCGUAUACUGUCCCGCAUGUUUUUUAUCUUUUAUAAUAUAGUUUAUGCCAAAAGUGAACUAGGAGAAGCAUAAAAGCUAGAGAAUUACCAGAUCAUGACAGCAGAAGGAAUUGCUAAUUUCAGAAAUUCAGGAAUCCCAUGAAAGGCUUCCUUGGAGAAACCAGUCCAAGUUCUUUUGCAAGACGGUGAAAUUCUAACAUAUAUUGCCAGUAACAGCACGUUUAUCCAGUACGAGAUAGCAUUUGCCAAAGCAGCGCCUUUGUUUCCGAGUCCUGACUUGAACACCAGAAACCAACAUAUGAAAAUAUGCAGGAAGGUGGUGAUUCCUGAACUGACCAUCAUUGGAACAACAUUAUUCUGCGUCUGCAGAAACCUGACGUGGCACUGCAGGAGCGCAUAUGCGAAAAUGCUGGGGAUCAUGAAGCGAGCGUAGGAUCCUGCCUCUGCGGAUAUCUGAGGAUCUUGCUUGAAGAAUAGAAGGAUUUGGCCAGUGUUGGCCCAAAUGAUAGCUAGUGGAAUGCUAGCCAAUAGGAGAACUAUCAUGGCCCUCUGCUUGUGGAUACCAAGCAUGUGGUAUUGCUUAGCUCCAUAAGACUGACCGCAAAAUGUAUCCCAAUGCACUUGCCAUUCCUGUCUGUUAUGGACCAAGCAUCUAUAGAUGGUGGUUGGAGCAAAUUAGUGUUGGAAUUAUCUCAGCUGCUGUUUUUCAGUCAUAUUUCCUCUGUUUUCCUCUGUUUUUUUUUUUAUUAAAAAACAGCCAAGUUCAUUUAGUUAUGCAUUUAGUAUUUUUUGCUAUUUUCUAGGAAGUUAAUAGCACGUUUGUGUGCAGUUAUGUGUUGCACAUACGUGAGCAGUUUCUACUUUGUUUUUAGUUGUUGUACUCGACAGUUUUUUUUUUUUUCGCACAAGACGUAUGAAGUGCUAUGCUCUGUUUUUUUUUUUUUUUUUUUAUCUUUUCUCUCUCUCAAACAACAGAAAUUUUUCUGUUUUGAUUGUUGUUUUUAUGAGCUUUAACAAUUAGACGUCCCAAAAUGAAAUUCAAGAAGUUUGUCACUAUAUCUUAGGAACCCAAAUGAGGUUGCUAGGAGCAUUAGGAGUGUGUGGCCAUAGUUCACUCAACUUAUAUCCGGUUAAGGAAUCUGAACAAGGAAAUUCUUUCAUCUAUUUCAUUUUCGGACUAGGAUCCCCAACAAUCUUUUCUUAAGUGCAGUUAACAAUUGUGCUGAUUUGUGGCAAACACCAACGUUAAGUUUCCAAUCUUGACAUUGCUAAAUCUAGCUAGAAGGGAGAAAAUCACACAUUUAGCACACUGAGCUUAUUGAGAGAUAAUAGAUUCAGUAGAUGAAUCUUUGUCAAACUGCAAUAAUCUGAAAAUGAGCUAAGGUUAAUAGACAGGCAAUCUAUACAUGGUACUUCGAAAGCAGGCCUGCACGCAGUCUUAAUUGAUCCAACAAUUGCUAAACUCUGUUUAUUCAACAGGAAAGAGAACUCCUAUAAUCAUGUCAAUAAUAGAAGUGGCACUAUACAUCUUUCAAGAUAAAUAAUAUCCUGGAAGAAAACUUUCAUAGAAGUGACAUAGUAUGGUGCUACUUUCCAAUUCUUAAAGUCUUUCAUCUCUUAGUUGGUUUAUCUCAAGAUUAAAAGAGGAAGAAUUGUUGGGUCGUACCAACAUACUAAAGCCAGUCACAGAAGCGAAUGACGUGGCCAUGGAAGCCCCGGAAAGUGCUAGCUCUCCAAGAUGACCCACAAACAUCACCGAGAUCACCUGCAAACAAUAUAUCAUCAGGUUCACCGAUACCAAUGGCCCAGCCAAUGACAGUUGCUGCUUUAUUUCCGAGAAAAUCUCAUCUUUCUUGAAUCCAUUUCCCAACGUGGAUGCCGCCUUCUCCCGAGGAACCGCUAACAGGAGUGACUCCAAAUGCUGUUUCUGUUCUUCCACAUCCAUUGAUUGCUUCCUCUGUGCUUUUAGGCUGAGUGAGGGAAGCAGAGGGAAAAAAACAGGGCAAUAGCUUUUUAUAUAUCGUAGAGAUUCUCUCUGCAGAAAACGACCAAGUAACUCGUAUGCUUAUCUUCUCGCAUGUUUGGUGAAGUAGAAUUCGGCAGACUUUGUCGUGUCAGAUUCCUUUCGAGCAUUAAAUGCAACUAAAGUGAACCGAGACAACUUAUGUCCUUUUCACAAAUAUAGUUAAAAAAUCAGCAUUCCUUUUUAUUUUGUUUGAACUAGAAUAUGAAAGUCCACGUAGAUGUCGAGCUUUAAUAUUCGAUCUUCAAUCACUCUCUUGAUUUUCCAAUCAAAAUGAUACACUGAAUGUAAUCAUUGGAGUUUAAGAAAGAAACAGAAAACGACAAGCUUGUCAACAAGGGUGGGCUAGAAAAACGGUAGAAAAGUAGGGCACGAUUACAAAGAAGAAAGAAGGAAAAGGGAAAAGAAAGGAAGGAGAAAAAAGAAGCAAGAGCAUUCGUGCCUACAAGCUUCGGAGACAAGGACAAGACGGAUUAACUCCGUUUCAUAGUGUCUGGAAAGGAGUCGUACUUUUUGUUCAUUUAAUCAGGAGGAAUUUUCGAGAGUUAAGCCCUAAAUUCGGAUUCAUGUGAAUUACGAGUUUCUAGGUUCAAUCUAGGGGUUGUUAAGUUGUGAAAUUAAGUAAAAAUAGUAGUCUAGAAUGUUGUGAAAUUAUGGGAUUUUUCUUUUCAAAGAGACAUGGGAGUUUACAAUGAGGAAUUUUUAAAGUUUCAUGCGAAUUGCUAGAAGUUGUAGCCGGAGGGACAUCUUAAAGGGGAUUGUUAAUCUAAAGAAUGAGAAUGGUAAGAAAAUUAGAGUUUAGUCUAUAGAUGAUGUUGCAACUGUAACAGACUAUAAUUUGGAUAAUGUUGAUUAUCUCUUGUUUAUCAAUAAAAAUUUAUCGUUUAAUGGAUAGAUUAAGGAUUCUAAUUGUUUGUUUAAUGCUAGACCAGAUAGGAAUUGGUUUGCUAUUUAUCAAUGCAUGGAUAAUGGUAAAGUGCAGUUGGGAAACAACACUAAGUUCGAUGGGUGUUGUGACAUCUUGAAUUUCGACCCCAUCUUAAUAAAAUGAAAUGGGCUUUUCACCGACACGUCUAUAGUCAUUUUUCUCUGAGCUGAUCACUCACGAGUGUGAAGCCAUUAUCGGAUAUAACUGUGGUAAAAUCUUUAAAAGCUACCUGGUAGGUUGGAUUGGACUAAAAUCGUGUCUGGUUGAUUUUAACCACGAAUUGAGCUCGGUUUUGGGAAUCAAACAUUCGAGCGUGUCACGAUUUAUUUUUAGGACAUCAUCUCAUUUUUCGGGGAAAUUCCGUCGAGUCUGGGAUUUUGCGGAAAAUUCGAUUUCGGACAAUUUGGAAAAAAAAUGGUGGAAAUUCAUAUGAGCACCUUUGAGUGAAAUUUUGACUACCAAUUUAAGUUGGGUUGUGGAGAGUAAAAUGGAAAUUCGUAGGGACUGCUCGAGGGAUAUAUUUGACCUCCAAAAAGACUUUGUUUUGUGAAGAAAUGAAAAGAAAUCAACCAUUGGAGUAUCUAUGGACUUUGUGGACAGAAUUAAGGGGCUUUUGGCCUUCAAAUUGGAUUGAAAUGUGAAGAAAAGAAAAGAAAUUCGUAUGGGCUGUGUGCAGGGGAAUGUUGGGCACCAAAAUGAAGUCAAUUGGUGAAGAAAAGAGGGAAAAAUAGCCAUUGGUUCAUGGUUUGACAAAAUUGGGAAGAAGACUUUGGGUUCUUUCAUCAUUCCUUUGAUAUUUUCUCUUGCUCCUCAUUGAUUCCUUGGUUGACAUUUUGGUUCCUUGUCCCCCUUCUCUCUCCCAUUUCUCUUUCUUCAUUCACGCAUGAACCCCCAUCAGCCGACUUCCCCCUCUGCCAUUUUCCCCUUUGUCUUUUUCCCACGAUUAUUCCUCACGUUUCUCCCUCCCACUCACCUUCUUUCAUUCAUUUCUUCCUUCUGCACAUCACCGCCAACAGCCCCCAUUCCCCCACGUCCACCCACUUCCUCACGAACUCCAUUUUUUCACCAGCCCAUUAUCUCAUCAGCCCAACACCCUCACAGCAGCUAGAACUGGCAAAAUCGGUCAUAAACCCAUAUUAUGACUCAUUUUUAGUUAAAUGGGUCAUAUAUGGAUCAAGUGAAAAUUAAAUAUAGGUCAUAAAUCGGUCUGAGAAAAUAAAAUACAAAAAGAAAUUGAUCUAAAUGGGUUAUUAAGAAACCCACUUUAAGUUUAAACCCAGGGCAUUUUUUAACAUUAUAAAAAUGUUUUCUUAUUAUAAAAAAUUGAAAUUAUAAUAAUUUUUUUUCUUUUUUCUUUAUUUUUCUUCAUUCCUUAGCCUGCAGCCAACAAGGCAACAGCCAGCCGGCAAUAGGCCGGGUGAGGCUUGAGCUUGCUGAUGUCGGNNNNNNNNNNNNNNNNNNNNNNNNNNNNNNNNNNNNNNNNNNNNNNNNNNNNNNNNNNNNNNNNNNNNNNNNNNNNNNNNNNNNNNNNNNNNNNNNNNNNGAGAUCGAGCCCCGCCCGACGCCAGCUGCCUCGACCACGCGAGAUUGGCGAGAUCGAGCCUCACCCAACACCGGUGAGCUCAAGUCUCGCCAACGAGUGGUGAGGCUUGAGCUCACCGAUGUCGAGCGGGGACUCAGCCUCGCCGGAUCGGCGAGAUUGAGCCCCACCCGACAUCGGUGUGCUCGAUCUCACCUGUGGCCGGUCGCCGACCGUCGUCGUGGCCGGCGGCCAGCCGAAGAAGAAGAAAAAAGAAAAGAGAAAAGAGAAAAAAGAAAAAAUAAUUAUUAAAAAUUAUAUUUAAAAAAAUUAAAAGUUCGAUUUUUUAAAUAUUUUAAGAAGAAUUAUAAAAUUUUGCAUUAAAUUUGUAUUGCAUAAAAAUUGUUAAAAAAAUUGUAUUACAUAAAAAUGUUUUAACAAUACUUUCUUUUAAUAAAAAAAAAUCAUAAAAAUGAGCUUUUUUAGGUUUAGUUAAAAAAAAUUCAUGUUACAGUUUUUAGUUAUUCAAUGGUUUGUUCACUCAAAUAAGAUAAGCAUGUGCAUAGUUUAAUUUUUUUUUUAAAUAUUACAUUUAUAGGUUUUUUUUUAACUUUUUUUAAUUUUAUUUACUAUUUUUAAUUUAAUUUGAAGUUUUAAUCCAAUUAACAUAUAGUAGAAGUGAGUUUUCCUAGAAUAUUAAUAGGUUUUAGCAAUACAAGUCAGGUCGGGUAUGGGUUAAGCACGGGUCGGGUCGGGUAUGGGUUACUUGAUUUACACUAUAAGAAUAUUGGUCAAAACGGGUUAAAUGGGUCAAAUAUUGGUUAAACCAUGACCCGACCCACCCAUUUGCCACCUCUAAUAGCAGCUUCACCAGCGCCAGCUCUAGCUUUCCCUUUUAUUUUUGCCGCCUCAACUCCAUGUCUGCCAUCCUCUUCACGUCAACGUCCAGUUGCCUGCUCCUCAUGCCUAUAGCCCGCUUCACCGCUCCUCAGCGUUCAAUAGUUACUGUCCUGACCAUCAACACUCGGCACCCGAAUCUCCUCCAUAGCUCAGUCCAAGCCAAGCUGAAACCAGCUUUGACCAGUAGCUCCAAAACAUAGUAGAAGCAAAACCGGUUUCCAACUCAAGUUGUGAGAUUGCGAGGUGUUUUUCGGCCUCUUCUGGGCCUCCCUUGGAGCAGCCGUAGUCACAGGUCUUCACUUCCUUCGUGUCACCGUCGCCGUGAACCUGUUUGCUCCCUAAUCCGGUGAGUUAACUCCAUAAUCAUUGAUUAGUUGUUAAUUACACUUAAGAUGUUAGAUUAGUGUUCAUUUGCUUAGUUAGAUUAGUACUAAGUGAGAUUAGUCUUUAAUAUAGAUUAGUGCUAAUCUAGAAUGGUUAAAUUAGCCUUAAUAUGGAUUAGUAUUAAUCUAAUUGGUGAGAUUAGCACUAAUGAAAGCAGAUUAACCCAAUUUGCUAGAUUUCUCCUGGAUAUGGUUUCUAGACCCUCGCCGUUUGCCAUUUUUUUAUAUCGAAAUGGGUUGCGAAUUUGAGGUUAAUUCCUUGAGAAAUUUUUUAUAUAUCUUCAGCUAUGAUAUAUAUUUUACUUAACAUUUUAGAGAUUUAAAAGUAUGAAAUUUCAGCUCCAUCAUUUGCAAACAGAAUCUCGGACUAUGUUGAAAUUUGUGACCUUUUGGUAUUCUAGGGAUUUUUAUUAACUCUUAGGAUUUGAAUUUCAAAAUGGUUUCUUCAUACAAGUUGUUUGUUACAUUUUUUAGUUUAACAUACUCAAAUUUCAGAUUAAACGGAUAAGUUUUUUUAUCUUAAACCAAACUAAUUUUGGAAAAUAGAUUUUCUGAAAACGGACACAAUUUUUUGUACUAGAUUAAGCCAUUUUUUGAGCUUUAUCCAGAAAGAUCUGGGUUAAGAUGUCUUCAUAAAAAAAAAUAUUUUUUUAUGUGUCCUUUACAAUAUAUUCAAAUUUGAGAAUUUUUUGAACUCGUUUGAUUAAGAUUAUAGAUUUAAACUCGGAGACGCACAAGUGGACCGUUUCUGCCGGUUAUGGCCGGUUAUGAUUUUGUGCAUAUUUGAUGAUAUGGUUGGUUUGUGACAUGUUUGGAACUUAUGCAUGAUGAUGUGUGAAUGGCUAUGCCAUGUCGAUGGUUUAUGGUCAUAGCAAAAGAUGGUUGUUGAAGGGCGAUAUGUGAUUAUGUGAGGAUUAUUGAAAAAUGAGGUGAUGUGUUGAGGCAAUCACAUGUGUUGUGUGGAAGAAACCAAAUGGGUGGUGAUUUGGAAAAGGACUAAGUGCUACACGAUAACAUAAUUUCAUAUGAGCCACCUCUAGAAUCUUGUACCGUUGCUUAUUGUAGUCAAGGACUAAGUGUUACAUGGUGAACUGAGUCACAUGGGAGCCACCUCUAGAUGACAGCGUGACUUUAUGGGAGCCACCUCUAGAACCUUAUACUAGUGUUGUAUGUAGAAAAGGACUAAGUGCUACAUGAUAACGGACUUUGUGUGAGUCACCUCUAGAAUCUUGAGCUAUCGCUAAUUAUGGUCAGGGACUAAGUAUUACAUGAUAGCAUGACUUUGUGUGAGUCACUUCUAGAUUCUUGUUAGGGGUGAGCAUCGUUUCAGGGUCAACCUUGGAUCGACCCUAGACCGACCCAACCCUACCGAUUUGGGUUCGAUUCCCAAGGAGACUUGGUCGGUCCUUGGUCCUGGAAUUCCUAGACCAGCACUGUGCGGGUCAGUCCUUGAUCCUAAGAAUUCUGGGUCAGUCCAACCCGGACCAAUCUUGACUAUAUAUAUAAUUUUUUUAUAUAGUGAAAACCUUAAAAUAAAUGACAUUAACAACAUUAAACGGCUCUUUAGUGAGGAGUUCAAGUAAUUUUACAUUGCUCUUUAAUAACUUAGGUUUUUAAUGUCUUUUACAGUGUCAAUAGUCAUAAUUUACAAAUGAGGAAAAAUGUUUUUGUGAGGAGUCCUCAUGGCGUCCAAAAAUGCACCUUAUGGCAUCCUCCUCUAGUAUUCAUUCUCUUCUAUCUUAUUCCUUCUCUUAGUCUUCAAUUUUCCAAAAUCAAAAGAAACAAUUUCUCCGCUCACCACUCAAUACUUGCCUUGCUCACUUUGGGUCACUUGUGUCGCUCGCCGCUCGAUGCUCGCUUGGCUUGUUGUUCCCUGCUUGACAUUCGAUACUUAUUCUAUUCGAUGCUCACCCCACUUGACCCUCAUCGCUUGCCUUCUUAGCUGACCUCGCUCAUCAUGAAACCCAUUGGAUCAGUACGAUCCCUGGUUGCCCUUUCAAAGAGAACGAAAAAAGAAAUAAAAAAUUAUUGGUUGGUUCUAAGUUGACCUUGAAACUGGACUGAACCCAUUGGGUCAGUCUGGUCCUCAAUCGUUUUUUUAAGGAAUACAAAAAAUGAAAUAAAAAAUUAUCGGUUAGUCCCGGGUUGACCUUAGAACUGGACCGAACCCACUGGGUCGAUUUGGUCCUUGGUCUCAAGCUUAGUAGGGUCGGUCCUCAGUCCCAAAAAUUGAAUACCAGUAUUGUGUGGGUUGGUUCAAGGUGAGGGGGUGGACCGGCCCAACCUGGACCAUGCUCUCCCUUAAUUCUUGUACUGUUGCUGAUUGUGGUCAGGGACUAAGUGUCACACGAUAAUGGAACUUCGUGGGGGUCACCUCUAGAACCUUGAGUUAGAAUAUGGAGUUUGGAUAUUGAGAGUAAAUAUCGGGUGUGGAUUGAACCACCGAUAUGAGUUACCCACGCCUGAUUAUGGGACGAAAUUGUGGGAUACAAAAUGGGACGUGUCAUAAUGAUUUGACCUUAUAAUUUGGACUUCUAUGAAUAUUUGAUGAGUGAAUCGAUGUGUUCCAGUUCUUGAAUGCAUUUGCUAUAUACAUAAGUGUUUAUGAGGUGUACUAAUAUGCAGGAAAGUGCCGAGGCGAGGUAAGUCUUGAGUGGUGCAUGUUUAGGAUGUCUCGAAGUGAAUUCUUGUCCUAAUCGGUUAUUCUCACCCCGUCGUGAUUUACAAUUUUUCAGGUCUCUAGAAUAGAGGAUUCAGGGUCCGAGGUGGAAGGGUCCGGAGUUUAGGUGGCCUGGUAGUUUCUUUUGAGACGAGACUAAUGUGUAUAGAUUGGUAGGACCGACUUGCUAUGUUUAUAAAGUUUGAUUCGUGAAAAAUGGUUGUCUUGCUUUUACUAUCUCAUGUUUGUUGUUGUUAGGGGGUUUGUUUAAUUUGUUUCCACAUGUGCAUAAAAUAAAAAGAGUCAGCAACGCAUCCUAGUAACGUUGCCAAUUUUAGUCGACCACCUAGGGGUGUGUGCGUGCCCAGGGUUCGGGGCGUGAUAGGUGUUGGUGAUGUUAGCAUCAAAAUGCAUGACUAUAUUAUGAAGACAUAAAUUUGGUUGAGGCAUGCUCUAGAGUUGAAGAAUAACUUUGCUUUGGAUUCAAUCCAAGUAUUGAUAUACUUUAGAAAGUUGUUCGAUAUGCUUUGGUGAUAAUUAAAAAAAUCAAGUUCUUUUAAGUGCUUUGGAUUCAAUUAGGUAUCAAUAUACUUCAAAAGGUUGUUUGAUGUUCUUUCAUGAUAAUGAAAAAAAAAAAUCAAGCACAAUGACUUGUAAGAGCUUCAAGACGAGAUAGUGAUAGAUUUCGCCGCAAAGACAUCAUAUCCAUCUAUUCAAGAGUUUGAAUUUUGGUUUAUGCAUUUAGGACAUAUUGGUGAGAGAAGCCCGAAGUUUCUAAAUGAGAGGAAUCUACUGAAUGAUUUUAUGAUUAAUGAACUAAAUAUGCAAAUGCUAUAGUUAAACAAACAGUGGAAAGUGCAAUUUAAAACAAUUAUUAGAGAAAUCACAGAGAUUUUGAAGUUGAUUCAUUUGGAUGUUCGUAGGCUAUCAUGAUUUCCCUUAAGGAACAGUAUUAUAUCUGUGCUAAUGUUUGUGGAUGACUACUCCAAGAGGACGUGGACGUUUAUGCUUAGGCACAAGUAUGAUGCUAUUGUCAAGAUCAAGCAAUUGAGAUAUUUGAUUGAAAAGGAAACAAGGAAGACGAUCAAUCAUAUGUAGCUCUACAUGGAACUAUAAAACGACUUUUGCAUAAAGGAAGAUAUGGUGAGACAUUCUACCAAUGCCAAUGAAUCAUGACAUGUUGUAGAGUUGAUGAGCACAUUAUUAUUAGAGGCGGUCCAUAAAAUGCUUUAUAAUGCUAAUAGAGGUAGGGGAUAUCUAUUAGAUACAUAGCACAACAAGCUAGUUGGUAAAUAGAUCCUCAUCGACUGCGAUUAUAUGUUGGACUCUCAAAGAGGUUUGAAUAGGUAAUGUUAUAGUUUAUUAUGUUCUUUGAAUGUUUGGUUACCCAUAAUAUUUUCAAGUGAGUGAUGGUAAACUUGAUAGGAGGUUAAGAAAGUGCAUGUUUUUAGGCUAUGUAUAAGGUGAGCAGGUUCAUCGGUUAUAGUGCUAGAAAUUAAAUCACUUAUUAUUGACAAAGAAAUUACAUUUGACAAAUCUCCAGUAUUUAUGGAUAAGGCUGAUUAUAGCAGUGUUAAUGCGAAUCUAGAUGGUGUUUAGUUCAAAGUGGAGGUGCAAUGAGAAACUAUUGAGGUAACGCGUAUUAGUGAAAUAGUUGACACAGUGCUUAUAGCUAGUUGGAGCCUAUAAAGCUAAUGGUUACUAAGAUGCGUGUCAGAUCUCCUCACAAAUAUGGAUGCAACAAUAGUUUUGCUUUAUUUUUUAUAAAUAAGGUUGUCUCGGAAAAUCCUUAUGAAGCAAUUAAAGGUGCAAGUGGAGUAUGGUAAUGGGGAAGUUCAAGUGAGGUUUGAACUUGAAAGAUAUUUGUGGCAAUUGAGCCCAUGAGGGGUUGUGGGAGAGUAGUAUGUCGAAAACUCGUAACAAAGGUCCAACACCUACACCUAGAGAGAUCUCCAAGAGAUGACCUAUGUUUGAAUCUGUUAACUUAUCUAGUUGGACUUACUUUCACUCAAAAAUUUAAGUCAAUAAAUUAUGGGCUAGCUAGGAUAUAUUACUUGCUAUACACCAUACCAAUUUUUCAAUAUAAGACUUCUUUGAUAUAACUCUUAUGUGCAUCCCAACAAUAGUAAAGUUCAUAUGUUCAACAACACUAGUGUGACUUGGUUCAAAUGUUAAGUCAAUAUGGAGAUUGUUAAAAUAUAUCUUGAUUUUGAGCCCGUGAAUGAAGCUUGACCAGAGAUGAAUUAAAGGAAGGUCUGAAAGUUCAAUAUUCUAUUUCAAUAAUUAGUUUUUGUUUUCCAAAAAUUGAUUUUUCUAUUUCUAUUUCUCAGACAAAUUUUUGAGUUAAAAUAUGUAUUUGAUAACAAUAGAAAAUUUUUGUUCCCAUAAUAUAAAUUUGUAUGAUAACAACACAAAAUUUCCCUCUCUCAAGUGGUGGCGAUGAAUGGCAACGGUAGUGAAUGGUGAUAGUGAUCAAUGGAUGAUGGCCAGCUACUAGUGGACGGUGGGUAGCAACCGGCGGCCAACAAACAAUGGCAAGUGAUAAAAAAUGACAAGUGACCAACGGCUAAUAGACGGUGACCAAUGGUUGCAAGCCGGGGGUAGUAGUAAGUUGGCGCCAACUAGCAGUGAGGGUGAAUAAUGGAAACAUUUUAUUUUUCAUUUCUAUUCUAGGAAUAGAGAAAUAAAAAAAUUUUACUUCUCAUUUUUAUUCCAAGCUAAAAUUUUGUUUCAGAAAUAGAAAAAUUGAAAUUACUUUAUCAAAUAAAUUUAUGUUCCAAAUUUAUUUUUGAAAACAGAAAAAUAGUUCUGAUUGGAAAUAAAAUAGUUAUCAUGCGUGCUUAUUCAACAUUGGAAUCCAAAAUGAUAGUGGACUUUGAUUGUUAAAAGGAAAGUCAAUAUUGGAGUCGCUGGAGGAAAAAAAAUUCCUAUUUUUGUUUCAGAAUAUUCAAUGCGUGGGUUGCGAGGGCUUUUGCUUCUUUGUGGGUAGAGUACAUAUGCAAUUAAAUAUGUACUCGUGGGUUGCUCUAGUGGUCACGAAAAAUCGGUGAUGGAUCAUCUUCUACAAGUGCUUGCUGAGGUUUUCUCAUGAUUUUCUUCGCGGAAUUGCACUCAUAAUUUUAAUGUUGAAGUGGAUUAAAUUUUGUGGUAAAAUUUAUAGAUUCAUUUAUGAGAUUUAAUUAUUAUUUUGUGAGGAAUUAUGAGACUGUGAGGUUAAAUACUAUGUGAAUUAAUGAGUGUAAAUAGGGCUUGGGAAAUACUAAGGAUAUUUGAGUAAUUUGAGUAUGAUUGUGAUUUCUAUUUUAUCACUUUGCAUAUAAUUGAAAUAUUUACUCCUUUCUUUACAGACCUAAGUCGCUCUAACCAAAUCGUAUAAAUUUAGUGUUUGAUUUAUCUUCUCAUUCUAUUUAUUUUAUUGUUGAAUUGCUUACUUUUCACAAUAAUAUUCAAGGUGUGGUGGAGCCCGGAGGAAUUUAUUUUUAUUUUUGUUUUUAUUUUUUUGUGCUUGUCUCUCGUUCCUAAGGUGUGUGUUCUCCCAAUGGCUCCUCUCUCUCUCCCCCUCUGGAAUGCAAGCGGUUUUUGAGUGUUCCAGUGUGGUCCCUUACUAUCGGAAAGAAAAAUAUAAGCAUCACGAUCCAUUCAGUUACAAAAAUCCAGCUCGGCAGAUUCCGGGGAUAUCUCCUCGCGCUGAAUUGCUUCCAUCGCGCGCGUGCGCUCGAGUUUCACGUUAGACGGUAGAUAGAGUAGAGAGAGAAAUAGAGAUGGGCGGACUUCUAGCUUUCACGAGCCUUGGAACCUUGGGCUCAAUUUUAACCUCACUAUCUCUCAUCAGCACCUGCCGCCAGCAGUUUUCAGCUCUGCAUUUCUCUUGAUCCAGCUCAGCCUUCACUCCUUCAGUUGCAGCAAUUUCAUCGAAAUUUCUCUCUAUGUUGUCAUCUCAAGUGGCCUUUGAAAGGGUCAACAGAAGCAGCUGCAUUUCGUCUGAAUUCAGGCUUCGAUUUGAACUAUUGCAGCCGCCUAUUCAAGGUGCAAUUUCGGCAGUUUGUCCUUGCUUGGUGUCCCUCCAUUCUAAGCUUAGUUUCCAUCAAGCUUCCCUCGGCAGAGAUUGCAGCCGUCCAGCUCCUUAAAUCAAGCCGGAAAGGCCGUCAUUCAGCAUCAAGAGUCACGGUGAACACCCAUGUUCCCUUUAUGUCUUCACAGUUUGCGUGCUGCAAUUCCCCCUGCAAUUUUUCAGCAAUUUUUGUCUGCCAUCUUUUGGAAUAUAAUACGUCAAAAUGACAGGAUUUUGCAAUUUACGUCAACGCGAAAUCACCAAAGAAAUAAAUGAGAAAUAAUAAGGAUGCCAGAAAUUUACGUGAUUCAGUUUGAGUAUUGGUACCUACAUCCACGGAGAGAUCCAGCAUCAAAUAAUCUACUAUAAUCGAAGAAUCAGAGUUUAUAAUCGCUCACAUGCUCGAGUGUUUCCUACACCUAGAUUUAACCCCAAACCCAAAGUAUUUAUAAAUAAACAACUCACUUGGAUAUAAACUCAUAGCACAAAAAAGAAAAGAAAAAUAUCACAUGUUCAAAUUGUAUGCCAAAAAGAAAAGAUCUUCAGCUUCCUUUUCUUUCUUUGGUGUAGCUCUUCUCUUGGCAUGGACAUGUGGCGUGGACGUGCGGCUUUCUUCUACGUAGAGCUUUGGCAGCUUCUUACGGGAGGAAAAGAAGACCUGCAAAUAUUUAUGUUUUUAUACGUGUGCCCAGGUCAAAGUUUGACCUGGGCCCACCGCGUUUUGGCUCCACGUGUGCAAAGGACUUCAUCUUCACGCUAAAGGGUCCUUAUACGUUCGUGUGCCUAGAGUUAACACUUUGAUUCUGGGCCCCACGAUCUGAUUGCCAUUUUCGGAUUCUGCAGGCUUCUGUAACAAAGAAGACCUUCUUUUUAAAAAUAUAUAUAUAUAUAUUUCCUCUUUUGUAAAUCUUUAAGAGUCCAGCAAAGUUUUUCUGUUGACCGAAAACAUCCGAAUCACGUUUUGCAAACGCUCAAACUUGAGACAUAAUUUAACAAUUCUCCACCUUGGCUCGAUGUUUGAAGUCAAGUUAUAGUGUCCAUCAUCUAUGCUACUCUCUUAACGCCCUAAUAGGUGCUCACUCUCCACAAAUGCCAAUACAGCUCAAGCAAAGCUUGAGCUUUGCCAAAGGAACAGAUUUAGUCAUCGUGUUUGCCGGGUUAUCUACUGUAGCAAUACUUUUGAUAAUAACAUUACCCUUAGCUAAGACAUCUUGGAUGAAGUGGUAUAUGAUGUUGAUAUGCUUCGUUCGCUCAUGAUAAACUGGAUUAUUCGCCAAAUAUAUCACACCUUGGUUAUCACAAUAUAUAUCCAUACUUUUUUGUUUUAACCCAAAGUUCAAAAGCAAACUUCGUAACCAUAUCACCUCAUUCACUACAAAGGUUAGUGCCAUGUACUCUGUCUCAGUCGAAGACAAGGCAAUAUGAUCCUGUAAGGAUGCUUUGCAACUAACUGCAUCACCCGCUAGCGUAAAUAUACCCUACUAAAGACCUACGAUCAUCUAAGUCACCGGCGUGAUCUGAAUCCACAAAAUCAGUGGUCUCACUUCCAUUACUGUCCCUUUGCUAGACUAUACUCACGUCUGUUGUUCCCUUCAAAUAUCUGAGGAUCCACUUCACAGCUUCCCAAUGAGCCCAUGACACUUCAUAUAGCGACUAACCACGCUUAUAGCUUGCGAAAUAUCAGGCCUAGUGCACACCAUAGCAUACAUAGUAUUACCCACGACACUAGAAUAAGGAACAUGAGACAUACGUUCCUCUUCCUUCUCAGUCUACAAUGAUAAUUUAUCUGAAAGUUUAAAAUGCUUCGUUAAAGGUGUACUUACAGAUUUUGCUGACUACAUAUUAAAACGUGCCACAAUCUUCUAAAUAUAUUUCUUCUGAGAUAAACAUAAAACUUAUGCAGUCCUAUCAUUCAAAAUCUUCAUACCCAAAAUUUUCUUUGCAGCACCUAAAUCUUUCAUCUCAAAUUCAACAUUUAACUACUUUUCCAGCACAUCAAUAUCAAACAUAUUCUUAGCUGCUAUCAGCAUAUUAUCAAUAUAUAAAAGUAAAUAAAUCAAAGAACCAUUCUCCAAUCUCCUAUAGUAAACGCAGCUAUCCAUCUGACUUUUUGUAUAGUCUUGACUAACCAUGAAAACAUCAAAACAUUUAUAUCAUUGCGUAGAAGAUUGUUUUAGCCCAUACAAAGAUUUCUUCAACAAGAAAACAUGAUCUUCCUUACUUGGAAUAGCAAAUCCCUUUGGUUGCCUCAUGUAAAUCUACUCCUCCAACUCAUCAUGAAGAAACACAGUUUUUACAUCUAGUUGCUCUAACUCGAGAUCCUGCGAAGCAACUAAGGCAAGUAAAACACAAAUAGAAGUAUGUCUUACCACAGGAGAGAAUACCUUAUUAUAGUCAAUGCCCUCACGCUAUGUAUAUCCCUUCGCCACAAGUCUUGCCUUAUACCUUGCUACCUCAACAUUGAGAAUGCCCUGUUUUCUUUUAAAGACCCAUUUACUUCCAACAAUCUUUUGGCUAUCGGGUACUUUGACCAGCUCUCAUGUCUUAUUUCGAUGGAGUAAUUCCAUCUUUUCACUCAUAGCCUCUAGUCACCACGAUGACUCUGAACUAGCCAUCACCUCAGAGUAAGAUGAAGGCUCAUCUUCUCAAACCUCAUCACCUACAAUCAAUGCAUAAAUAAUAUCUAUGUAACUAUAACGUACCGAUGAUUUAAUUUGCCUUCUCUAUCUUACUAUGGCUAUAGUGUGUUGUGGCUUUGUUGGUUGUUCACUAUCACCGACUUCAAGAACUGUGGCUUCAUGAUUUGUCUUCUCUGCUGGUUGUGUCUCAGAAUUCUUCUGUUGAAGCAUUGCAGUCUCAUUGAAAAUCACAUCUCUGCUGAUUAGAAAACCGGGUGAUCUGGGAUCGGUGCACCACAGCCGGUACCCUUUCACCCCAUGUGCAUAACCCAAAAAUAUGCACUUCUUCACCCUCGACUCAAGCUUACCAUCACUCGUAUGAGCGUACGUAGGACAUCCAAAUAUACGUAAUCUAGAGUAAUCAACAGGUUUCCCUGACCAUACUUCCUCAGGAGUCUUCCACUCAAUAGCAAAUGAUGGAAAUCGAUUAAUCAGCUAAUAUGCCAUGCUCACUGUUUCGACUCAAAAUUCCUUGCCAAGUCCUGCAUGUGAAAGCAUGCAUCGAGCUCACUCUAGAAAAGUUCUGUUCUUCUGUUCUGUCACGCCAUUCUAUUGUGGCUUCCUAGGUAUUGUGUAGUGUCUUACAAUACCUUUUUUGCAAAACUCAGUAAAAUUUUUACCACAAAAGUCAAUGCCAUUAUCGGUUCUCAAGCACUUGAUUUGUUUAUCUGACUAUUUCUCAAUCAAUGCCUUAAAUUUUUUCAACCGAUCGAACACAUCAUAUUUGUGCUUCUGAAAGUAUACACAUACCUUCCUCGAAUAAUUGUCAAUAAAUGUUAGCAUAAAUUGGGCACCUGUGACAUCCCGAAUUUCAACCCCCUCCCGAAUAUAUGAAAUGGGCAUUUCGCCGGCGCGCCUAUGGUCCUUUUUCUCUGAGCUAAUCACUCACGAGUUAACCAAUCUAUUGGGUGAAGCCGUUAAGGGAUAUAACCGCGGUAAAAUCCCUAAAAGCUACUCGAUAGGUCGGAUUGGACUAGAAUUGCAUUCGGUUGAUUUUAUCCACGAAAUGGAAUUCGGUUUCGGAAAUCGGACAUUUGAGCAUGUCACGGUUCAUUUAUAGGAUGUCGUCUUGUCUUUCGGAGAAAUUCCAUCAAGACCGGGAUUUUUACGGAAAAUCACUUCGAACGUCGCUGAAAAUUAGCCGAAAUUCGAUUUAGCUCAUUUGAAAGAAAUUUUGACUUCUAAGCCAAACUAUUGGAUGAUGGGAAUUUGUGGAGAUGUAUGGGAUUUUUCUUCGGCGAAAUUGGACUUCGAAUUUGAGGAAUUGAGGAUGAAUUUGAAAUCUAAAAUUAAGGGAAAUUCGAAGCUAGGCAUGGAGGGGUGCAACAUUUGUCAUUAAAUUGGAUUAUUUGUGAUUAAAUGGGCAAGAAAGAAUUAUGGGACAAGUGGAUAAGCUUGAAGAUUUAUUGGGCAUUCUAAUGAUGGUUUUAGAUAUUUGUUUUUUUGACUUCUCUUCCCCCUCAUCUUUGGCUUCUCUCGCAAGCCAAGCCACCGACGGACUGCCUCUUCUUCUCCGCACGCUAACUCCCUCAAUUUCUCUCCUUCGACAAAAACCUUCAGCUCAUUCUUUCUUUUUGGCCACCGAAAGAACCCAACAUCCCAUCGAAGCCUCUGCAUCUCUCUCUCCGCUCAACCCUCAUCUUACGAAGCUGCAGCCACACGUCCUCCACCGCUUCGCUUCUUUGCCCACGAAGACUGAAGCCCACACGGCUUCAAUCCACCAAAUCCCAUUCGGUCAACCAGCAAGAUCUUCAGCUGAAGUCUUCAAGCGGUGCCACUUCGUUGACCCCUCUUUGUGCGCUUCUCCACGCGGCGUUGAAGCUACUGCUUCCUCCAACUCGUGUCUUCGGUGAGCGAUUCCAGCAACGUCCAUUGCCCCAGCUUGACGCCAGCUGCCAGUGCCCACGAUCUCCCCUCUUCUGGCCCAGCAUCACGGAAGUUCAACUCAUAGAUCGGUCAACGAACCAGCUACUUCUCCCCAUCUUUGACCCCAACACCCACCAACCGAUGCCAGCAGCUGCUUCUGCCAUCUUUGAUCCUCCUACCUAGCUUGCUGUCUCCAUCUGGCCGUGUGAAUCGCACGAAGCAAGAUGUGGAUUCCAGCGUCUUCGACCCACCAGCAGCCCAGUUGAGUUCAGAGAAUUGAUUCUUUGGCCCAGCUUCAGCAAAGACAGGCCCGGUUCAGCUUUAUUUCAAGCCCAUCUUCAGCAGGCCCAACCCAACUUUGGGCCCAGCCUGUUUUCAGCAUAGCUGAAGUCUUCAAGCCUAGCGAAGUCAGCCCAUCUUCAACAUAGAAAAGCCCAAGAGCAAGCCCAGUCUAGCGCAAGAACAAAUCUCACAUGGGUUGAGAUUUGUUAGGCCUUCAAGGCCCAGUCCAAACCCGCCGGNNNNNNNNNNNNNNNNNNNNNNNNNNNNNNNNNNNNNNNNNNNNNNNNNNNNNNNNNNNNNNNNNNNNNNNNNNNNNNNNNNNNNNNNNNNNNNNNNNNNNNNNNNNNNNNNNNNNNNNNNNNNNNNNNNNNNNNNNNNNNNNNNNNNNNNNNNNNNNNNNNNNNNNNNNNNNNNNNNNNNNNNNNNNNNNNNNNNNNNNNNNNNNNNNNNNNNNNNNNNNNNNNNNNNNNNNNNNNNNNNNNNNNNNNNNNNNNNNNNNNNNNNNNNNNNNNNNNNNNNNNNNNNNNNNNNNNNNNNNNNNNNNNNNNNNNNNNNNNNNNNNNNNNNNNNNNNNNNNNNNNNNNNNNNNNNNNNNNNNNNNNNNNNNNNNNNNNNNNNNNNNNNNNNNNNNNNNNNNNNNNNNNNNNNNNNNNNNNNNNNNNNNNNNNNNNNNNNNNNNNNNNNNNNNNNNNNNNNNNNNNNNNNNNNNNNNNNNNNNNNNNNNNNNNNNNNNNNNNNNNNNNNNNNNNNNNNNNNNNNNNNNNNNNNNNNNNNNNNNNNNNNNNNNNNNNNNNNNNNNNNNNNNNNNNNNNNNNNNNNNNNNNNNNNNNNNNNNNNNNNNNNNNNNNNNNNNNNNNNNNNNNNNNNNNNNNNNNNNNNNNNNNNNNNNNNNNNNNNNNNNNNNNNNNNNNNNNNNNNNNNNNNNNNNNNNNNNNNNNNNNNNNNNNNNNNNNNNNNNNNNNNNNNNNNNNNNNNNNNNNNNNNNNNNNNNNNNNNNNNNNNNNNNNNNNNNNNNNNNNNNNNNNNNNNNNNNNNNNNNNNNNNNNNNNNNNNNNNNNNNNNNNNNNNNNNNNNNNNNNNNNNNNNNNNNNNNNNNNNNNNNNNNNNNNNNNNNNNNNNNNNNNNNNNNNNNNNNNNNNNNNNNNNNNNNNNNNNNNNNNNNNNNNNNNNNNNNNNNNNNNNNNNNNNNNNNNNNNNNNNNNNNNNNNNNNNNNNNNNNNNNNNNNNNNNNNNNNNNNNNNNNNNNNNNNNNNNNNNNNNNNNNNNNNNNNNNNNNNNNNNNNNNNNNNNNNNNNNNNNNNNNNNNNNNNNNNNNNNNNNNNNNNNNNNNNNNNNNNNNNNNNNNNNNNNNNNNNNNNNNNNNNNNNNNNNNNNNNNNNNNNNNNNNNNNNNNNNNNNNNNNNNNNNNNNNNNNNNNNNNNNNNNNNNNNNNNNNNNNNNNNNNNNNNNNNNNNNNNNNNNNNNNNNNNNNNNNNNNNNNNNNNNNNNNNNNNNNNNNNNNNNNNNNNNNNNNNNNNNNNNNNNNNNNNNNNNNNNNNNNNNNNNNNNNNNNNNNNNNNNNNNNNNNNNNNNNNNNNNNNNNNNNNNNNNNNNNNNNNNNNNNNNNNNNNNNNNNNNNNNNNNNNNNNNNNNNNNNNNNNNNNNNNNNNNNNNNNNNNNNNNNNNNNNNNNNNNNNNNNNNNNNNNNNNNNNNNNNNNNNNNNNNNNNNNNNNNNNNNNNNNNNNNNNNNNNNNNNNNNNNNNNNNNNNNNNNNNNNNNNNNNNNNNNNNNNNNNNNNNNNNNNNNNNNNNNNNNNNNNNNNNNNNNNNNNNNNNNNNNNNNNNNNNNNNNNNNNNNNNNNNNNNNNNNNNNNNNNNNNNNNNNNNNNNNNNNNNNNNNNNNNNNNNNNNNNNNNNNNNNNNNNNNNNNNNNNNNNNNNNNNNNNNNNNNNNNNNNNNNNNNNNNNNNNNNNNNNNNNNNNNNNNNNNNNNNNNNNNNNNNNNNNNNNNNNNNNNNNNNNNNNNNNNNNNNNNNNNNNNNNNNNNNNNNNNNNNNNNNNNNNNNNNNNNNNNNNNNNNNNNNNNNNNNNNNNNNNNNNNNNNNNNNNNNNNNNNNNNNNNNNNNNNNNNNNNNNNNNNNNNNNNNNNNNNNNNNNNNNNNNNNNNNNNNNNNNNNNNNNNNNNNNNNNNNNNNNNNNNNNNNNNNNNNNNNNNNNNNNNNNNNNNNNNNNNNNNNNNNNNNNNNNNNNNNNNNNNNNNNNNNNNNNNNNNNNNNNNNNNNNNNNNNNNNNNNNNNNNNNNNNNNNNNNNNNNNNNNNNNNNNNNNNNNNNNNNNNNNNNNNNNNNNNNNNNNNNNNNNNNNNNNNNNNNNNNNNNNNNNNNNNNNNNNNNNNNNNNNNNNNNNNNNNNNNNNNNNNNNNNNNNNNNNNNCUAAUCCUUGCCUAGUAGACUAAUGAUGCUUAAAGGGUGAUUAGAUUUAAUUAAGUGCAAUUAUGUGGUUAGAUUAGCAUGGAUUAGUGAUUAUUAGUUAAUUGCAAUGCAUAUUAGUUAAGUGGUUAGUGUACUUAGCUAGAGAAUUGCCUAUACUAUUUAUUGAAUGCAUCUCGGGAUUUUUUCCGACCCUUAUUGGGCUUCAAUUAGGCAUUAGGGGCAGAAAUUGGAUUUUUAGUAUUUAUUUAUUAAUUUUCGAAAUUAAUUAUUUAAUUAUUUAUUUUUCGGAAAUAAGGCAAAGAUAGCAGACGACUAAAAUUUCGUGCUGAUUGUCGUAGCGUAGUCCAUUUAUUUAUUUGAGCUCUACGUUGUGAUGAAUCAAAUUAAUUGUGCAAUUUGAGGAAUUGUUCCUUAAUUGAUUAAAAUUGAAUGGAAUUGCAUGAUUGAUUGGUAGAUGGCCGAGUUUGAUUAUUUAACCUUUAUACUGCUUUGAAGAGAUGUAAAGCAGAAAGAAUCGCAAGAGUGAACUGAGAAUUCUAUUGGCUGAGACCGAUUAGGUACGAAAUAUAGACAAGCAUGGUUCGGUGAUGAGGAAUAUCACUAUGCGAAAAUGGCGCCUUAAAGAAAGCACGUAGACUACCUAUGAUUUGUGAUAGGCGUGGUUCGGUGAUGAAGGACAUCACUGGUGCAAAAACAGCGUCUUAAAGAAUGCACGUAGACUGUUUGUGAUCUAUGACGGGUGUGGUUCGAUGAUGAUGAAUAUCACUGUGCGAAAACGGCGCCUUAAAGAACACAUGUAGACUGUCUGUGUUCUAUGAUGGGCAUGGUUCGGUAAUGAGGAAUAUCACUGUGCGAAAAUGGCGCCUUAAAGAACGCACAUAUACUGUCUGUGAUCUAUGACGAGCGUGGUUCGGUGAUGAGGAAUAUCACUGUGCGAAAAUGGCGCCUUAAAGAAUGCACGUAGACUGUCUGUUACUUAUGUCACCUUGGUGAAAGCCCGAGAGUAUUAAUGGAGCUCUGUGCCUUGAAUUGAUGUUGUAAAUUGGUUGGAAUAAUAGAAAUGACCGUGAGUGGUCUUGUUGGCAUGUAAUCGACUAGGUUGAUUUGAUCGAUACUUCGAUCAAUGAUGUGAUUGCUAGGGUGCCUAUUGAAUUGUGCUAAUGUGGAGGUGGAAUCUGAGGCUAAGGUAAGUCUUCUAACCCUUGCGUGUAUAGACAGCUCGGUUAGCAUAUUGAUUUCCUAAUCAAGUCUUAGUGGGGUAGAACUUGCUGAGACAUAGUCUCAUCUCAGUUGUGGGACAACAUUUCAGGCCCGUAGAUGAGCCUAUGGAGGAGGAACCAAAAGAGGACGAUGAGCCAGUAAAAGAUGAAGAGCUUGAAGGAUGUGAGCUUAGUGAAGAAGAGUCAGAAGAGGAUCAAGAUGAUCCUAAGUACAACCCGGAUGAGGACUGAGAUCCCAUCCUCUUUUGUGAAUCUUGUCUAAAUGUAAACAGUGUGAAACUAUAAUGUUAUUAAUAGUCUUGUGAAUAGACUUUGAGUUAUGCCAUGUAUAAGGUUUGGUUGUGGAUUUCAAUAUGAAAAAUAUGACCUUGUUUUUCUAUGUGUUAUUGUCUGGGGAUUUAUAACUGCUUCCGCAUGUGCUUAAUAAACGAAAAGGUCGGUGAUACUUAGUCCUGGGAUAUCGCAUUAUGUAAUCGACAAAGUAGAAGGAUGUGUGUGUGCCUAAUGAUCGAGGCGUGACAUCCCCUUUUUGUGGUAUCAGAGCGAAGUUCAAGAUUGGAGUGUUUAGGAGUAAUGAGUCUUGGGAUAGUAGUAAGAAAUGCCUUUAAAUUCAUGCCGGUGCAUGUUUGUGUUAGCUGAAUGCUAGAAUUGUUUGUUGUGUGUGGAUCGCUCACCUUAUAAUCCAGCGUGGAUUUGGAAGACAGGUUUCAGUGUAAAGACUGAACCAUGAGCAAGCAGGAGUUGAGAAUUCCUAGUAAGAGGACAAUGUCCUUUGUGACUCAAGAUAAAGCAUCGACAAAGGUCGGUACCCGAGGUGGUUGUGGCAGAGUGUCGACUCUGGCUAGCUCGAGUGUAAGAGUACCACUGUAAGUUGGUAUUAGUGUAGCAGCACCGAGCAAUCUUAGCUUCGACGGGAUCAUUCAGGUGCUAGUGUCCUUGGAAUUGGUUGAGCCAGCAAGCUCAGGACCAAGCCGUCGUUGUUGUCGCUGUCACUACUGCUGUUGUUGCCACACUUGUUGAGAUCCAGUGUGAAGAUAUGAUAUGGGAGCGAGCCAUUGUAUCCGAGUCGAGGUACAGCUCUAAUUCAAGCAAAGAUGAAAAUCGGUUAAGGAAAAGAUCGAUGUGGAGAGAUGAGUAUUCUAUUCCACCCAAUAAGAAGGGUGUGAAAGUUAGGUCAAGCACUAAGUCAAAAUGGAACAUGUUGUUCCUGUGCGUGACGGUAAAGAUCAGCCUUAUGUUUUCUUAGGACAAGAAUUUGUUUUAGGUAUAGCCAACAAAGUUACUUGACUGGAGACAGUCCUAGAAGGCCGAUGGGACUGAUUAGAGGAAAUGCUCCAUAGAAUGCACAAUGGAGUUUUGGAAUAAGUCUCUGGUACCAGAAAGAGUGCAUGCUUUCACUUGAUAGGAGAUAUAAGAUGCACCAGAUAGAUGUCGGAAUUGUAGAAGGAAGCCUGAAUAAAUCCAGUGUCCGAGUAUGACUAGAACAUGUUGUGAUGAUAAUCAGCAUGACCAUCAGGGGAAGGAUUGUUAGUGAAAGUCUAAGGUAGCAUAGACAUCGCUACUGUAGCCAGAACGCCACUAGGAUGGCGAAAGGAAUGGGAGUAGAAUUGACCUUGCACCGAUCAGAGAAAGAAUGUGUUAGAGGUGAUUUUAUUAGAGUAGCGCAGCAGAGUUUUGUGCUGAGUUUGUAGAACUUAAAUUGUUAAAGUAAAAGUGAAAGAGAGGGGAAUCACUAGCAAUAGUUGUGCUUGACUAGUUGCUGAGGUGUGAGUUUGACGCCAUGUGAAUAGUGUGGGUUCAUGGAGCAUCUUGUGAUAAUGAAUCAUGGUCUUGGAGUAAUCCAGUUUAGUCCAUUAGCAUGUGAAAGUGUCGAGGUUAUUGGGAGUCGAAAAGAAUCUUCGAUUUCAUUAAUCUCGUUGGAUGAAGGCAACUUGUUUGUUAGACGGAGGUUGCCAAGGUUGCUUGGCGAUUGUCUUGGGUAGGACAGAUUGGAGAACUAGAGAUGGAGGACAUCUCAGUGGUUUAAGAAUUUCUAGAUGUGUUGUCACAAGAUCUGUUAGAUCGUCGUCAGAGAAAGAGAUAAAAAUUGCAAUCGAGCUAGCACUAGGAUAGAGCCACUCUAAAAGGCUUCUUACCAGCUGUUGUUUUCUAAAUUGGUAGAAUUGAAGAUGUAGAUGUGAAGAUUGAUAUAUAAGGAAUUCAUGCAUAUCAAUGCAUCACUUUGGGGAAACAUCAGUUUUGUUUGUGAGAAAAAGAAAGAUGGUUUGUUGCAAGUAUGCAUCAACCAUCGCCAACUCAAUUAUGUGACGAUCAAGGACAAGCGUCCAUUGUAAAAGAUCGACGAAUUGGGUGACCAGACAUCAAGAGUGUCAAUGUUUUUGAGGAUCAACUUAAGAACAAGAUGUCGUCAGUUACGAACUAGGAAGGAGGUUAUAUGGAAGACAGCUGUUCGUACUUGAUAUGAUCUUUACGAGAGUAUUGUAAGAUUGUUUGGCUUGGUAGACACUCCAACUACUAUCAUGGAUUUGGUAAACCGAGUGUGCAAGGAAUAUUUAGAUCAGUUGUGCUCAUGUCUUUUAAUGACAUUUUGGUGCAUUCGAGGAAUGCUAAGGAGCACAAGAGACAUCUAAGAAUGGUGAAAGAAUUUCCAUGGACCCGAUGAAGAAUGAAAUAGUUAUCAGUGAAGCAAGAUCUAUAGUGAGGUGUCAUGCGAAGGACUGGGUGCGUACUGAUGUGACAUGAUAAGAUCAUCGCAUAUGCGUCUCGCCAGUUGGGACCUAAUGAGUUGAAUAUGGGAUGGUGUCGUGAACCAAAACCUUGGCAUGACUAGGAUGGUGCUAUUUGGUAUCACCUUGGGGGAAAGAAAGAAGUCACUGAUGCAUUGAGUCAAGAGUCUUUAAUGGUGCAUAUACUGGUUAAAGUAUGGAACUUACUUGAGAAAGUUCAAAAUUUGGUUUCAAAAUUGAGGUAGGCUACCUUUUGAAUUCUAUAGCCGCCCUCAAAAUUGAACUGGAUAUUCAAGUCAGAAUCAUACGCUUCAAUUGACAAACUGGGAUGUUUAGAAAAUCCUGUAAGAGGAUAUCAGUAAGGGAAAAGUUGACUUUCAGAUUUCGAAAGAUGAACGUCGAAGUAUCAUGGGUGAUGAUAGGUGUCAAACAGUACGAAACUUAAGGAAAAGACCUUAUUAGGAAAUUCACUGUAGUAUUGCAAUAUGUGAUAAAUUUACUCAUGGAGUUGAAAGAGUAAUGUUUCCAUUUGGGAGAAUGGUCAAGAGAUGGAUGAAGCCGACUCACGCCGUUGCUGUGUGAAGGGAUCUUGAUUUGAUCAAACGUGAAGAAGUGUACAGAAGUCAGAUAGUUCGUCUUCAUGGAGUACCAGUGGCAGAUCUAUAUCAGAUUUAGAAUCAAGGAUUUCUAAUUUUAGCAGAACAGUCAGAUAGUUCUGUUGAGGCAGAUCAGAGCAGAGUCUACAAAACUUUAGUUUGUUGAGAUGAGAUCAGAGGAAGAAAGAUCAUAGGCCGAGGGUCAAUUCAGCAGUCAGUGAUUGCAGUUGUCGUGAUCAGAAUCAGAUUAUAGAUUGAUCAGUGCCGCCAAAAAAGUCGUAUUGUUGAUUGGUGAUUACAUCUUUUUGGAGGUGUCACCAAUGAGAGAUACAUUGCUCUUCAGCAAGGAGGGGAGAAAUCUGAAACCGAGGUACGUAGUUUCCUUUGAGAUUCUGAAAAGAGUCGGGAUUCUAACGUAUUGUCUUGCGUUGCUUCCGGGGUAGGCACAAAUGCAUGACGUCGUUCACGUGUCGAGGUUGAGGACGUACGAACUUGACCCAACUCUCGCGCUAAAUCUUGAAGAAUUAGACGAGGAUGAUAGAGUGUCGUACGUGAUAAGUUGGUUCAGUUCUUGGUUCAAAAGGAUCGGAUUUAGUGAACCAAGAUAGUCCCCUUGGUCAAAGUGGUCUGACAAUGUCACAGGACUGAAGAAGCACUGAGGAAAGUAAGACUAAAUGAGACGACAAUACCCCCACCUUUUUGUUUAAGGAUUGGUAAAGAUUUAAAUUUCAAGGACGAAAUUUUUAUAAGAGGAGAAGAGUUGUGACAUCCUGAAUUUCAACCCCCUCCAGAAUAUAUGAAAUUGGCAUUUCGCCGACGCGCCUAUGGUCCUUUUUCUCUGAGGUGAUCACUCACGAGUUAACCAAUCUAUUGGGUGAAGCCGUUAAGGGAUAUAACCGCGGUAAAAUCCCUAAAAGCUACUUAAUAAGUCGGAUUUGACUAAAAUUGCAUUCGGUUGAUUUUAACCACGAAAUGGAAUUCGGUUUCAGAAAUCGUACAUUCGAGCAUGUCACGGUUCAUUUAUAGAAUGUCGUCUUGUCUUUUGGAGAAAUUCCAUUGAGACCGGGAUUUUUACGGAAAAUCACUUCGAACGUCGCUGAAAAUUAGCCGAAAUUCGGUUUAGCUCAUUUGAAGGGAAUUUUGACUUCUAAGCCAAACUAUUGGAUGAUGGGAAUUUGUGGAGAUGUGUGGGAUUUUUCUUCGGCGAAAUUGGACUUCAAAUUUGAGGAAUUGAGGAUGAAUUUGAAAUCCAAAAUUAAGGGAAAUUCGGAGCUAGGCAUGGAGGGGUGCAACAUUUGUCAUUAAAUUGGAUUAUUUGUGAUUAAAUGGGCAAGAAAGAAUUAUGGGACAAGUGAAUAAACUUGAAGACUUAUUGGGCAUUCUAAUGAUGGUUUUAGAUAUUUGUUUUUUUGACUUCUCUUCCCCCUCAUCUUUGGCUUCUCUCGCAAGCCAAGCCACCGACGAACUGCCUCUUCUUCUCCACACGCUAACUCCCUCAAUUUCUCUCCUUCGACAAAAACCUACAGCUCAUUCUUUCCUUUUGGCCACCGAAAGAACCCAACAUCCCACCGAAGCCUCUGCAUCUCUCUCUCCGCUCAACCCUCAUCCCACGAAGCUGUAGGCACACGUCCUCCACCGCUGCGCUUCUCUGCCCACGAAGACUGAAGCCCACACAGCUUCAAUCCACCGAAUCCCAUUCGGUCAACCAGCAAGAUCUUCAGCUGAAGUCUUCAAGCGGCGCCACUUCAUUGACUCCUCUUCGUGCGCCUCUCCACGCGGCGUUGAAGCUACUGCUUCCUCCAGCUCGUGUCUUCGGCAAGUGAUUCCAGCAACGUCCAUUGCCCCAACUCGACACCAGCUGCCAGCGCCCACGAUCUCCCCUCUUUUGGCCCAGCAUCACGGAAGUUCAACCCAUAGAUCGGUCAACGAACCAACUACUUCUCCCCACCUUUGACCAUGACACCCACCAACGGAUGCCAACAGCUGCUUCCGCAAUCUUCGAUCCUCCUGCCCAGCUUGAUGUCUCCAUCUGGCCGUGUGAAUCGCACGAAGCAAGCCGUGGAUUCCAGCGUCUUCAGCCCACCAGCAGCCCAGUUGAGUUCAGAGAAUUGAUUCUUCGGCCCAGCUCCAGCAAAGACAAGCCCGGUUCAACUUUAUUUCAAACCCAUCUUCAGUAGGCCCAACCCAACUUUGGGCCCAGCCUAUUUUUGGCCUAGUUGAAGUCUUCAAGCCCAGCGAAGUCAACCCAUCUUCAAAAUAGAAAAGCCCAAGAGCGAGCCUAGUCCAAUGCAAGAACAAAUCUCAGUUGGGCUGAGAUUUGUUGGGCCAAGUUCAAGGCCCGGUCCAAGCCCGCCGGUAUUGUCGAAAGUCCGAUUUCGGCCGCCGUCACGUCGUCUUCGCAAUGUCCCGGUCCCCGCUUUUAAUCAAGUGAGUAAUCUCACUAAUCCUUGCUUAGUAGACUAAUGAUGCUUAAAGGGUGAUUAGAUUUAAUUAAGUGCAAUUAUGUGGUUAGAUUAGCAUGGAUUAGUGAUUAUUAGUUAAUUGCAUUGCAUAUUAGUUAAGUGGUUGGUGUACUUAGCUAGAGAAUUGCCUAUACUAUUUAUUGAAUGCAUCUUGGGAAUUUUCCCGACCCUUAUUGGGCUUCAAUUAGGCAUUACGGGCCUAAAUUGGAUUUUUAGUAUUUAUUUAUUAAUUUUUGAAAUUAUUUAUUUAAUUAUUUAUUUUUCGGAAAUAAGGCAAGGAUAGUCGAUGACCAAAAUUUCAUGGUGAUUGUCGUGGCGCAGUCCAUUUAUUUAUUUGAGCUCUACGUUGUGAUGAAUCGAAUUAAUUGUGCAAUUUGAGGAAUUGUUCCUUAAUUGAUUAAAAUUGAGUAGAAUUAAAUGAUUGAUCGGUAGAUGGCCGAGUUUGGUUAUUUAACCUUUAUAAUGUUUUGAUGAGUUGUAAAGUGGAAAGAAUCGUAAGAGUGAACUGAGAAUUCUAUUGGUUGAGACCGAUUAGGUACGAAGUAUAAAGAGACGUGGUUCAGUGAUGAGGAAUAUCAUUGUGCGAAAACGGCGCCUUAAAGAAUGCACGUAGACUGCCUAUGAUUUGUGACAGGCAUGGUUCGGUGAUGAAAGACAUCACUGUGCAAAAACGGUGCCUUAAAGAACGCACGUAGACUAUCUGUGAUCUAUGACGGGUGUGAUUUGGUGAUGAGGAAUAUCACUAUGCGAAAACAACGCCUUAAAGAACGCACGUAGACUGUUUGUGAUCUAUGACAGGCGUGGUUCAGUGAUGAGGAAUAUCACCAUGCGUAAACAACGCCUUAAAGAAUGCACGUAGACCGUCUAUUACUUAUGUCAGCUUGGCGAAAAUGAUGCCCGAGAGUAUUAAUGGAGCUCUAUGACUAAGUGUACUAUUGGAGGUUAUGUGGGAUGGAGUGAAUGACCUAGAAAUGGUCCGAUUGAUAUGUAAUCGACUAGGUCGAUUGAUCAUUGCCUUGAAUUGAUGUUGUAAAUUGGUUGGAAUAAUGGAAAUGACCGUGAGUGGUCUUGUUGGCGUGUAAUCGACUGAGUCGAUUUGAUCGAUGCUUUGAUUAGUGAUGUGAUUGCUAGGGUGCCUAUUGAAUUGUGCUAAUAUGUAGAUGGAAUCUGAGGUCAAUGUAAGUCUUCUAACCUUUGUGUGUAUAGGUAGCCUAGUUAGUGUAUUGGUUUCCUAAUCGAGUCUUAGUGGGGUAGAACUUGCUGAGACAUAGUCUCAUCCCGGUUGUGGGACAACAUUUCAGCCCGGUAGAUGAGCUUGUGAAGGAGGAACUAGAAGAGGACGAUGAGCUAGUAAAAGAUGAAGAGCUUGAAGGAUGUGAGCUUAGUGAAGAAGAGUCAGAAGAGGAUCAGGAUGAUCCUAAGUACGACCCAAAUGAAGACUGAGAUCCCAUCCUCUUUUGUGAAUCUUGUCUAAAUGUGAAUAGUGUGAAACUAUAGUCUUGUGAAUAGACUUGAGUUAUGCUAUGUAUAAAGGUUUGGUUGUGGAUUUCAAUAUGAAAAAUAUGGCCUUACUUUUCUAUCCCAUUGUAUUAUUGUUUGGGGAUUUAUAACUGCUUCCGCAUGUGCUUAAUAAACGAAAGGGUCGGCAAUACUUAGUCAUAGGAUAUCGCAUUAUGUAAUUGACCAAGUAGAAGGAUGUAUGCAUGCCUGAGGAUUGGGGCGUGACAGCACCUCCUUUCCAAGGAACUGAAGAGGGGCCCUCGACAUCUGAAUGAAUAUAUUCAACUGGUCAUUUGGUUGAAUGAAUAGCUGUAGUAAACUUAAAUUGGUACUGCUUUUCAAAGAUGCAAUGCUCACAUAAGUCCAACUUCCCUAUCUUCUGACCCUUCAACAACCCCCUUUCACUUAGCAUCGUCAUACUUGUCUCACUCAUGUGCCCUAAAUGCAUAUUCUAUAAUUGAGUCAAGUUAGAGUCUGACUCACCUGAUGAAACUACAGCGGUUCCGAUCACGGUCUCUCCUAGUAGAUGAUAGAGAGUGUUCACUUUCUCCCCUUCAUCACUAUCAUGGCACUUCAAGAGAUCUUCAGUGCUCCACCUUCAUUGGUGUACCUACACUUGAUGUCGUCGAGUGUCCCUAGAGAAAUAAGAUUCUUCUUGAGCUCUGAUACAUGCCUCACAUCUGUCAAUGUGUACACCACCCCCAUCGUGCAUUCGAAUUUGAAUGGUCUCUAUCCUCACAGCCUUACCGACUGCAUUAUUCCCUAAAAGAACUCUACCACCAUCUGUCACGCCCCAAUUCUCAGGCAUGCGCACUUCCCUUACCUUGGUUGAUUUUAAAAUGCGAUAUCCUAGGACAACAUAUCGUCAACCCUUUCCUUUUGAAUUGCACAUGCGGAAGCAGUUAUAAAAAUCCCUAGACAAUAAAGCAAUGGGAUAUAUAAAUAAGACUAGAAACUUGAACCUGAAAACCAACACCCUUAUGUACAUCUAUAACGACUCAAUCAUAUAUACAAGCCAUGUUAAAAAUGUUGGUUUCUACUCAAAUAGGUUCUACAGCAAAAGUCAUCAAAUAGGAAUGGAGGCUCAAUUCUCAUCAAGAUCCUACUUUGGAUCAUCCUCGAGGUUCUCCUUCUGGUACUCCUCUUCAGGUUCUUUCUCCUCAGGUUCCUCAUCAGGGUCCUGAAAUGUUGUCCCACAACCGGGAUGAGACUACGUCUUAGCAAGCUCUACCCCCUAAAACCCGACUAGUAAACUAAUAUACCUUAGGGCUGCCUAUGCACAACAUGAGUUAGAGGAUUUACCUUGGCCUCAGAUUCUACCUGCAUAUUAGCACAUAUCAAAUAGGCACCCGAGCAAUCACAUCACUAAUUGAAGUAUCGAUCAAAUUGACCUAGUCGAUUACACAUCAUUCGAACCAUCGCAAGGUCAUUUCCACUUAAUCAGUCAAUUCACAACAUCAGAUCAAACCAUUAAAUCACAACAAAUCCACACUUAGAUCGAAUCAUCGAUCAAUCGACCUAGUCGAUUACAUGUCAACAUGACCAUUCCUCGGUCACUUCAAUCAAUACUAUCUAUGAGUUUGACCAUAGUCUAGGACUAUUCACUCUAGCCGAUAUAUAGAUAGUAUAGCUCACCAGAAGCUACCAAAUCCACUGAUCCGAUAUAAUAAUAUUCUCACUAGAAGCUGCCGGCCAUACUUUUAUAGUAUGCCGAAAAUAAAAUAUAUGCUCACUAGAAGCUGCCAGCCAUACAUUUAUAGUACGUCGAAAAUAAUAUUUAAUCAAAUCACCAUUUUUAUCAUUCCCGAUAAAAUAUUCGUAUGUGGGGAUACGGUCUGCCUUAGCCAAAAUAUUAUAAUUUUCUUUCCAUAAGUCCUACUAUUAUUUGUAGUCAACCAAAACACUUUUGGUGCUGUCAACCGACACUCGGUUAUUUUCCUAUUAAUAAUCAAAGAUUAUUCCAUUAAAUAAUAAUUCCUAAUUUCACAAAUAAUUCAAUUCAGCACAAAAUAAAGCUCAAUUAAAUAAACGGACUGCGCCACUACAAUCAACAUAAAAUUCCGGUCACCGACUAUCCCUGCCUAAUUUCCGAAGAAUAAAUAAAUAAAUAAAUAAUUUCAAAAAUUAAUAAUUAAAUACUAAAAAUCCAAUAUAGGCUCGUAAUGCCUAAUUAAAGCCUGAUAGGAGUCGGGAAAAAUCCCGAGAUGCAUUCAAUAAAUAUUACCACAUGUUAAUUUGCUAAUUACACAAUUUAAUUGCCUGACAUGCAUCACAAUUAUCUAAUAAUCACUAAUCUAUUCUAAUCUAAUCACCUAAUUGCACUUAAUUAAAUCUAAUCAACUUUUAAGUAUAAUUAGCAAACUAAUAAGGCAUUAGUGAGCAAUACUCACACAAAACAACAGGAUUGAUGUGAGGAUCGACUUUCCUCAAGGCGGGCCGAGCAUCCGGGCUAGGGAAGCUGGCCAAAACGAGUCACGAAGCUGCUGCCAUACCAAUUUUUCUCCUCUCUGUUGUCUACUAGUUGAGACCGGAUUCGAGGCUGAGAUGGCAAGGCAUGGCUAGCGAAGGGCGAGAGGACCUCCGGUGAGUCGAGGUGGCGGUGUACGGUGGUCGAAGGUGGUCGGGCAACGGCUUGAGGUGGGCGAACGGGGCUGAACAGAGGUGGCUAGAAGUUGGGGUCGCAUGGCGGGACGAUGAGAGGUGCAGCUAAGCACUGCUGCACGCGUGCUCGCUCGGGGACGAGCAACCGGCGACAACGGCAGCUCUGGUCCAAGCGACGCCAGCUGCUGCUUAUGCUCCGGUGUCCUCCCAGAUCGAGGACCCUGAGCAACAAACGGAGGGGAAGACAGAGGGUGUGGACGGCGGUUGAGGUGGGUGAGUGAGAGACAAAGGGUGAACGAUGAACGGCGAAGCGCGUGGGCGACAACGGCGAGCUGCUCCGUUCUUCCUCUCUCGAUGGCUACUGUCUCUGCUUCUGCUCUUGCUGUGUUCGAACGAAUGAAGAGGGAGAAGAGGAGAGAGAGUGUCGAGUGGGUGAGGGGGUACCGAGAGAGAGAGAGAGAGAAGAAGAAGAUAAGAGAGAAAGAAGUUUGAAAAGUCAAAAAGUAAAAAGUGAUAAGGAGAAGCAAAGUUGGAACUGGUAGAGGGAAUCGAUGGGGCUUUCGCAUGUGGAGAAAGGAAAAGAGAGAGGGAGAGAGAAAAAGAAAAAGAAAGAAAGAAAGAAAGGAGAGAGAGCUUGUGGGGGAAAAGGUGUUUGGCCAAAUGGGGAAAAAGAAAUGCGAAUAAAUUCAAAAGAAAAGAAUUUCCUCAAAUAGAAAAUUCUUAUUUCAUUUUCUUUUGAAUAAGCUCAUAGAUUCCCAAAAGAAUUUCUGAUUAAAGUACUCGGUUUCCACUUGCAUUUCUAGAUCCAAUUUCCCUUUUGAAUUUUUCUCAAAUGACUCUUAUAAAAUCAAUUGAUGUCUCACUUAUCAAAUUGAUUAUUUUCCUCAUCCAAGAAUCCCUCAUGCUUCUCAAUUUCACAACCAGAAUUAAUCUCCAGCUUCAAUUGAACGAAAAUGACCCUAAACUAACUUUUUCCCAAAAAGUCUUAGUUGUUAGAAAAAUCUUCCGAGACUGAGUUGACGUUUCUAAAUUUUAUUGUGACAUGACAUAAUCUUCAAUUUCUGAAAUUGGACUUGAAUUAGCAGUUAAUUUAUACUCGACGCGUUUUUAGCGUGACCUAGACUGCUAGGUAGUUUUAAGAACUUUUUAGGACAAAUGACCCGUGGUCGAUUUUCUUCGAGCCACAAUGAACCCACUCAACAAAUUGUCAAUUCUCGGUUGUCGUAAAAAUCUCGAGGGUUCAAAUACGGACACAAGGUACGAAAACGACAGUAAAAUCAAUUUAGUGUCGGUCGACGAGAGUUUUCCAAUUUAAUGGAGUCACCCACGAUUGGUCACACAUCUCAGGCAAACUGACCUAUCUCUGAUCUUAAUUUGAUUUUUAACUGUGCCGUAAUGAUCUCUAAAGAUGAGUACGGUCAAGAAAUCGAUUUCUGGUCGAAUUCUCAAGUCUAUUUGCCUUAAAGUCCUUCAUAGCUUACCCAGCUAGUCUAGUUAUCUCGUGAGUGGCCAACUAAGAGAAAAACACUAUAGUCGCGUCAAUGAAAUGCCAAAUUUAUCUAAUUGAAAUCAGAGCCUGAAAAUCAAGAUGUCACAACUCUUCCCUUCUUAUAAAAAUUUCUUCCUCGAAAUUUAAACCUUUACCAAUCCUUAUACAAAAGGUGGGGGUGUUGUCGUCUCAUCGAGUCUCACUUUUCCACACUGAUCCUUCGGUCUCGUGGUGUUGUCCGACCACUUUGACCAAGGAGACCAUAUUUGUACACAAAAUCUGUUCUUUCUGAACCAACAACUGAACUGAGCUUCUCACAUAUGACACUCUAAAGUCCAUGUCUGAUUCUAUUCACGAUAAUUGCAAUCACUGAUUACUGAGCUGACUCUGGCCUAUGAUAUUUCUUCACUUCACUUUCUUUUCACCACUAAAAUUAUGUACCCUCUGCUAUGCACUGCUUAAGAAGGAACCCUUUGAAAAAUCUGUCAAACUUGUAACCUUUGAUCUAGAUUCAAAAUAUAAUUCAUCCUCGGCACUUCAUGCCAGUGAAUUACCCGAUACUCACACGUUUCGGCAUACCCAUUCAAAACUAGAUUCAUUCAUGCUGUACUAAAGUGAACCAGCUUUGUCUAUUGGUUGAGCACUAUCCUCAUAAGGAAUCAGUACUCCCCUGUCUCCUUAGUAAGUCUGUCACAAUGCUCCAUUGUGAUAUAUUUUCCUUCCCAUUUGGGACUCUCGAGUGAUGAUAAAAGUCUUCCUAGUUUGCAUUACUAAACUUCCACUUACUGACAUCUCUGACACUUGCAAACUGCCCGGCAGCAUCUAUCUUCAUAUCAGCCUACCAAUCUAGCUAACGCUGAUUCUAAUUUACUUGCACUGUUUGGUCAAAAAUUGCAAUAGUAUAGUGAAUUUCUGACAAUUUUCCUUACCUAAGUGCUAUAAUAUCAAGUACACUCAAUCACUCUCGUAACUCAAGUAUUCCAUCCUCAGAAGUCUUAAAGUUAGAUUAUUUCUUACCAGUAUCCUCUUAUAAGGUCUUCUAAACAUCUCUGUCUAUCAACUAAAUGCUUGAUUCUAACUUGAACAUCUGGUUCAAUUUUGAGGGCGGCUAAAAAAUUCAAAAGGUAGCUUACCUCAAAUUCAAAGACCGAAUUUUGAACCCUUUUCAAGUAAAAUCCAUACUUUAGUCAAUCCGGCCACAAUUGAAAACUCUCGACUCAAGCAUCAGUGGCUUCUUUCGUUCCUCAAAGGUGAUACCAAAUAACACCAUUACAGUCCUGCCAAAAUUCUGAUUCACGACACCGUUUCAUAUUCAACUUAUUGGGUCUUAACUAGUGGAACAUGUAUGCAACAAUCUUCUCAUGUUGUAUCAAUACGUAACCAGUCCUCUACAAACCACAUCACUAAAGAUUUCGUGCUUUCCAAAACCAAAUGAAAAGUUUACCACAAGUGCGGUAACCAGUUCUUACUUAAGCUCUGGAAACUAUCAUCGCACUUGUCUAUGCCGAUGAAUUUCUCUUCUUUCUUAAGAGGUCGAGUCCGCGGUGAUACUGAUGCUGAAAAUUCUUUCAUGAACCUUCUGUAGUAAUCUGUCCAAUCCACUCAACUUCUGAUCUUUGACAUUGUUGCGAGUCCUAGUCCACUAACAACUAAUUUGAUCUUGGCUUGGUCCAUAAAGAUUCCUUCACUUGGAAUCACAUGACCAUUCUUAGGUGGCUCCCAUGGUCCUCUGCACCUAAUGAAUACACUAGAAUGUCAUUACAUCACACGAUCACCAUUGAUCUAGAUAUUCUUUGAACACUCGGCUUGUCAAAUCUAUGACAAUAGUUGGAGCGUUCAUCAAAUCAAAUGGCUUUACAUUAUUCUCACAAGGGCUAAAUCAAGUGUGAAAUGUUGUCUUUAGCAUAACCUCAUUCUUGGUUCUCAACUGACAACAACAUGUCCUCAAGUCGAUCCUUGAAGACGUCAACACUCUUUAUAGAAAAAAGUCGCCCAAUUCGUCGAUCUUUGACAAUGAACACUUAUCCUUGAUUGUCACUUGAUUGAGUCGACUACAGCCGAUGCAUAAUUGCAAUGAACCAUCUUUCUUUCUUUCUCACUAUGAGACUGAUGUUUCCUCUAGGUAAUGCACCGAUAUGCAUGAAUUCCUCAUUCAUCAUUCCUCACAUUUGCACCAUUGUUCUAUCAAUUCAGACAACAACAACUGGUAAGAAGCUUUAGAGAAUGGUUCUAUCACAAGUGCUAACUCAAUCCCAAAUUCUAUCUCACUUACUUACAACAGGCUUGACAAUCCCUCUGGCAACACUUCCAAAAGUUUUGGACUACCGAGGAGUCCUAAAUUUUCAAUUCUUCAAUCUGUUUUAUCUUUGACAAUCACCAAGUAACCUAGGCGUCCUCCGUCUAACAAAUGGAUCGCCUCCAGUGACGAGAUUAAAGAAGUCGAGGACCCUUCUUGACUCUCAAUAAAACUCGGCAUUUCUACCUGCUCCUGGAAUAAACCGGGUUACUCCCCUAUAACAAUUCAUUACCACAAAAUGCUCCAAGACUAAUUCUUUCCACACUUGACAAAUAAGUUGUACACCAAUAACCAAUCAAGUACAAAUCUAGUCAGUGAUUCUUUUCCUACAGCCUUAACAAACAACUGAAAUUCCACAAUUGUAUUCUCAACACUCUUUGGCACCGUUCUAAUGAAAUCACCUCAAAACAUUCUUCCAUUGAAUAAAGCAUAGUCAAUUCUGUUCUUGUUCCUUUUGCCUCCUAAUGGCGUCUUAUCUGCGGUCUUGGUAUCAAUGCUUCGUAUCAAUGCUCCCUUGGACUCACACUGAUAGUUUUUUUUUCACUUGACAGCCGUGCUGACUACCAUCACAGCACGUUUUAGCCAUUCUCAAACACAUGAUUAAUCCAUGCAUUCCUUCCAUACUUUUGGCACUUUCCUAGUGAGUCUUCUACCUCCUAUCAAGUGCAAGCAUGCACUAAUUCUCGUACCGGAGGCCUAUCCCAAAAAUUCCACAGUGCGUUCUAUGGCGUACUUAUUUUGACCUGUCUUAUUGACGAUGACAGUAGUAACCAUUGUCGAGAUUCCAUCUACUUAUGCAGAUACCCCAUAAAUCAUUAUACGUGCUGACAACACUUACCACAAUUUCAUGUCCUAAAAAUGCACGAGAAUGACCCAUACCGUCUUUCAUGGAACAACAUGUUCCAUUUGUCUAAAUGCUGACCUAACUAUUCCACCCUUCCUAUUGGGUGGAGUAGAAUACCCUUCCCUCAACAACAAUCUUUACCCUGACCGAAUUCCAAGCCUGCUUGCACUGGUUCUUAAUUCAAAUAUCGAAAUCUAUUCCCUGAUCAUCCUUCCAGGUUGGACCUUAGCAAAGGUAGCAACAACAAUAACUUGAUCCUGAUCUUACCGGCUCAUCCAGAUCCCAAGGAACACUUGCAUCAGAUCAAUCUUAUCAGACUUAGGAUCAUUCAACGCUACUACACUAGUACCAACCUGCGGUGGCACUCUUACGCUCGAGCUGGCUAGAGUCGACAUUCUACGUUCAGAAUCCACACGAUUAAAAGCAAGCAAUUCACACAUGACAAACAAUUCUACCAAUCGGCUAUCAAAGACAUGCACCGGUUAUGAAUUUAAAGGACUUUCCUACUACUAUCCCAUAGGUCACUACACCUUAUCACUCCAAUACCUAAUCAUUGCUCUAAUACCACAAAAAGGGGGAUGUCACGUCCCGAUCCUCAAGCAUGCACACAUCCCUUACCUUGGUCGAUUUUAAAAUGUGAUAUCUCAAGGCUACAUAUUGCCAACCCUUUCCUUUUGAAUUGCACAUGCGGAAGCAGUUAUAAAAAUCCCCAAACAAUAAAGCAAUGGGAUAUAUAAGUAGGACUAGAAACUUGAACCUGAAAACCAACACCCUUAUGUACAUUUAUAACAACUCAAUCAUAUAUACAAGCCAUGUUAAAAAGGUUGGUUUCUACUCAAAUAGGUUCUACAGCAAAAGUCGUCAGAUAGGAAUGGAGGCUUAAUUCUCAUCAGGAUCCUACUUUGGAUCAUCCUCGGGGUUCUCCUUCUGGUACUCCUCUCCAGGUUCUUUCUCCUCAAGUUCCUCAUCAGGGUCUUGAAAUGUUGUCCCACAACUGAGAUGAGACUACGUCUUAGCAAGCUUUACCCCCUAAGACUCGAAUAGUAAACUAAUAUACCUUAGAGCUGCCUAUGCACAACAUGAGUUAGAGGACUUAUCUCCGCCUCAGAGUCCGCCUGCAUACUAGCACAGAUCAAAUAGGCACCCAAGCAAUCACAUCACUAAUUGAAGCAUUGAUCAAAUCGACCUAGUCGAUUACACGUCAUUUGAACCAUCGCAAGGUCAUUUCCAAUUUAUUAGUCAAUUCACAACAUCAGAUCAAACCAUUGAAUCACAAUAAAUCCACACUUAGAUCAAAUCAUCGAUCAAUCGACCUAGUCGAUUACAUGUCAACAUGACCAUUCUCCGGUCACUUCAAUCAAUACGAUCGACUUUCCUCAAGGUGGGCCGAGCAUCUGGGCUCGGGAAGCGGUCAAAAUGGGCUACAAAGCUGCUGCCAUACCCAUUUGUCUCCUCUCUAUUCACUACUGGUUGAGGCCGGAUUCGGGGCUGAGAUGGCGAGGCAAGGCCAGUAGAGGGCAAGUGGACCUCCGGUGAGUCGAGGUGGCAGCGGCGUAUGGUGGCCAAAGGUUCUUGGGCAGCAGCCUAAGAUGGUCGAAUGGGGCUGAACAGAGGCGCCUGGAAGCUGGGGUCGCAUGGUGUGGCGAUGAGAGGCGCGGCCAAGCAUGGCUGCCUGCAUGCUCACGUGGGGAUGGGUGACCAGAGACGACGACACCUCUGGUCCAAGCGAUGCCGGCUACUACUUCUGCUCCGGCAUCCUCCCAGAUCUGGAACCUCGAGCAGUAGACGGAGGGGAAGACAGAGGGUGUCGAUGACGGCUGAGGUGGGUGAGUGAGAGGCGGAGGGCGAACGGUGAGUGGCGGAGAGUGGGGGUGAUUCGCGAGCAGCGACGGCGAGCUGCUUUGGUCUUCCUCUCUCAAUGGCUACUAUCUCCGCUUCUGCUCUUGCUAUGUUCGAACGACCGGAGAGGGAGAAGAGGAGAGAGAGAGUGUCGAACGGGUGAGGGGGUAUCAAGAGAGAGAGGAAGUACUGAAAGAGAGAGAAGAAGAUAAGAGAGAAAGAAGUUUGAAAAUUCAAAACAUAAAAAGUGAAAAGGAAGCAAAGUUGGAACUGGCAGAGGAAGUCGGUGGGGCUUUUGCAUGUGAGAAAGAAAGAGAGAGGGAGAGAGAAAAAGAAAAAGAAAGAAAGAAAGAAAGAAAGGAGAGAGAGCUUGUGCGGGAAAAGGUGUUUGGCCAAAUGGGGAAAAAGAAAUGGGAAUAAAUUCAAAAGAAAAUAAUUUCCUCAAAUAGAAAAUUUUAUUUCAUUUUCUUUUGAAUGAGCUCAUAGAUUGCCAAAAGAAUUUCAUAUUAGAGUACUCAGUUUCCAAUUGCAUUUAUACAUCCAAUUUUCCUCUUGAAUUUCUCUCAAAUGACUCAUAAAAUCAAUUGAUGUCUCACUUAUCAAAUUGAUUAUUUUCUCAUCCAAGAAUCCCUCAUGCUUCUCAAUUUCACAACCAGAAUUAAUCCCUAGCUUCAAUUGAACAAAAACGGCCAUAAACUGACUUUUUCCCAAAAAGUCUCGGUUGUAAGAAAAAUCUUCUAAAACUAAGUCGACGUUCCUAAAUUUUAUUGUGACAUGACAAAAUCUUCAAUUUCUAAAAUCAAACCUGAAUUGGCAGUUAAUUUCUAUUCGAUGCAUUUUAAGCGUGACCUAGACUAUCAAGUAGUUUUAAGAAAUUUUUAGGACAAAUGACCCAUGGUCGAUUUUCUUCGAGCCAUGAUAAACCCACUUGACACAUUGCCGAUUCUCGGUUGUCAUGAAAAUCUUGAGGGUUCAAAUAUGGACACAGGGUACGAAAAUGACAGCAAAAUCAAUUUAGUGUCGGUCAACGAGAGUUCUCCAAUUUAGUGGAGUCACCCACAAUCGGUCACACAUCUCAGUCGAAUCGACCUAUCUCUGAUUUUAAUUCGAUUUUUAACUGUGCCGUAAUGAUUUCUAAAGAUGAGCACGGUCGAGAAAUCGAUGUUUAGUCAAAUUCUCAAGUAUAUCUGCCUUAAAGUCCUUAAUAGCUUACCCAGCUAGUCUAGUUAUCUCGUGAGUGGCCAACUCAGAGAAAAACACUGUAGUCGCAUCAAUGAAAUGCCCAAUUUAUCUAAUUGAAAUCAGAGCCUGAAAAUCAGGAGUCACACCAUCCGCAGUUUGGUAAGUAGUAAACCAAAUCUUAUGAGGCGUCAUAUGAUAAGAACACCUCGAAUCUAGCACCCAUUUGUCUCCUAACGAAGUAGUAGUCACACAUAAGACUGCUUCUGCAUCACUAUAGCUCCCUUCGGCAACGUUUACCACACUGCUUGUGGCAUUCUGCUUAUCUGCUUUAUUCUUUCGCUUUGGACCAUCUCUCCUGAUGUGUCCCUCCUUGCAACACUUAAAGCACUUCACGCAUCCCUUGGACUUUCUAUGACAUGAUUUCGAUCUGCUUUUAUCUCUACCGUUACUAGGCCCUUGUUGUUGUUCUCUACCCCGAAUUGUCAGUGCUAACACUACUCCUUGCGCCAGACCGUCAUUUCGCAACUUUCUCUGCCACUCCUUAAAGAAUAAGGUGGACUUUACCUAUCUGAGGUAAUUGUAGUACGCCCCUGCAACAGUGAAUCAGUAAAGUGCUCCAAUGACUCUGGUAAAGAAGCUAACAACAUCAUGCCAUGUUCUUCAUCAUCAAGUAUCUUACCGACAUUCUUCAAAUCCGUCAUGAGUUUAUUAAAUUCAUCUAGGUGGGUUUUGAUGGACGUACAUUCAAUAUAUCUAAAUUAAAACAUAUUCUUCAACAUUUACAAGCGAUUGUUCAAACAUUUCUUCACAUAGAGUGCUUUAAGUUUUACCCAUAAUGCUGCGGCAUCCUUCUCCUUAGCAACCUCUAUUAAAACCUCAUUCGACAAAUUUAACAAGAUUGUGCUUUUUGCUCUUUCCAUUAGCUUUACCCUCUCUGAGGCUUUCAUUAUAAUAGGCAACUCAUCUUCACCAUCCAGUGCCUUGGCCAAACCUUGGGUUAUUAGUAAUGCCCGCAUUUUGAUGCUCCAUAAUAUAAAGUUAUUGCUCCUGUUAAACUUUUUAAUUUCAAAUUUCCUCUUAGACAUAAUUGCAAUAACAGAAUUUCCAAAUAAUAAUUAGACAAGCAAAAGCUCCAAAUCACAAUCAAGAAAUCCAACCCCAAGCUUUGAUACCAAUUGUUGGAAUAUAAUACACGACAAGAUCUUGCAAUUUACGUCAACACGAAAUCACCAGAGAAAUAAACGAUAAAUAAUAAGGAGACAGAAAUUUACGUAGUUCAGUCCAAGUAUCGGUAACUACGUCCACGGAGAGACCAAGCAGCAAGUAAUCCACUAUAAUUGAAAAAAUAGAGUUUACAAUCGCUUACGCGCUCAAGUGUCUCUCACACCUAGAUUUAAACCUAAACCCAAAGUGUUUAUAAAUAAACAACUCACUUGAACAUAAACUCACGGCACAAAAAAAAAAAUCACGCGUUCAAGUCGUACACCAAAAAGAAAAGAUCUCCAACUUCCUUUUCUUUCUUUCAUGCAGCUCUUCUCUCGACGUGGACAUGCGGCGUGGACGUGCAGCUUUCUUCUCCAUAGAGCUUCAGUGGCUUCUUAUGGAAGGAAAAGAAGACUUGCAAAUAUUUCUGUUUUUAUGUGUGCCCAGGUCAAAGUUUAACCUGCGCCCACCACGUUUUGGCUCUAUGUGUGCAGAGGACUUCAUCUUCACGCCAAAGGGUCCUUAUACAUGUGUGUGCCCAGAGUCAACACUUUGACUCUAGGCCCCACAAUCUGAUUGCUUUUUUCGGAUUCCACAUGCUUCCACAACAAAGAAGAAACUUUUCUCCCUUUUUUUUAUUGUUAUAUUUCCUCUUUUGUAAAUCUUCAAGAGUCCAGCAAAGUUUUUCUGUUGACUGAAAACAUCCAAACAAAUCACGCGUUUUGCAAAUACUCAAACUUGAGACAUAAUUUAACACUAUUUCCUACUUGAUUCUCCAGCCUAGUCUCCUACAAUUCCUAGCCCUUUGGGACCAGCCAACAUCACGGCUAUUCGAACUUUGUUUGCAGAUGCACAUGGGUGAGAACUGCUUCUAUUUUCGGUUCUUGUCUUGUUCUCCAAAUGCGCAUGGAUGGUUGGAGGUCUAAAGAGAUUAGUUACGUGAGAAAAUGAGAACAAAUGGGCUUGUAUAGCAUGAGAGAGAGAGAGAGAGAGUGAACCAAGGGAAAUAAUAAUAAUAAUAAUAAAUUGAUAAGACCAUUAAUAGUUUGAUUGAUUUGGGAGCUCUUACGGUCUCGUCAAUUUGAAAAUUUUAGAUAUCGGGCCUAAGUAUCUUAUUGGGCUUGUGCAUCAAGCCUAGCCCGGCUAAGUUUCCAUCGGCCUGAGUGGCGUGGCUUAGUCUAGUCCGGGUUCAAGCCGUUUGGCCAGAUCUGGUCUAAGCUCAAGCCGUCUUUUCAACAAACCGGGUUGGACCCAACCUGGGGAUCUGACUCGCGUCUUUUUUAAUAUAUUAUAAUUUUAUAAUAUAAAUAUAAUAUUUAAAAAUAUAUAUAAAUAUAUAUUUUAAAAUUAAAUAUUUCGAAAAUUAAAAAAAUUGCAAGGUUUGUUUAGAAAUUGACAUGUUUUGCUUUCUUAGUGUAAUUAGACCUUUAUUUGCUUGCACAUUGAUUUAUCGCAUGUUUAAUUUGCAUAGUUAAUUAUCUUUAAUUGCAUGUGCUCAAUUUUACUACAACUAGGAUUUUGGUAGCUAUGAUUGUUACUAUAAUGAUUGCAAACCUGCAUGAUCACUUCACAUGUUAGUGAAUAGGUAUAAAAUCAAUCUAAACUGCCAAAGAAAAAUCUCUUCUUCUAAAAUGAACAAGCUUAGGUACCAAAAACACACUAAUUGGUCAAUUAGUGUAAUCAAGUCCCCAACCCUAAAAUCUUUAGUUGGGUAGGAAGUGAGGUAUACUCUCCUACCUCACUUGGUUUCUAGCCGGCCCCAAUAGACUAGCGGCGUCUCCAUUUUGCAAAAUAAUUAGAAAUACCCCAACGUCACGUGAGGUAUGGGCUUGGGAGAGCCCGCGCCUAUCAUGGGCCUUUUGCUCAAUAUUACCAUUCGGCUUGUCUUGUUUGUAUUGCUUGACGCACGAACGCCUAAUAUUCGGCACAGUGAGCAUCCGUUUUGUCCAUAUUGCCAGAUAAAUCCCACAGAUUCUUUCCCUAAAUUUGUUUACCGUCCUUGCCGUUCCAUAGCCUUGCUAAUUUCCGGAGCACUAACUUCUACUAAUAUCUUGAUUCUUUCCAUCAUUACAUCUCUUCAUACGUUAUUUUCUUUUCUUCCCAUUCCUCACUUAGUAUCUUGGUUUCAAGCCUCCGUACUUCAUAUUAUUCUGAUAGAAAAUGAAAUAAUCAAAUGAUUUUUCAUUGAAUAACUAUUCAUCUAUUGUAUUUUCAUGUAAAUAGGGGUAACAAAGUUCAAUGGAGAAAUGGUGGUUCAAUUCAAUGUUGUAUAAAGGAAAAUUAAAUUAGAAUACAGGUGUGGGCUAAGUAAAUCAAUCGAUAGGUUUGGUAAUCCUAUUUAAUGACAUUUACAUAUUUAUACCCAGAAAAAAAGAAGAAGAGGAUUUCAUCUAUCUUGCCCCUUGCCGGAUUUUGUGGUAUCGUUUUUGGUUCUGUUUUCAAUUGAAUGAAUCGGGUCUUUCAUCGAUGCGCCUGUAGUUCUUUUCCCUAAACUGAUCAUUUACAGGAUAACUAGUCUAUCAAGUGAAGCUGUUAAGGGAUUUUAAUGCAAUAGACUUGGGAAUUCGAUUAGGAAUCCACUACUCCACCGUGCUAGUCUACAAGGGUCGUUAUGGCACAAUUAAAAAUUGAUUAGAGAUUGAAGAUAGGUCAAUUCAACUAAGCCAUGUGAUUAAGUGUGGGUAAUUCCACCUAAUUGCAAAAUUUUCGUCGAUUGGCACUAGACCAAUUUUUCUGUCGUUUUAGUACCUUAUGUCCGUAUUUGAAAUCUUGAGAUUUUCACGACAACUGAGAGUCGUCAAUGUGUCAGAGAUGUAUAAUGUGGCUUGAAAAUAACCGACCACGGGUCAAUUGCAUUAAAAAUUCCUAAAAGCCACCCAGUAGGCCAGGCCACGUUAAAAUCGCACCAAAUCGAAAUUAAUCACGAAUUUGAAUCCGAUUUCAGAAAUUGAAAGUUUUGUCAUGUCGCAAUUUAUUUUAGGAAAGUCGACUCACUCUCCAAAUAUUUUUCUGCAAACCAAGAUUUUUGGCGAAAUUUCAAAGUAGGGCCAUUUUUUAUCGGAAAAAUCAGGGGACCAUUUUUAUCAUGUUUUUGGGAUUCCAGUUGGAUGAAGUGACGAGAAAAAAAGUUGAAUGGGAUGAUGGCACCUUGGUUGAAUUUAUGGGGACGAUUUAGAUCCAGUUAAAGGAGAAUUGAAGUGGAUUUGGGAGAAUUUAUGUCAAAUUCGUAGGCCAUGGUCACCACAACAUUUGGACCAUUUGGUGAAGCUUCUAAGGGAAGUCUUGGGCUGCAAAUUGGCUUGGAUGACAGCUAAGGCAAGUGGGUCCUUGCCAAUGAGUGUUUGAAGAUAGAAUAAAGAGCUUUGGAGGCCAAGAGGGACCCUCCAACCUUCUGUUGUCCCUUUCUUCUCUAGCAAGAUUGCUUUCCCUAUUAUAGACCAUUUUGAGCUCCCAAAAAACUAGAGGAAACCACUGGCCUUCCCCCCUACCGUUGCAAGCCGCCUGUCAAACCGCUAGGACCACCAUGUUACCAUAGCACCCCCCGUGCGAGCCCGUCGCGUGCCGUCUGCCCAUCCGGCUGCUCCUGCUUGUCCCGCCACCCCAGCUAUGCCCUCGAGCCUCCCUAGUCACUGUAGGAGCUCAGCCGAAGCACCCUGGCCACCGUCGCCCCUGCUCGCCCGCUACAACCUAGUCUGUUCCAUUGCAGUUUCUAGCUCUGUUCUAGUUUGCUCAAUCCUUGGACAUAAUCAAGAAGCCCAGCUAGCCAUGAUCCUUUAAGACCCGUUUUAGACCUCUUUUGGGCCUUGCUUGGCUUCGCCACCAAGAGGUUUGUCGUUUGUCCCCACGUCGCCAUCACAUAGACUUACUAGAUUGCUAAACCGGUGAGUUUACUUGCUAAACUCUACUUAGGGAGUUAAUAAUGUUUAAAGGGUGUUUAGAUUAGGCUAGUUAGGGAUUAGGUGGUUAGUUAGAACGGAUUAGUGAUUUAAUUAUUUGAUUUUGCAUUUUAGGUGGUUUGAACAGCUUAAUUAUGGACUAGAUAAGUUGUACUAUUUACCUAGAUAGGUUUGGAAAUUUUUUCGGCCUGUUUGGGUGGUUAAUUAAGCACCUUCGACCUAAGUUUGCUCUCUUUUUUUGUAAUUAAUUGCAUUUAUUUAAUUAUUUUUAUUAUUUAUUUAAUUAUUUAUUAUUUUCUAGAAAUUAUACCGAGAUAGCCAGUGACCGAAAUUUCGUGUUCAUUGAAGUGGUAUGUUUAAUUUAUGCAAUUACUAUUUUGUACAAAUUGAGUGGUGAUUGUAAUUUUGGGUAUUUAUUCCAAAAUGGUGUAAUUUUGGUAUUUAAUCAAAAAAUACCAGGGCGUCGGUUUUAAUGGCAAAAAUAUUUUUAGGCAUUAAAUUAAAUAGUGAGAUUUUUGAAAAGAAAGAUAUAACAUUUUGGCUCAUACAGGCUGUGUACCUACACAUGAUUUUUCUCCAGUAUUUUUAUCACGAUGAUAUUAGGCCAAGUUCAUUAUUUUAUUUGAGAAAUGGGUGUGCAAAGCACGAGGUCUUUGGCCGAGAUUGAUUUAUUGUGUAUCAACUUUGGUGAGCAAUAAUAAAUCUCAGCUUGGGUGAGCAGUGAUUGAAUUGAGUCGAUUGAUUGAGUGGAUCAAUGGUUGAUGGUUUGGGUUAAAUUGAUUGGUUGAGAUUAUGAUUGUCCUGAUGUGCAGGAGGGAACUGAGGCAAGGUAAGUCUUCUGACUUGUGUUUAUAGCUGCCUCUAAGCAUAUUUCCUUCCUAGACGGAAUUUAGGGGUGAACUUGCUGAGAAAUUGUCUCACCCUGUCAUGGCUCGGUUCCUCGAGAACGUUUGGCUAGCCCAAAAGGAUCACUCAGUAGGUCUUCAUUAUUCCUCUUCCCGAGGGCCAAGGAGCCUAGGUCUAUGAAUUCGUAAGGAUCAUGUCUGGGUUGAUGCAGGUCUACCUCGGUGGAUACCCCAUCAAUUCAGAGCGUGGUAUCGUCCCAUGUGAAAUGGACCCAGAGAAGGUCCCCUGUAGGAUUCUGAGGUCCUAGUGUCGUGUUAGAAAUUACUUUUGGCGAGGGUACAGCUGACCCUUCUGGUGGUGCAGUGGUGGACCUAAGUCCCCAGGAGAGCUCGGGGUUUUCAAUUGGGGGUUCAAAUGCCUAGAGGAUUUGUAGACUUUCUGCUUGAGUAGACUUUUGUUUAUAGACUAAUAUGGUAUAUAAACUAGUCGGUGUAUCCUGGGACGUUGUAAUUUAAUCGACCACCAAGGGAUGGGCACAUGCUCGAGGAUCGGGCCGUGACAUCCCCGCCUAGAGUGGUAUCAAAGCGGGUCAGCGUUUGUAGUGAUAAGGUGCGAUGGGUUAUGGGAUAGUUAGUAAAAAAUGAAUUUUUCUUAUGUAGACACUUGUGAUUGAUUGAUUUAUUGUUUGUGUGGGUUGCUCAGUUUUCCUAAUUGUUUGUGGAAUUGGAAAGUAGGUUUGUGGAGAUCAUGUAAAAUGAGCGAUCCAGAGCCAAGGAUUUCUCAGAAGAGGAGCGUUGUGUUGGCCUCUUGGGGUAGGACACCAACUAGUGUCGAUACUCGAGGUGGUUGUGGUAGAGUGUAGGCUCAGGCUAGCGUGAGUGAGAGAGUACUACUGCAGGCCGGUACUGGUGUAGCAGCAUAUGGUGAUCCUAGAAUCAAUGGGAUUGUUCAAACACUUGAGGCUUUGGGAAAUCUAAUGGAGUAGCAAGUUCAAAUCAAGUUGCCGCUGCCAUUACUGCAGCCACACCUGCUAAAGUCCAACCUAGGAACGUGAUCGAGGAGAGACCGGUGCACAAGUUAAUUGAGCAGUUCUUGUAGUUGAACCCACCGAGGUUCACUGGUGUAAGAGAUCCCGAAGCUGCAUCGCUCUGCAUCUAAGACCUAGAGAAAGCCUUUGCACUUCUGAUGUGCAUUGAGGAGGAAAAGGUUGUCCUGGCAGUAUAUCAGCUACAAGGUAACGCGAAUACUUGGUGGAGAGUUACCAGAGGCAUAGUUUUCCCUGAAGGUGUAGUCCCAGUGUGGAACGCUUUCCUCAGAGCCUUCAACAACAAGUACUUUUUGGGUAACGCCUAAGAGCAGAAGAUGGAGGAAUUUCAAUUCCUUCGUCAAGGCAUGCUAACCGUUCAUCAGUAUGAAGCAAAGUUCGCUAAGUUGUUGUAGUACGCUCCCAGACUGAUAGAGGAUCCUAAAGACAAAGCUCGGAGGUUCAGGAACGGACUCCGAAUAGAACUAAAGAAUCCACUGAUACCGCAUGAUCUCAAGGAUUAUAACAAAGGUUAUAGUUGAGCCCAGUUGAUAGAGAGAAGUUUGAGUGAGCAAGCCGUCUCGUUUGGGUCGAGGUUCAGUUCGAAUAGAGAUGGGAACCGAUUUGGGAAGAGGUCCAUGACCGAAAGAAUAUACCAUGUUCUAUCCAAUAGGAAGGGUGGAAUAGGUAAGUUAGUGCCAAAUCAAAAUGGCAUGUGUUGCUUCUAUGGAAUGCGACAUGGUUCGGCCUUGUGCCAUCUUAGGAUGGGUGCAUGUUUUAAAUGUAGUCAACAUGGUCACUUGGCUAGAGAUUAUCCUAGAAGACCAAGGCGACUACAACAGUUACCGCCGCCACCACUGAUGGGUCAGAAUAGAAGGUUCGUAUCGCAGAUUGCACAGCAAGGAGAACAGAACAGACCACCAACUCAGGGAAGGACGUAUGCUAUCACAAGAGGACAUGCUGAGGACGCACCUGAUAUGAUUACAGGUAUGGUUUUACUAAAUGACCACGCUGCUUAUGCUUUAUUUGAUCCUGAUGCAACUCAUUCAUUUAUAGCUGAACAAUUUGUUAAGCUAGUAGGAUUGAUUCUUGAGUUGUUGGAGUCAGUGGUUAGCAUAUCUACACCGUUAAAGGAUAAUGUGUUAGCUACAAUGGGUUGUCCUAGUUGCAAGUUAGCGAUUGGUGAGCGAAAGACGAGGAUAGAUUUGAUAGUCCAAGUCAUGUAUGAUUUCGAUGUGAUAAGUGGCAUGGACUGGCUCACCAAGUAAUGAGCUAAGAUGGACUGCUAUUGUAAAUCGUUUCAGUUUAACCUAUUAGGGGGUGGAAGUUUCAAGUUCACUGGAAGUCGAGGAGGACCCUCGAUUUCCUUAAUCUUGUUGCUUGAGGCAACCUGUUUGUUAGAUGGGGGUUGUCAAGGUUACCUGGCGACUAUUGAGCAGCUGAAGAUCGAAGAUAUCUCAGUGGUACAAGAAUUUCCAAACGUGUUUUCGAAAUAAUUGCUAGGCCUGCCGCCAGAGAGAGAUAGAGUUCGUGAUUAAGUUAGCACCUGGGACAGAGCCAAUCUCUAAGGCUUCUUAUCGGAUGGCAUUGUCUAAGUUGAAAAAGCUAAAGGUGCAGAUGCAGGAGUUGUUGGAUAAGGGAUUCAUACGUCCCAAUGCAUCACUUUGGGGAGCACCAGUUAUGUUCAUGAAAAAUAAAGAUGGUUCAUUGCGCUUAUGCAUCGACUAUCGCCAACUCAAUCAAGUGAUGAUCAAGAACAAAUAUCCACUCCCGAGGAUCGACAACUUGUUUGACCAGUUGUAAGGAGCGUCGAUAUUUUCAAAGAUUAAUUUGAGUAUAGGGUAUCAUCAACUGAGGAUAAAAAAGGAGGACAUACUGAAGUUAGCGUUUCGUACUCGAUACGGCCAUUAUGAGUUUACUGUAAUGCCAUUUGGUUUGACAAAUGCCCCAACUGCUUUUAUUGAUAUGAUGAACCGAGUGUUCAAAGAAUAUCUAGAUCAAUUUAUGAUCGUAUUCAUCGACAAUAUCCUAGUGUAUUCGAGAAGUUUUGAGAAGCACGAGAGGCAUUUGAGGAUGGUACUUCAGACCUUGAGGAUUCAUGGAUUGUACGCCAAGUUCAGUAAGUGCAAAUUUUGGUUGACUCGAGUUGCGUUUCUAGGUCACGUGAUUUCAAGCGAAAGAAUCUCCGUGGACCCAACUAAGAUUAAAGCAGUUAUCAACUGGCCAAGACCAGUGACAGUGACAGAGAUCAGAAGCUUUCUAGGUUUGGUAGGUUAUUACAGAAGGUUUGUGGAAGGGUUUUCAGCGUUAGCGUCGCCGUUGACUUGACUACUGAAAAAGGAAGAGAAGUUUGUGUGAGCAGAUAAGUGCGAGAGUAGUUUUCAAGAGCUUAAGCAGAAGCUGACUACCACACCUAUGCUGACCAUACCAUCUGAUCCUGGAGGAUACGAGAUCUAUAAUGAUGCGUCGUUUAGAGAUUAAGGUUGCGUGUUAAUACAACAUGGUAGGGUUGUUGCAUACGUGUCCCGUCAGUUGAGAUCUCAUAAAUUGAAUUAUCCGACACAUGAAAAAUCAUUUUCGCUCUGAAGAUUUUGAGACAUUAUUUGUGUAGAGAAAUAUUCUAGAUCUUCACUGACCAUUAAAGUCUCAAGUUUCCAUUCUCUCGGAAUGAGAUGAGUAUGAGACAGUGUCGUUGGAUUGAACUCUUAAAAGACUAUGAUUGUGACAUUUUGUAUCACCCUGAAAAGGCGAACAAUGUCGUAGAUGCGUUGAGUCAGAAGUUUUCAGUUGUGCAUAUGAUGGUUAAGGAAUGGACUUUACUUGAGAAAGCUCGAGACUCGGUUUUCAAAUUUAAGAUAGGCCACCUUUCAAAUCUUGCUACCCUCAGAAUUGAACCGGAAGUGCAGAUUAGAAUCAAGACGCUUCGGUGGAUAGACCCAGAGAUUCAGAAGAUUCUGCAAGAGAAUACUGAAAAGAAGAAGGCUGACUUUAAGAUUUUGGAAGACAGAAUACUAAGGUUCCGAGGAUGAAUGUGUGUACCUAACGAUGUAGAGCUUGAAGAAGAGAUCUUAUUAUAAGCUCAUUGUAGCAGCUACAACAUUCAUCCUGGUAGUACGAAGAUGUAUCAAAAUCUGCGUCAACAUUAUUGGUGGUCCAGUAUGAAGGUGGACAUUGCCAAGCAUCUCACCAAGUGUCUGACAUGUUAGCAAGAAAAGGCGCAACAUUGUAAGCUGGGAGAACUUUUGCAAUCUCUCGAGAUUCUCGAGUGGAAAUUGGAGCACAUCACAAUGGACUUUGUGAUAGGCUUACCAAGGAGUCAAAGAGGUAAUGAUUCCAUUUGGGUAGUGGUCAACACACUGAUGAAGUCGGUUCACUUCAUCGUAGUACGAAAUGACAUUGAUUUGGACAGACAUGUACAGUUGUAUGUGCAUCAGAUUGUUUGUCUGUAUGGAGUGUCGGUAACGAUUACAUCAGACUGAGACCUGAGAUUCACAAUUGCCUAUUGGCAGAGUUUACAGGCUGCCUUAGGAAUGAAGCUGUAGUAUAGUACGGCUUAUCAUCCUCGGACAGAUGACUAGUCUGAGAGGACAAUUCAAACCCUCGAAGACAUGUUGUGAGCUUGCGUGUUGGAUUUCAAGGGAAGCUGGGAGGAACAACUUCAUCUUGUCAAGUUUGCCUACAACAACAACUACCAGCAGAGCAUUCAGAUGGCUCAUUUCGAAGCAUUGUAUGGCAGAGUGUGCAGAACGUCAAUGUGUUGGGAUUAGGUUGGAGAACAAAAGAUCACAGGCUCAGAGUUAGUCCAGCAGUCAGUGGAUGCAGUUGCCGUCAUUAGGGACAGAUUAAAGACCGCUCAAAGCUACCAUAAAAGUACAUUGAUAAGCGUGGAAGGCUAUUGAAAUUCCUUGGUGAGCACUUCUUUUUGAAGGUGUCACCGAUGAAUGGUACUUCGCACUUCAGCAAGAAAGGGAAGCUGAGUUUGAGGUACAUAGGUCCCUUUGAGAUUCUAGAAAGAAUAAGGAUUCUAGCGUAUCAUCUUGCAUUGCCGCCGAGGUUGGCGCAAGUGCAUGACAUCUCUCAUGUGUCGAUGAUGAAGAAGUAUGAACCUGACUCGACCCACGUACUAAAUUUUGAGGAAUUAGACGUGGACGACAGGGUGUCGUACGUGGAAAGACCAAUUCAAAUUAUAGAUCGCAAUGAACAUGUUCUGCACACCAUCACAAUGAACAUGUUCUGCAUACCAAAACGAUCUCGUUGGUUAAAGUGAUCUGGCAACACCACGGUAUUGAAGGAGCAACUUGGGAAAGUGAAGAUUCGAUGAGACAACUGUAACCCCACCUUUUUGUUUAAAAAUUUAUAAGAGGGGAAGAGUUGUGCCAUCUUGAAUUUCCAGUUCUGUUUUCAAUUGAAUGAAUCGGGCCUUUCAUCGAUGCGCUUAUAGUUCUUUUCCCUGAAUUGAUCACUCACGGGAUAACUAGUUUAUCAAGCGAAGCUGUUAAGGGAUUUUAAUACAAUAGACUUAAGAAUUCGAUUAGGAAUCCACUACUCGACCAUGCUAGUCUACAAGGGUCAUUACAGCAUAGUUAAAAAUUGAUUAAAGACUGAAGAUAGGUCGACUCGACUUAGCCAUGUGAUAAAGUGUAUAUGAUUCCACCUAAUUGCAAAAUUCUCGUCGAUCAGCACUAGACCGAUUUUUGUGUCGUUUUGGUAUCCUGUGUUCGUGUUUGAAAACUUGAGAUUUUCACGACAAUCGAAAAUCGUCAAUGUGUCAAAGAUAUACAAUAUGGUUCGAGAAUAACCGACCACAGGUCAAUUGCACUAGAAAUUCCUAAAAGCUAUUUAAUAGGCCAAGUCACGCUAAAAUCACGCAAGGUCGAAAUUAAACGCGAAUUUGAAUCCAAUUUCAAAAAUUGAAAGUUCUGUUAUGUCACGAUUUAUUUUAGGAACGUCGACUCACCUCCAAAGAUUUUUCUGCAAACCGAGAUUUUUGGCAAAAUUUCAAAGUAGGGCCAUUUUUUACCGGAAAAAUCAAAGGAUUGUUUUUUUUUCACGUUUUUGGGAUUCCAAUUGGACAAAUUGACGAGGAAAAAUAUUGAAUGGGAUGAUGGCACCUUGGUUGAAUAUGGGGACCGAUUUAGAUCCAAUUGAAGGAGAAUUGAAGUGGAUUUGGGGGAAUUUGUGUCAAAUUCAUAGGCCAUGGUUACCACAACAUUUAGACCACUCGGUGAAGCUUCUAAAGAAGUAUUGGGCUGCAAAUUGGUUUGGAUGACAUCCAAGGCAAGUGGGGCCUUGCCAAUGAGUGUUUACGAUAGAAUAGAGAGCUUUGGAGGCUAGGAGGGACCCUCCAACCUUCUAUUAUCCCCUUCUUCUCCAGCAAGCUUGCUUUCCCCAUUGUAGACCAUUUUGAGCACCCAAAAAAACCAGAGGAAACUGCCAGCCUUCCCCCUGCCAUCGCAAGCCACUCGCUAAACUACUAGGAUGUCGCGGUCACGCCCCCGCGAGAGCCUGUUGCACGCCAUCUGCUUGUCUGCUACUCCUGUUCGUCUCGCAACCCUAGUCGUGCCCCUAAGCCCCCUUGGUCAUUGUAAGAGCUCAGUCGAAGCCCCUUGGCCAGUGUCCAGUAGCUGCCAUCACCCCUGCUCACUUGUUGCAGCCUGGUCCGCCCAUCCCUUGCCAUUUCUAGCCCCAUUCCAACUUUCUUGGUCCUUUGAUAGAACCAAGAAGCCCAACCAGCCGUGAGCCUUCGAGGCCCCAUUUCGACCUCUUCUAGACCUUACUUGACUUCGCUGCCAGGAGGUUUGUUACCGUCUCUGCGUUACCGUCACCGUGGACUCACCGAUUAGCUAAACCAGUGAGUUUACUUACUAAACUUUGUUUAUUGAGUUAAUGACGUUUAAAUGGUGUUUAGAUUAGGCUAAUUAGGGAUUAUGUGGUUAGUUAGAAUGGAUUAGUCAUUUAAUUAUUCGAUUGUGCAUGUUAGGUUGUUAGAACGGCUUAAUUAUGGACUAGAUAAGUUGUGCUAUUUACCUAGAUAGGGUUGGACAUUUUCCCGACUCGUUUGAGUGGUUAAUUAAGCAUUUCCAGCCUAAGUUUGCAUUUUUGGUAAUUAACUGUAUUUAUUUAAUUAAUUUUGGUAUUUAUUUAAUUAUUUAUUAUUUUCUAGAAAUUAUACCGAGAUAACUGGUGAUUGGAAUUUCGUGCUAAUUGCAAUGGUAUGUUUAGUUUAUGCAAUUGAAUGCUAUUUUGUGCAAAUUGAGUGGUGAUUGUAAUUUUGGGUAUUUAUCCCAAAAUUGUGUAAUUUCGGUAUUUAAUCCGAAAAUACCAGAACGUCAAUUUUAACGCCAAAAAUGUCUUUAGGCACUAUAUUAAAUAGUGAGAUUUUUGAAAAGAAAGAAGCAUUUUGGCUCAGACCGACCGUGUACCCACACAUGACUAUUUUUAUCGAGUAUUUUAAUCACGAUGAUAUUAGGCCAAGUUCAUUAUUUUAUUUGAGAAAUGGGUGUUCAAAGCAUAAGAUUCUUGGCCGGGAUUGAUUUAUUGUGUAUUAGCUUUGGUGAGCAAUAAUAUAUUAAUAUAUAUAUAUAUAUAUAUAUAUAUAAACUUUGGUGAGCAUUAAUAAUAAAUCUCAGCUUGGGUGAGCAGUGAUCAAAUUGAGUUGAUUGAUUGAAUGGAUAGAUGGAUUGAUGGUUUGGGUUAAAUUGAUUGGUUGAGAUUAUGACUGUACUGACGUGUAGGAGGGAACUGAGGUAAGGUAAGUCUUUUGACUUGUGUAUAUAGCUACCUCUAGGCGUAUUUCCUUUCUAGUCGAUGUUUAAUGGGUGAACUUGAUGAGACAUUAUCUCACUCCAUCGUGGGCUCAACCUUUUCAGGUCCUUAGAUGGUGGUUCCUCUGAAAUGUUUUGGCCAGCCUAAGAGGAUCACCGAGCAGGUCUCCGUUAUUCUUCUUCCCGAGGGCCAAGGAGCCUGGGUUUAUGAACUCAUGAGGACCAUUGUCUGAGUUGAUGUGGGUCUACCUCGAAGGCUACCCCAUCAUUUCAAAGCAUGGUAUCAUCACGAGCGAAAUGGAUCCAAAGAAGGUCCCCUACAAGAUUCUGAGGUCCAAGUGUCAGUAUUAGAAAUCACUUUUGGCGAGGGUACAGCUAACCCUUUGGGUGGUGCAGUGGUGGACCCAAGUCCCCAAGAGAGCUCAGGAUUUUCAGUUGGGGGUUUGAAUGUCUAGAGGACUUGUAGACUUUCUGCUUGAGUAGACUUUUGUCUAUAGACUAGUAUUGUAUAUAAACUAGUCGACUAUGUAUAAAGGUUUGAUUCGGUUGUGAAAUCCUGGUCCUGUUUUUCUAUCCAAUCUUUGUGUUGUUUAGGGAUUUAUUUAUAUGCAUCUGCAUACGCAUUAAAAUGAAUGAGUCGGCGAUACGUCUUGGGACGUUGCAAUUUAAUCGACUACCGAGGGAUGGGCACGCGCUCGAGGAUCGGAGCGUGGCAAACUUACUUUCAAUAUGUAAAUCCUUUAAUUGUGGAAGGAAUUCCGCCGAUUCCUUCUCUUGGCUUUGAGCAUGCCCCCACAAUCACAGUCCUUUCAAGAUCGUGAUGUGCAAUCCCCCUUUUAAGCUACUAUUCUAGCCGUGAUGCAUUAUCCUCCAUUCCUUAUUGGCCAAAUUUAGACUCCAAUUCGGGUUGCCAUGUCAAAUAUCCUAAUUCAAAUUGCGACCCUGAUCCAUUCAAUGAAUUUAAGACUUUCACUUAAAAUAUGUCAAUUUCAAUGGGCACCUGUCAAUAAGAAAGAUUCUGUAAUACUCCACGGUAUUUUGCGUGCCACUGAGGAUGCCAAUGGCAACUAUACAAUAUUGAUUUUUAUUUUUAUUUUUUGGGUUUAGAGAUUGGACUCAAUCACUAAUUUUGACUAAAGAAAAAUCAAAAUUUAAAUGUCAACAUCGUCUCCGAAAAAAAAAUUGCCGACCAGUGCAAUAAGUUAGUAAUCUCGCGGCCAACAUCGAAUGGGAGCAAGAACUCCAGCGAAACGACCGUAAGAUGGGAAACUUUAACACUAUCUUUACGAAGAAAAGACAAAAUUUAUCCUGCAAAGUCAAACACGUGCAGACCUCAUCUUAAUAGUUCAUCGACAUUUGAAAUCCAAGCCGGCGAUGAUUCCUCAUGUAAAAAUAACAUUCUUAGUUUGACUUUUGCAAUUGAAAAAAGAAAAAAAAAAAAACGAAGGAUACUUGCAUAGGUAUUAUUUUUCCCCCACAUGGCAUAUACUCCAAAUUAAGCUUAUUUAUAAUAUGUAGCUUAAAGCGUCAACACAAAGCCGGCUCUUUCUUUUAACUCAUAACAAUUACUUUGUCUCAUGCUCUUAUUUCAUCUAUAAGUAGAAAGAUAUGCUAUUAAGCUAAGAUAAUCGAAAAGCAUGGCUAAGAUCACCAGUCACAAGUCCACCAUCUUCUUCAACUUGGUUUCGAUACUCUUGUUCGUCCUCAUGGUCACCCGGGUCAAGAGCCUAAUAGUUGGAAGUAAUGGGUUUCUAAUCUCCAUCAAACAUAUAUUUUGUUCCUGCAUACCUCAAAAUCUCGUUCUGCAACUUCAUCGUACAUUGAGGAUCCGCUUUCUAUUUCAAAACCUCGGCCAACCACAAGUAACAACCCUAGUACCAGUACUUUCGACCAGUUUUGGAAUAAAAUCUGUUUUAAUGCUGCAAUAGUAGCUGGAAGUUUUUCCUUCCUACAAAAGGAUAAGCAGCUUGACAAUACCCAUGUUUCUCAUAAUAUUAAAGUAGUUUUCAAUGCACGCGCUAAGCACGAUUCUUUUCAUUGCUAGUGUAAAUUACGCAAUUAGUGUUUCACUAGUCAUCAAUCAAAUCAUUUCGUUGGGACUCAAGUAUUUCUCUGGUUUAUGCAUGGUGCUUUACAGGGGAACCUUUCCUUUUGUGCCACGAACUGGUGCAAGUGAACAGUAGCACAGCAGUAGAAAUUAUUCUCAGAAACAAAAUGUCAUUUUUUUUUUGUUCCAAAUUUAUUUUUCCAUCAUUUUUUUAUUUUAAAGAAUAAAAAAAUUAAUUGACGUUACGAAAUAUGUUUCUAUGCUUUUUCUAUUCUAGAGAGCAAAAUGAUAAAUUAAUAAAGAAACACAAGCAUCGCCAAAUAGAGCCUUAUCUCUGAUGCGGAUCCCCAAAAUCCAUGUUUUUUUAUUGUUUUCUUGCAAUCAUGCGUUCCCUUCCUGAACAUCAUGUGGAUAAACUCGUUGACCUUCUUUUUUGCUUAGGAAAGCAGUGCAUUUUUCAUGAUUUAAAGCAAUUAAAAUGGACCAAAGAAAGUUAGAAGUGCAGACCUUCAAAUCUCUCAAUUUUCCAACGGACAUGGCCACGAAAAUUGAGGUUGUCUCCACAGAGACCAUCAAGCCGUCCUCUCCAACUCCACCUCACCUAAGGAACUUCAAUUUCUGCCUCCUCGACCAGCUGGCUCCAUCGUUUUAUGUUCCAGUCGUCCUGUUCUACUUGGCUCCUGACCAAAAGGCGGCGCCAGACUCAGCCUUGGUUUCGGGAUACUUGAAAACUUCGCUUGCGCAGGCGCUUUCCCUCUUCUACCCUCUAGGUGGAAGGGUGAAAGGAAAUGCUGGGAUUGAUUGCAAUGAUGAGGGUGCACUCUAUAUGGAGGCGAAAGCUCGCUUCGAGCUGUCUAAAGUCCUUUCGAACCCAGACAUCGAUCAGCUGCAGCAAUUCCUCCCAUUCUCCCCAAGCAGAGUCAGUACCAACAUUAACGAACAAGUCAUUGUAGGGGUCCAAGCCAAUUUUUUUGACUGUGGCGGCAUGGGGAUCGGCAUCUGCAUCUCUCACAAAAUUGCUGAUGGGGCGUCGGUUUCUGCUUUCCUCAACGCAUGGUCUGAAAUCGCCAACAAUGGAGUCGACGGUGAAGCGAGCCUCAUCACUCCCUUCCUGAAAGCAUCCGAGCUCUUCCAACCAAAGGACAUAAACUACCAAAUUCCAUCUGGAGUCAUCAGCAGAGAGAAGCUUUCGACCAAGAGGUUUUGUUUCAACGGUGAGAGCUUGGCUCGCCUCAGGGCCGGGUUUGGUGGUGCCAAUCCUACUCGUGUUGAGGCCGUGACCGCCCUCAUAUGGAAAUCCGCCUUGGCAGCAGCAAGGAAGAGGCCAGAGUGGAAGGAGAAGUAUCCCCCAUCGUCAGCAGUCAUACAUGCGGUGAACAUCAGAAGCAGGAUAAGGCCACAACCAUUGCCUGAGACUACCUUGGGCAAUCUGGUGCAGGCCGUUGUGGCACCACUCAUGGAACCAAACAAGGGUGACGAAUUGCAGGACUUUGCAGGCACUCUCAGAAAUUCAAUAAGGGCAAUUGACAGCGAAUAUUUGAGCGCGCUUCAAGGCGAGAAUGGAUUGGCCAAGGCCUGCGAGAACCUCAUGGCGACACGGAAGCUGGCAGCGUCGUCUGCCAUCGAGCUCUACAGGUUCAGCAGCUGGGCGAGGUUCCCGUUCUACGAGGCUGAUUUUGGCUGGGGAAGACCUGCUUGGGUGUGUACCAUUGCUCCCAUAAAAAAUUUGGUCAUUUUGAUGGGAACUAGAUGCGGGGAUGGGAUCGAAGCAUGGAUCACCUUGGCCGAGCACGACAUGAUCGAGUUCGAGCACAACGAUGAGUUGCUACAAUUUGUUUCGCCAAACCCCCGAUCAUGAGAAGGGCGACGCGAUGAUGAUAGUGAUCCUUUAUGGUUUGUUUGUCCAUUUGCUUAAUUUAAGUUUCAUAUGUUCGUUUGCUUUGUUAGGUGCCAUAAACUGGUUAAAGGGUUUGUACGUUAUUAUUUAUGUGUGAUUCAAACUGCAAAUAAAAGGAUGUUUGAAAUUCAAUCCUCGGACAUUUUAGUUUGAAAAACCUUGUUGAAAUGGAAAAAUACUAUAUAUAAUAUUUUUUAUGUUGUAUUAUCCACAAAGAAAUCUUGUUAACAAAUGUCUUAAAGGUACUUUUACCGAUUUAUAAAAUAUUUAAAAUUAGUAAAUAAAAAAUUCAGACACCCUAAGAAAACUUCAAUAUGAAAGCUAUAUAUAUGUGUAUAUAUAUUUGUUAUAUCAAAGCACAUCAAACCUAGCUUGGAGAAUAACCGAAGGGUGCUGCAGUCAUAAUAUUUAUUAUUAAAACAAGCAAUGCUACAUGUAUUAAGAAAUUUUAUUAAAACAUUUUUACUAAAUGAUGUGGCAAUUUUGUAUUGGAUAUUUCAAGAAGCCAAUGAUUCAACGCAUGGUUUUCAUAUAUUUAUACCCAAACAAAACUUGUUAUAUUACUUAGUAAGUAAAUUUUAGUAAGAUUUUUAUGGGCAUCUAGCAUUCUUCUGUUAAAACUUGUUAUAUGGACUGAAUUCAAGAUUGCAUUGGCUUAUAAACCACAUAGAUGAGUUGACAAAACCAACAACCCAAAUAUCAGCCUGAUGUUUCCAGCAAUUCAAUAGAUAGAGCAACAGAAAAAUAAAUAAAUAAAUAGAGCAAUAGGAUAGGAAAAUGUAAGCAAGAAUUCAAAAGAGGAGAAAAUAUUAGAUAGGAGUGGGAUUCCAGCAUGUCAAAAUCCCACUUCAUUUAUCGGCAACAUGUGUCAUCUGGGGCCCACCAUACUAUAGCCGCCUUACCGUCUCGCCUCUCUCUUUCCGCUCUUAUAUUUUCCUUUAUAUUUUCUUCUUCUUUCCUUUCACUCUGAUGAGGACAGCAACAAAUGUUUUUCCCUUUCCAUCACCACCACCCCACUGUUGUCUCAAUCCACCACCUCGCCACUAUUUCAGUCCUUAGUCAUUGAGCUUGAGCUUGGCUGGUGAACUUGGACCUCAGAUUUUGGAUCAAAGUUCGAGUGAGCCCUAGAUUUGUGAUCUAGAGCUCAGCUAGAACUUUAAUCUAAAUUGAUUUGAGAUCGACAAGGGUUGGCUUAGGCAAUGAACAAUGUGGAGGUGGCAGUGUGGUUCAUCAACAUGGCAUGGGGCCUUGACAUCUCGAUUGUCACGAGUGUAGAUGUAAAAGGCAUCGGAGGAGUUGGACAGGAGGACGCGGCGCUGGAGGUCGGAGAAGGAGCGGGCAAAGAUGGAGGUGAUGUGCUAGAGGCAGCAAUGGUGGCGGUAGGUGUGACAUCUUGAAUUUCAGAUUUUGUUUUUGAUUGAAUAAGUUAGGCUUUUUAUUGACGCGCCUAUAGUUCUUUUCUCUGAGUUGACCACUCAUGAGAUAACUAGCAUAUCAAGUGAAGCUGUUAAGGAAUCUAAAUGCAAUAGACUAUAGAAUUCAAUCAAGAAUUGACUACUUGACAGUGCUAAUCUGCAAGGGUCAUUACGGUAUCAUCAAAAUCGAUCAGAGACCGGAGAUAGGUUGAUUCGAUAGAGAUAUGUGAUUAGUAUGUGGGUGAUUCCACCUAAUUGCAAAAUUCUCAUCAAAUAGCACUAGAUCGAUUUCUCUAUCAUUUAUGUACUUUGUGUCCAUAUUUGAAAUCUCAAGAUUUUCACGACAACCGAGAGUCACAAAUGUGUUAAAGAUGUACAAUGUGGCUCGAAAAUAAUUGACCACGGGUCAAUUGCGCUAAAAAUUCCUAAAACCUACCUAAUAGACUAUGUCACUCUAAAAUUACGUCAAACUGAAAUUAACCGCAAAUUUGAACCCGAUUUCAGAAAUUGAAGGUUCUUUCAUGUCACGAUUUAUUUUCGGGACGUCGACUCAUCCUUUGAAGAAUUUUCGGUGAGUCCGGGAUUUUUAUGGAAUCAUUUCGGAUGAUUCGGAAAAUAACAGAAAUUCAGAUGGGCCAAAUCGAAUGGAUUUUUUGCCUCCUUACCAAGCUAUUUGGCGAAGGGGACUUGCAGAAAUUUUGUGGACUUCUUCAUCAUCAAAUUUGGACCUCAAUUUGGAGAGAUUGGAGAUGCAAUUAGAGUCCAAAUAAGUGAAAUUCGAAGCGAGGCUUGGGGGUGCAACAUUUGGUAAUAAAUUGAAUUAUUUGUGGAUUAAAAGGCAAGAAAGUAUUAGGGGGACAAGCAAUUAAUGGAAGGGAUAAAAUUGUUGACUUUCCUCCCCCUCCUUGGCUUCCUUUGUACGCUAGCCAGCUCCCUCAUCUACUUCGCGUUUCUGCUUCACCGAAGUACACAUCUGUUUCUGCCUUGCUUUUCAUUUUCCAGCAGCUCCAUCGUUUCUCUCUUCCUACCAAUGGCUACUACCAUUUUCCUUUCUGUUUUCCCCUUGUAGUUGCCAUGUCCGAACCCACCAUCUUUGGUCUACCAUCACCCUCUAGUCCAAUGCCACAUCCAACGUCAACCCUCUCCAAAUGAAGCCCCCAAUGUUGACUACUCUACCACUUGUACGAAGUCAGCCCACCGUCCCACUCCAUCAUUUCUUCCCCAUCUUCGGCCAUGCGUCCUCAGCAUCGCCUCAUUCGGUCUUCACCCCAGCAGCUCCCAUCGAUUCUUCUCCCCAAUCGAAGCCCAGGUCAGCCCAGUCUCGAGCCAAGCCCGCGACCAGCCUUGAGCAGAUUUGAUUUUUACCUCAAGCAGGAAGCUUGCGGACCGUUUUAGCCCGGUCAAAGCCUCUGUUGGCAUCAUUGCUUUGGAGUUUAUCGGCCACCGUUGCACCGCCGUCGCGGUGAACCAAUUUUCGCACUAAACUGAUGAGUUUAUGCACUAAACUCUACUUAGUAGGCUAAUGACGUUUAAUGGGUGUUUACUUUAAGUUAAUUAUGAAUUAGGUGAUUAGAUUAGAUUAGUGAUUUAAUUAGUUAAUUAUGCAUGUUAGGUGGUUAGAGUAGUGUAAUUAGAGCCUAGAUAAGCUGUAGUAUUUAUCUAAAGUGGUUCAGAAUUUUUUCGGACCUGUCUCAGCUUUUAAGUAGGCAUUUCUGGCCUAAGUUAGUAUUUUUAGUAUUUAAAUUGAAUUAUUUAAUUAAUUUUGGUAAUUAUUUAAUUAUUAAAUAUUUUCCAGAAAUUAGACUAGGAUAGCCGAUUACCGGAAUUUCGUGCCGAUUGCAAUGGUGCGCUUGGUUUAUUUAAUCGGAUGCAUUUUUGUGCAAAUUGAAUGGUGAUUGUAAUUUUGGGUAAUUAUCCCAAAAUUGAAUAAUUUCAGUAUUUAGUCAGAAAAUACCGAGGCGUCGAUUUUUAACGCCAAAAAUGUUUUUAGGCACUAUAAUAAAUAGUGGAAUUUUUUAAAAGGAAGUUAUUGCAUUUUUGGCUCAAGCAGACCGUAUACCCAAACACGAUUAUUUUUUAUCAAGUAUGUUUAAUAUGAAGAAAAUAGGCCAAGACAUUAUUUUAAUCAAGGAAUUUAAGUGCAAAGCACAAUGUUCUUUGCCGUGAGUGAAUAAUCGUGUGAUGGUUUAUAGCCAUGGCAAGAUGACUAUUGAAAAUUGAGGUGAUGUAUGUUGUGUUGAGGGAACCCAAUGGGUUGUGAGCCGGUAAAGAACUAAGUGCUACAUGAUAACGAGGAUUCGUGUGAGCCACCUCUAGUACUUUAUACUGUGGCCUAUUUGUAGUAAAGGUCUAAGUGCUACAUGAUGACUUGAGUCACAUGAGAAUCACCUCUAGAAGCCUUGUAGUAUUGUCUUAUAUAGUCAAGAACUAAGUGCUACACGAUAUCGAGACUUCGUGUGAACCUCUAGAACCUUGCACUAGUACUUUAUAUAGUCAAAAACUAAGUGCUACACGACAUUGUGACUUUGUGAGAGCCACCUCUAGUACCUUGAGCUAUUGUUUAGUAUAGUUAAGAACUAAGUGGUAUACGAUAGUGUGAAUUCAUGGGAACCACCUCUAGUACCUCAUACUAUGACUGAUUAUGGCCAGGGACUAAGUGCCACGCGUUAUCGAAACUCCAUGGGGAGAGGGCACCUCUAGAACCUUGAGCCUAGUAUUGAAUAUUGAGUCAGAAUAUUGAGUGUGGAUGUCGAGUUGAAUUGGGAAAUUGAUUAUUGAGAAUGAAUAUUUGGUGUGGAUUAAACCACUGACAUAAGUGAUUUAGCCAUGCCUGAUCAUGGGACAAAAUUGUGUGGCACGGUAUGAGACGUGUCAUGAUGAUUUAGCCUUAUAAUCAGGACUCCGGUGUUUGGUUGGUUUGAAAGUGAGUUGCUUCAAUUGAUGUGUGAAAUUUCUAUAUGCAUAUAGUUGUGAUAUGAACUGUGCUAACGUGCAGGAAGGAACUAAGGCGAGGUAAGUCCUCUGUUCUAUUUGUGUGGUUGUGUGGUUAGGAUGCUUCUAGGCGUAUUACCUUCCUAAUCGGGGUUUAGAGCGUGAACUCGCUAAGAUUUAUAUCUCAUCUCGUCGUUGGCUCAAUUUUCAGGGCUGUAGAGCAAAGGACCUAGAGCUGAGUUGAGGGGAUCCGAGGAGUAAGUCAGUUAGGACAGUUUCUGUUUUAGAGUUGGUCUUUUGAAGUCUUUUCAUGGUAGACUUUUGUACAUGAUUCAGUACGUUUUUCAAAGCAUGUUUCAUUAGUGAAUCUGUUAUCUUGCUUUUCUAUCUCGAGAUGGUUACUGUCAGGAGAUUUAUUAUUCGCUUCGGCGUGUGUAAUAAAAUGAAAGGGUUGGCGACUCGUCUUGAGAAGUCGCAAAUUUUAAUCAACCACUGAGGGAUGGGCAUGCACUUGAGGAUCGAGGCGUGACAGUAGGUCUAAGGUCUAGAGGGAGGAAGAGCUGAGAACAUGAGUAGAGAGAGAGAGAGAGUGUGUGUGUGUGUGUGUGUGACAUCCUGAAUUUCCGACCUUGUCUCGACUAAAUGAAAUGGGCUUUUCAUCGACGUGCCUAUGGUCCCUUUUCUUUAAGCUGAUCACUUAUGAGAAAACUAAUAUAUCAGGUGAACCACCCGCGAGGGUGGCUCCGCUGGUAGGCUCCAGGACCUCCACGCUGGAGGCUAGAGUUCGAAGCCCCUGCGACGCAAGUUGCAGGGAGACAGGUGGAGACACUUGGCGACUUACCCGGGGUGCGUGGGUGGUGGUUUCCUACGUGCCUCCCCAAGGGUUUACUCCCAGCUGUUAGCUGUGCGGGGUUCCCCUGGGUCACAAAUAUAUAUAUAUAUAUAUAUAUAUAUAUAUAUUAGGUGAAGCCGUUAAGGGAUAUACAUGCGAUAAACUUGAGAAUUCCAUCAGAAAUCGAUUACUUGACCGUGCUAAUCGGCAAGGGUCAAUACGACACCAUUAUAAUCGAUUAAAGAUUGGAUAUAUGUCGAUUCGAUAGAAGCACGUAAUUAAAUUGUGGGUGAUAACACCUAAUUGCAAAAUUCGCAUCAAACAGCACUAAACCGAUUUUUCUGUCGAUUCUGUACCUAGUACCCGUAAUUGAAACCUUGAGAUUUUUAUGACAACCGAAAGUCGCCUAUGAGUCGAAGAUGCACAACAUGAAUCGAAAAUAUUCAACCACGGGUCAAACGCGUUGAAAUUUCCUAAAAGCUAUCCGAUAAAUUAGGUCACGCUAAAAUCACAUCCGGUUGAUUUUAACCACGAAAUUGAAAUUGGUUUCGAAAUUGAAAGUUCAAGCGUGUCGCGAUUUAUUUUUAAGACAUCGUCUCAUCCUUUAAGAAUUUUCGGUGAGCCUGAGAUUUUGGCGGAAAAUCAAAAUUUGGUAAAUUAAAUUUAAGGAAAUUCGGAUGGGCACUUUGUUGUGAAUUUUUGGCUACCAAGUUAAGUUGGUUUGGGAAGAGUUUAAGGAAAAUUGUAAGGGCUGCUACCAUGGCAUUUUUGGGCCACCAAUUUGACUUGAUUUGGUGUGAAAUUGAAGAUGGAAAUCAAGAAUUCGUAGGGCUGCUGAGCUGCUGAAUUUUGGCCAUCAAUUUGGCUUGAUUUUGUGAAGGUGUAGAAGGAAAUUAGUCCUUGGGUGACCUAUUGAUCAAGUUGGCUGAAGAUAAGGCUGAAAAACACUCAAAUGCAAGAGAUAUUUAAGUUUGACUUGCUUGGCCUUUGUCCACUUGUCCUCCUCUCUUCCCUCUUGUCCCCUCUCCUUCCCCUUAUACUCAACCAGCCCUAUCCCUCCUCCUGCAAAACACUUCUUCUUCUUCCUCAGCUUUUCUUCUUCAUUUUCCUCCAUUGUUAUGUUACCACCCCUUGCAUCGUCUAAGCCAGCCACCACAUCACUACUUGCAUCGUCCGAGCCGCCCGCGAGCCAGCCAGCUCCCAUGACCAACGUCCCCGGGCCUAAGCCAAUCCGCGUCGCAGCCCUUACUCGACCGUUGUCUAGCCUAGUCACGGCCUCCAUCCUGUUCGAACCCCAGCCCAUCUCACCACCGCUCAUCUGCCACUCACCUGCCUUACUCCAGCCCCCCAAGCCGAGGCCUGACUAGCCCUUUGGCCUAGCCCGUCCAGCCUAGCUCAGCCCCAAGCAGAACCGGUCCUCCUAGCUGGACCCGUGAGCAUUGUGGGCUUUUUCAACAUCUUCCAGGCCUCAUUUGGAGUCGCCGUAGGCCCGAGUCUUGGUCGCCAUCACGCCACCAUUGCCGUGGACCAUUAGCUCACUUAACCGGUGAGUUGGCACCCUAAUCUCUAAUUAGGGGUUAAUUGCACUUAGAGGGAGAUUAGUUUAGGCUAAGUGAGGAUUAGGGGGAUUAGUUUAGUCCUAAAUAGGAUUAAGGUUAAUUUAGUUAGUGUAAUUAUUUAUUUGGUUAAUUAGUUAGAUUAAUUAGGUGGUUAGAUAGAUUAGAUGAUUGGCCUAAUUAGAGUAAUGUACUUAUCCUAGCUAGAUUAGGUAAUUAGUUUAAUUAAGUGGUUAGAUUAGCUUAUGUAGAUUAAUUAAGGGUUUAAUUUAAAUAAUUUGUAAUUUAUUUAAUUAUAAUGCAAUUUAUUUAAUUAAUUAUUAAUUAGCGUAAAUUAUAUCGGGAUAGCCAAUGUCAGAAUUUUACGCCGAUUGUCAUGAUGGCGUUGAUUUGUGAAAUUGAUUGCUAAUUUAUGCAAUUGGGUGCUUGGUGAUAAUUUUUAAUUAUUAUUUCAAAAAUAUGAAUUUUUGGUAUUUAAUUAGAAAAAUAUUGAGUGUUGGGUUUUGAUGCUAAAAAUGUUUUUAGUAUUUUAUAAAAUCGUGGAAUUUUAAAAUGGGAGAGUAUAAUGUUUUAUGGUUCGAUUUGACCGUGUGACCACACACAAUUAUUUUACCAAGUGUUUUAAUAUGAAGAAAAUACAUCAAGUACAUUAUUUGAAAUUGAGACAUUUGAGUGCAAAGCACGAUGUCCUUGGCCAAAAUUGGAUGUGCGCGUGAUUGCUAUCGAAAACCGUCACGAUGCAUUUACGCCGGACUAUAUUUGAUUAAGUUCAGAUGCCCCACGUUACCGGAUGCCGGUCGCAGUGGAGGCUGGGCCGAUGCUCCUUUAGGAAUAACGUCUAGAUGUAGAUGUUGCUAUGCUCGACGAAGCGAAACAAUGCUAUUGAGUUGGCUGUGGCCGUUGAGUAGUAAUUAAUUGGGACACGCUUGAGUGAUUGAUAUAGCUGCGCCUAAUUAUGGGACGAAAUUGUGUGGCACGGAAUGUGACGUAUCAUAACAAUUUGGCAUUAUAAUUAGAACCCCUGUGAUUGAUUGAUAUAUGAUAUGAGGUGUUCCAAUUAAUGGUUUAUGCUUAGUGCGUUCAUAUAUAAUAUAUGUGAUGUACUAAUGUGCAGGGAGAAGCUGAGGCGAGGUAAGUCCUAUAUGUUGCAUGUUUAAGCUGCCUAUAUGUGAAUUAUUGUCUUAAUUGGAGUUUAGGGUGUAGACUCGCUAAGACUUUGUCUCACUCCGUCGUGGUUUAAAAUUUUACAGAUCCUUAGAUGAAGGUGCGCCACAUUCAUUUUGGGUGGCCACGAGAGAUGGAGACCCAGCGUACCAAACUACUAGACCCGCGAGCUCGUUGUGACUACCAUUUAGGUCGAUGAGGGCUUACCUCAGUUAGUACCUCAUCAAUUCAAAGCGUGGUUCUGUCAUGACCCUAACAAUGUUCGAGAGGGCCCAUUAGAUGGUUUCGACAGGCCUGUCGUCGAUGCCGAGUAUGUGGUGGAUCUUGACCCCGUGCAUGAUGCCGAUAUUUUGGCUGAUAUUGAGGCAAACCAAGGGACCGAGGUUGAAGAGCCCGUAGUAGAGGUAGCUGAUCCCCUAGACAUCGACAUCCCAUAUGGUGUCGUAGUAGACCUAGAUCCUAAGUAGGUAUGGUCCGGGGUAGGGUUAGCCUGGUAGCUUCUUUUGGCUUUAGACUUCUGUAUAUAAACCUAUGUGUUUAUAAAGUGUGUUUUGUUUAAAUUGGUUGUCUUGCUUUUCUAUCCCAUGUUGAUUGUUGUCUAGAGUUUAUUAGUUCACUUAUGCAUGUGCAUAAAUUGAUUGGGUCGGCGACGCAUCCUGGGAAUGUCGCAUUUUAGUCGACCGCCAAGGGAUGUGUGUGUGCCUAGGGUUCGGGGCGUGAGAAAGAGAGAGAGAGAGAGAGAGAGAGAGUCCUUGAACAUUUGAAAUUUGGUUGGCUGACAUAGUGAGCCCAACCAAAGCGUGUCGCCCAAUGAGCACCUAGUAAGUGGACUUGGAAUUUGCCACACUGGCAUCAGAGCUCUACUCAAUAUUUUAUCUCAAAAGAGGGCUAGCUAUGAUUAUUCCCUUUGGCCAUGUAAUAUGUCGCGACCUACCCUCGGGGGGAGGGAACAGGUUUAGGGGUAUUGCCUAAAGGACGGGCCUAAGGCCCAUGAUCAGGCGCGGGCUCUCCCAAGCCCAUACCCCGCGUGACAUUGGGAUAUUCUUUAGAAUUUUUGCACAAAAGGAGUCGCCACUAGCCUAUUGGGGUCGGCUAGAAACCAAGUGAGGUAUGAGAGUGUACCUCACUUCCUACGCAACCAGAGAAUCUAGAUUCGGGGACUUGAUUACACUAAUUAACCAAUUAGUGCCCUUUCGGUACCUAAUCUUGUUCAUUUUAACAAAAUGAUUUUUGACAAGCAGUUUGGAUUAAUUUUAUACUUAUCCACUAACAUACGAGGUGAUCAUGUGAGAGCGCAAUCAUUAAAGUAAUAAUCAUAAUUAUGAAGAUUCUAAUUGCCAUAAAAUUAAACACAUGCAAUCAAACAUAAUUAGAUAUAUAAAUUAAACAUGCAACAUAAUUUAUAUACGAGCACAUAAAGGUCUAAUUACACUAAAAUGGCAAUACAUGACAAGUCCUAAUCAAACCCCAUCAUUUUGAAUUUUCGAAAUUUUUAAUUUUUUUUUUAAUUUUUUAAUUAAUUUUUUAAAAAAUUUUUUAAAGAAAAAUAAUUUUUUAAUUUUUUUUAAUUUUUUUAAAGAAAAAUAAAAAAUUAUUUUUUUAGUUAUUUUUUAAUUUUUUAAAAUUUUUUAAUUUUUUUGGAUUUUCGAAAUUGUUUUUUUUAAAUAAAAAUAUAUAUAUAUUUAAAUCGGACCGAACCGGUCCGGUCCAACCCAACCCGGGUUCAGCCCGGUCGGCGCGGAUCGGGUCCGGUUGGUCCCAUUAGGAGCAGGUGGGCUCGAAUCGCGGGCCCAACCCAAGAGGUCCCCCUCCACUCUUUUUAAAACAAAGCAGGCCACAAGCCUAUGCUAAACCAGCCCAAGCCCAAAAACCCACAAGCAAAAACAACCCAAACCCGGCCCGAUUCACCUAAAACCCUACCCAUUUCUUUGACUCGGUUUGUACCUCCUCUUUAGGGUUUGCUGGCGGCGCUGACAACAGCGGUGGCGGGCUUGAUGGCAGCGGCGGCGCGACGGGUGGCGGAGGCAAUGCGGCGGGCGGCGGUGGCGGGUCGGGCAGGAGGACGGAGCAGCGAGGCAGCAGCGGCAGGGACGGCGACGCGAGCUCCCAGGCGAAGCGGUGACGCGAGCUUGCGGGCGAGGAGGAACUCCAGCGGCUGGCGGGACAGUGGCCGACUCGGGUGGAGUGGCGGUGGCGCGAGGAGGCUCGGGCGACGUCAGAGACAGCGGCGGCGGGUGCUGUCGGUUCGUGAGCAAAGCGCGGCAGGUCGGCACGGGCGGAGGCGUGGCGGUGGCUCGAGCUGCUACUGACGGUGCUAGCGGACGUCCGACGCUUCGGCAACAACGGCGCGAAGGUGUGGGCGUCGCUCGAGGUGUAGAGAACGGCGGCUCGGCGUCGAGGAGAAAGGGCAGACUUGCAGGUGGCUUUGGCGGCGAGCUGCUCCCUCGGCUUCUCCAGAUCUGGGUUUCGGGGAAGACAGUGGCGGUCUCGGUUGGUCGAGCGGCGUCGGGUUGGGGCGGCGAGGAGGACAGCGGCUCGGAUGGCGUUGGGCAGCGCCGUCGUUGCCCUCCUCCCCUCCGUUUCCUCAGAUUUGGGUUCUGGAGAAGACGGCGGGGGACGGCAUCGAUUGGGCGGCUCGGCGCCGCUCCUUCUUUUCUUCCACUCUCUCUCUGUUCCCCCCCUUUUUCUUUUUUUCAGAUCCUCCCCCUCUCCCUCUGUCUUGCGCGAAGAUGGAGGAGGGAGAAGGUUGGCAUGGGCCAAGACAAAGGGGAAAUAGGCCUCGGCCGCGCAAGGAAAAAUAAGCACUUUUUCUUUUUCUUUUUCUUUUUUUUUGUUGUUUUGUUAUUUUUCUUCUUUUUUUUUCUCUUUUUCUAUAAUUUUUUAUAUAUUAGAAAACAAAAAUUAGGUGUCAACAGCUGCCCCUCUUUGAAUUUAGUCUCGAAGAGGUUGCAUUCAAAGACAAAAGACACCUAAAUUAUUUCUGUAGUAGAGAGACCCUGAGUGCCUAGGCACGCGUCAGGUCGACAAAAAGGAUUCAUAACUAUGAAAGCACGUCUUGCCAAUAAGAUGAAGAAAGACUCCGAGCUACAAAAGCCUACCAGGUCAUAAGAUGGGAGGGAGACUUCGGGAUACAAAGCUCUCCGGGUCAUAAGAAGUGAGGAAGACUCCAAGAUACAAAGCUCUCCGGGUCAUAAGAAGUGAGGAAGACUCCAUGAUACAAAGCUCUCCGGGUCAUAAGAAAUGAUGAAGACUCCUGGAUACAAAGCUCAUCGGGUCAUAAGAAGUGAGGAAGACUCCAAGAUACAAAGCUCUUAGGGUCAUAAGAAAUGAGGAAGACUCCAGGAUACAAGGCUCUCCGGGUCAUAAGAAGUGAGGAAGACUCCAUGAUACAAAGCUCUCUGGGUCACAAUAAGUGAUGAAGACUCCAGGAUACAAGACUCUCCGGGACAUAAGAAAGUGAGAAAGACUCCAGGAUACAAAGCUCUCCAAGUCAUAAGAAGUGAGAAAGACUCCAGGAUACAAAGCUCUCCGGGUCAUAAGAAGUGAGGAAGACUCCAGGAUACAAGGCUCUCCGGGUCAUAAGAAGUGAGGAAGACUCCAGGAUACAAGGCUCUCCGGGUCAUAAGAAGUGAUGAAGACUCUAGGAUACAAGGCUCUCCGGGUCAUAAGAAGUGAUGAAGACUCCAGGAUACAAGGCUCUCCGGGUCAUAAGAAGUGAGGAAGACUCCAGGAUACAAGGCUCUCCGGGUCAUAAGAAGAAGGAAGACUCCAGGAUACAAGGCUCUCCGAGUCAUAAGAAAUGAGGAAGACUCCAGGAUACAAGGCUCUCCGGGUCAUAAGAAGUGAGGAAGACUCCAGGAUAUAAGGCUCUCCGGGUCAUAAGAAAUGAGGAAGACUCCAUGAUACAACGCUCUCCGGGUCAUAAGAAAUGAGGAAGACUCCAGGAUACAAGGCUCCCCGGGUCAUAAGAAGUGAGGAAGACUCCAGGAUACAAAGCUCUCCGGGUCAUAAGAAGAAGGAAGACUCCAGGAUACAAGGCUCUCCGAGUCAUAAGAAGUGAGGAAGACUCCAGGAUACAAGGCUCUCCGAGUCAUAAGAAGUGAGGAAGACUCCAGGAUACAAGGCUCUUCGGGUCAUAAGAAAUGAGGAAGACUCCAGGAUACAAAGCUCUCCGGGUCAUAAGAAAUGAGGAAGACUCCAGGAUACAAGGCUCUCUGGGUCAUAAGAAAUGAGGAAGACUCCAGGAUACAAAGCUCUCCGGGUCAUAAGAAGUGAGGAAGACUCCAGGAUACAAAGCUCUCCGGGUCAUAAGAAGUGAGGACGACUCCAGGAUACAAAGCUCUCCGAGUCAUGAGAAGAAGGGGAAUGACUGAGGUCUCAUCGUGUAAAAGCGAGUUUUGAUUGGGUAUAAUAGUCUCACCGUGUACGAACGGGUUUCGACUGAGAGGUAGGUUUCACCGUGUACGAACAGAUUUCGAUCGAAUGAUAGUCUCACCGUGUACGAACGGAUUUCGAUUGAAUGAUAGUCUCACCGUGUACGAACGGAUUUCGAUUAAGAGGCAGACAAGUAUGGUUUACGAAUGAACUCACCAAUCUUGGAAAUGACAUGGUUUAAGGUUAACCAUAUGCCUUUGGAGACGACAUGGUUUAAGACUGACCAUAAACCUUUGGAGAUGACAUGGUUUAAGGCUGACCAUAAACCUUUGGUUUUUAGGGAAGCACCCGCUAACCCCUUAGAAAACUGCAUGGCUUCACUGAUGAAUCCUGUCAAACUCAACUUAAGCAAAUGUCAUUAGAGACGUCAUCAAGAGAUGUAUUGGCAAAUUGCAGCAAUAGUUGAACAAAAUAAUCAAGCUAAGUCCGACUGCUUUAGAAAACAUUCAAUGUUCGUCAACCUCAUGUGACGCAAAAUUGUCAUCUUGCUCAUGGAUAUAUCAUUAAUCAUCAAAUUCUCUAGGAGACAAAAUCUUAUCAGAACGGCUACGACUCGAGAAAAAGGUUCAUUAAGCAUGCCAAACUAAAGCUUCUUAGUUAGAAAGGGUUUCUCACGCACUCUCAAUAAAAUGGCUACUUGACCCCAUCCAUUCAUGUGGGAGAUAAUUGGUUGCUGAAGGUAUCUCACAUAACCUACGUCGAAGGCUUCCAGAAACAUUCGCAAUGAGCACAAUCUAAUCGAUCAAAAAGGUCUUUUGAAAGGACCACAAUAUAGGCUCGGUUAGGGCUUACACAAAGAAAUUAUUGCUUUGAGGCCAACAAAGGAACAUUUGUCACUAUCUUCAUUGGCUUUACAAGUCGAGAGCUUGGAAGAUGAGACAAGAUAAAAUUACUUCCACUCCUUCAAGCAGUAGCUUAUUGGUGGUAUUCUCAUUUUCACUCAAACCAUCCCAAUCAGAAAAGACUUCGGAAGAGGGUUGUAAUGUUGGCUUAGGAGAGGCUUGAAAGGCUUAAAAUUUUCAAGAGGGUUUUUAAGAGUUGGUGAUCAUCAUGACAUCAUGACCAGGUCACUUGACAUUUCCAAAUCAUUUGGCUUUUGAAAUACAACGCAUCUCGAAAGUCCCUUAACUAAUCUUUUAUGCAUGUGAGCUUUGCUCCUUUCUCUAAUGUCCUUUGCUCUUGUGAUGAUUUUUUUUUUUGUUUGCACAAGCACUUAGACCUUGUUAAUUUUUUUCCACAUAAGAUGCAACUUUUGGCUUUUUUUUUUCUUAACGGGCAUUGGCCUUGCUUUUACCAGGCACACUGCUUUUUCAUGCCCUUAGUUUGUAGAACUUUUUGCUCUUUGAACUCUCGGAGCUCUUAUGACUUUCGAGAUGCUUUUCACAUUUUCUCGUGACUCUCAAUUGUAUUUGGUCAAUUCUCAUGCCUUGCCCCAAUGAAGGGAGAUGAUCACCGCUCGAGGUUUAGAAAUGAAUAAUCAGGCACAAAUUGGUUAAAGCAAUGGAUAUCAGUGUUUAGGUAGAGAAGGAAAUGCUCUUCUUCACUUUGGGAUAAGUCGAGAUCUAAUGAGAAUUCAUUUGAAGCUAUCACCAGAAGAUUGAUGCAAGUGAAAGUAAUAUAAUCUUUUUCAACCUUUCGCUUUACAACACGACCAUAACCUCCUAUGUUGCCCUAAUGUAGGGUCAUUCUCAAUAGGGGUACUUUGAAGGAUCAUCUUUAUUCGGCUCAAAAGGGUAACAAGAUGUCAGCUUGGUACUUGGGAUUGAUGAAUGAAACGCUUUUGUCAUUUCGAUCUUUGUGCUCAACGCGAAUGAAUCUUUCGUCCUAAGAGAAUAUCGCUUUUCACUCAACUCUCAAAAGUGUUUAAAGGACGUGUUUGGAAAUGGGCUUGCCUUUCUUCAUCCUAAGCACUUCUUGUUUGGCAUGGUUAACGUCUUCAUCUCACUCUGUCGAGAUCAUCUAUCUCCAUAGGGGAAAUUUGAUUCAAAAUGAAUAAUUCACAAAACGAGAAAACAAUUUUGGGAUAAAAAGGAUGCUCAAAAGGUUUGUAAUUUUUUUCUCAAUUAUUCAUUUCAUUUUUUUUCUCUAGGAAAGCGCAACAGGUUAUUUUUUGUAAUGGAAAUUCUCCAUUUUUUUUCUUUUUUUUUUUACUUAAAAAAAGAAGAAGAAGAGAAGAAGGGUACUUACCUGCGUCAUGGUGACCCGUAACCCUGUAAAAAAUGUUAAAGAAUAUGUUAGUGCAAAAAUCUUUAGGGAAUGAAAUGUUGGAAACGAUACAUUGUUACGCUUCAUUCACUUUCAUCUUUUGGGCACUAACAUCUCUUGGAAUCACAUUCGUGGAUAUUUGGUAACUCGACAAUACCACUCCAUUGCAUUUGCCUUUAAGUGUUUGAUGUCUUCCUGAUUCCUUGGUGGAAGGCGCUGCUUCUAUGGUCAAGGUGCAAACUUUUUUAUAUAUCAUCAUGUAAGAAGGAGAGAUAAAACGAGUUAUCUCCAUUCUUAGUUAGGUUCAAAUGAGGAACGAUACAUCCUUUUUGAUGAAUUUGGCAAUGUUGUUCCAACACACUUCAUUGGUGGAUGAAUGAGAGAUUUUUCUUUAAAUCAAACAUUGUUCUCCCACUCUUUAUAUGACAAACAUGUGUUCCGUUCGAGUCUGUCCUGUAACAAAGAAACUGAUAUGUUAGUUUUUUAUAAUGAAGAGAAAUGAAGUUUAGGAACGAGUUACAUCCUUUAUAAAGUCGAGUGAUCAACAUCCCAAUGUAUCUCUCAUGGAGGAAGGAAUAAUAUUGCGCCUCCGUUUCAUUUGAAUCCUUCUUUGUUUAGGAUGAACAGGACUUAAUAAUGCUCCAUCGCAUUUGUUGAAACAUUACAGAACUUGGUGCUUUUGAUGUCUCUUUUAAUUUGCCCUUUUGGAUAUUUGACAACUCCUUUCAUUUGUCUCAUCAUCUAAAGUGAACGAGAUCGAUGGGUUAUUUUGGCAUCUAAGGCAUUUGCGAAUAACAAAACUUCUCAGAAUGUAAUUCAAUUUUGUUCCGCCUCUAUGGAAAAUUGGUGCCGACGAAACCUCAACGCAUGCUUGCUCUUCGAGUUCGAUGAGCUCAGGAAAAUGACUACGUGAAGAGAGGGCAUUAAGCAACUUUUUCUUGAAAUUCAUUUUGGAAGGUAAACAUAUAGGUUCACUUAAAACACUUUUGAAUUUGCUCUCUUUUUUUGUUUUUGUUUUUGUUUUUGUUUAUAUCUUUUGUUUUUUUUUUAAUGAUGAUUUUCAUGAAAUUGAAUCCCAUCAUUAAAAAUUUGAGUUGCGCGAUUUACAAAAGCAACAAUCGGAUUUGCAAUCAAAACUCAAAAAGAAAAACAUGGUUCUUAACAAGAAUAAAGAUUGAUAAAAUACAAGAAACUCUUGUAUAGGUAAUGGUAAAAAUCAACUCCUGUUCAAACUCUAAAAUUCACUUCUCUAUGUGGUCCAACACGAGAAUGUCAAUGAGCAUCACGCAUAACCUGCAAAUAGACGACAAUGUCAGUACGUGAAUGAGAGAAAAUGAUAUCUCAAUGAGAUCGCUUCUUACAAUAAAAUCGAGGCGAUCUUAGUAUAUACCCCACAGUCCUUGUUACGGGAUUUUAGUAUUUCGCCAAGAUUUUAUCAUAAGAGAAGACAUCAUUAAAAUUAUCAAUCCACGGCCAUCAAUCGAAUGCCCACUUUUAUUCCAAAAGUUUCGUAUGCAAAAGUGUCAUUGAUUUUUGAAAGAUUGAUUUGUGAUUUUACUCAUAGAAAAAUGAAGUGACUUCUAUUUUGAGAAAUUUGUACACAAAAUGAUUUGCGUUAUAGUCUCAAAAUGUGAGAAUGAGAAAAUUUGAUAAAAAAUGCAAUUUCAAUUUGUGUCCCAAUAUAAUCACAACUUGAAAGUUUUUUUUUUCUUUUUUUGAAAUGAUUUUGAGCCCCUAAAUAGAAAUUUAAACAAAACCAUGUGUUCAACAGGGCCAAAUCAAAAUGUGUAGAACUUGCAUUCAAAAUGCUCACUUGUCAAAAGUGAUUGUCAAAUUUUCAAUCAUAAGCUUGCAUCACCGAGGGCAUUCGAUUGAUUUCCGCAAAUUUCAAGAUGAAAAAGCAAUACAAAAUGAGCAAAUAAAAAAGGAAAUGAUACUUACAAUGGGUGCCGACCUUUGUCUCAUGCUUUUUUUUUUCAAUCACAUAGACAUGCACAUGGAAUGUAGUUCGAUUUCUACUCUAUACGGCCCAAAAUGGAGCCAUAGGAUCACAGGACUGAACCAACAAGCUCGUGGCUAGGUCGUGUUACCCAUGACUCCGGCUUCGUCAAAGAACCGACCCGUGUCGCGUGCUCGCAGACCGGGGUGGGUACCUUCGACGUGAAGAAAGAAAUUUCGAGGUAGAGAUGGGCGACUCGUACUACGCGGUUGUAGUCGGAGUGGUAUCCACCUCAACACCAUCCUAAGUGAUCAUAUGCGGCCCAGGUCCGGCGGCAGGUUGUGUGUGCUAGGGUGUAGUGCAAUGCAAAAGAUACAUGCACAACAAUUUAUAAACAACAACACUCCGUACAUAAAAAAUAAACCAUACAUUCCAACACUCCUGCAAGACAAAGGUGAGCAACACUUCCCCUUAUACCUUCCCAUUCUGCAAAAACAUUUAACACCUUUAAUGUUAGGGACAUACCUGGAAUCCUCGCUGCCAAACAAAAAUAUUUUUUUAAACAAGAUUAAUUCUGGCCUAAGUCCUCUAAGGUUCAAAACCAAGUCCCCAGCGGAGUCGCCAAGCUGUCGCGACCUACCCUCGGGGGGAGGGAACAGGUUUAGGGGUAUUGCCUAAAGGACGGGCCUAAGGCCCAUGAUCAGGCGCGGGCUCUCCCAAGCCCAUACCCCGCGUGACAUUGGGAUAUUCUUUAGAAUUUUUGCACAAAAGGAGUCGCCACUAGCCUAUUGGGGUCGGCUAGAAACCAAGUGAGGUAUGAGAGUGUACCUCACUUCCUACGCAACCAGAGAAUCUAGAUUCGGGGACUUGAUUACACUAAUUAACCAAUUAGUGCCCUUUCGGUACCUAAUCUUGUUCAUUUUAACAAAAUGAUUUUUGACAAGCAGUUUAGAUUAAUUUUAUACUUAUCCGCUAACAUACGAGGUGAUCAUGCGAGUGCGCAAUCAUUAAAGUAAUAAUCAUAAUUAUGAAGAUUCUAAUUGCCAUAAAAUUAAACACAUGUAAUCAAACAUAAUUAGAUAUAUAAAUUAAACAUGCAACAUAAUUAAUAUACGAGCACAUAAAGGUCUAAUUACACUAAAAUGGCAAUACAUGACAAGUCCUAAUCAAACCCCAUCAUUUUGAAUUUUCGAAAUUUUUAAUUUUUUUUAAUUUUUUUAAUUAAUUUUUUAAAAUUUUUUUUAAAGAAAAAUAAUUUUUAAUUUUUUUUAAUUUUUUUUAAAGAAAAAUAAAAAAAUUUAUUUUUUUAGUUAUUUUUUAAUUUUUUAAAAUUUUUUAAUUUUUUUGGAUUUUCGAAAUUGUUUUUUUUAAAUAAAAAUAUAUAUAUUUUUAAACCGGACCGAACCGUCCAACCCAACCCAGGUUCAGCCCGGUCGGCGCGGAUCGGGUCCGGUCGGUCCCAUUAGGAGCAGGUGGGCCCGAAUCGCGGGCCCAACCCAAGAGGUCCCCCUCCUCUCUUUUUAAAAGAAAGCAGGCCACAAGCCUAUGCUAAACCAGCCCAAGCCCAAAAACCCACAAGCAAAAACAGCCCAAACCCGGCCCGAUUCACCUAAAACCCUACCCAUUUCUUUGACUCGGUUUGUACCUCCUCUUUAGGGUUUGCUGGCGGCGCUGACAACGGCGGUGGCGGGCUUGACGGCAGCGGCGGCGCGACGGGUGGCGGAGGCAAUGCGGCGGGCGGCGGCGGCGGGUCGGCAGGAGGAUGGAGCAGCAAGGCAGUAGCGGCAGGGACGGCGACGCGAGCUCCCAGGCGAAGCGGUGACGCGAGCUUGCGGGCGAGGAGGAACUCCAGCGGCUGGCAGGACAGUGGCCGACUCGGGUGGAGUGGCGGUGGCGCGAGGAGGCUCGGGCGACGUCGGAGACAGCGGCGGCGGGUGCUGUCGGUUCGUGAGCAGAGCGUGGCAGGUCGGCACGGGCGGAGGCGUGGCGGUGGCUUGAGCUGCUACUGACGGUGCUGGCGGACAUCCGGCGCUUCGGCAACAACGGCGCGAAGGUGUGGGCGUCGCUCGAGGUGUAGAGAACGGCGGCUCGGCGUCGAGGAGAAAGGGCAGACUUGCAGGUGGCUUUGGCGGCGAGCUACUCCCUCGACUUCUCCAGAUCUGGGUUUCGGGGAAGAUAGUGGCGGUCUCGGUUGGUCGAGCGGCGUCGGGUUGGGGCGGCGAGGAGGACAGCGGCUCGGAUGGCGUUGGGCAGCGCCGCCGUUGCCCUCCUCCCCUCCGUUUCCUCAGAUUUGGGUUCCGGAGAAGACGGCGGGGGACGGCAUCGAUUGGGCGGCUCGGCGCCGCUCCUUCUUUUCUUCCACUCUCUCUCUGUUCCCCCCUUUUUCUUUUUUUCGGAUCCUCCCCCUCUCCCUCUGUCUUGCGCGAAGAUGGAGGAGGGAGAAGGUUGGCAUGGGCCAAGACAAAGGGGAAAUAGGCCUGGGCCGCGCAAGGAAAAAUAAGCAAGCAAGUUUUUGAAUAGUUACACUAUCAUAAGAAAGCAAUAUUUAAAUUGUCAAGGAAAAAUUACAAUCCCGUUCAAUUUUGGUUGUAUUUAUUUUUUCAACAAAUUUGGCCCCCCAACUAAUAUGCAAUUAUGAUUUUUAUACAAUUUCGUAUUUAUUCGUUCACAUGCAAACAAAAAUGCUUAGUACUAAAGAUUAACAUAUAGAGUCUGACAUUUCUAAUUAGUUCAGAAAAUCAGUUACUUAGUAGUAAUUCAAUACUUCAAUAUUGCUUUCGACAAACUUGGCCAAUAAGCUCGAGCAAGUUUUUAAUCUUCUACAUAAUGGCGGAGCAGCAUAAGAGGUCCCAAAAUAGAUCACAUUUGGCCUCUAGCAUCGAAUCCAUAGUGCUAAUGCACAAGGAAAGGCAUAAGAAGCUCUAAUGUUCAGAAGCGCACAAAACCCUAGGCUUCUGCAACAAGGGACGAACGGGAGCCGCUAAUGUGGAUUUGACAGGUGAUGGUGGGACUCGAAGAAGCGUUAGUGACAGCGACGGUGGAGGCAACCAGCGAAGGUGAAGGCGGGGGCGUCAUGUGGGAGGAAAGAGAAGAGCAUGGUGGAGGCGAGGCAAAAAUACAAGCUUUGGAGCGAAUUUUAACAGAGAGGGUGAGAGAGAUAUUUCUUCUUUUGAUUGCUCCGUAAUGGAACGGAGCGACAACGGGGAGAGAGAAAAUUAAAGUAUGAAAAAUAAUUUUAAUUUUAAUUUUUUAAUUAAAAAAACAUUUUUAUAAAGUUAAAGAGGGAAGGCCAUGGGUUCAAAGUGGGUUUCCUAAUAACCCAUUUAAACCCUUUUUUUUUUAUACUUUACUUUCUUAGACCCAUUUUGACCCAUAUGUAAAUUUCACUUGACCCAUAUAUGACCCAUUUAACUAAAAAUGGGUCAUAAUAUGGGUUUAUGACCCAUUUUGCCAACUCUAGAAACUAGGUAAUUAUCCCAAGGAAGGCCACGUCACACCCAACAUUAAUUUCAUAUCCAUUCGUAAAACAUAUGAAAUUAAAAUUCAUAGAUUGAAUAGAAGAAAAGGGAUGAGAGAGAGAGAGAUGUCGAAUAAACUUAAUACAAAAUCUUAGUUUUUAUUAAUAGUACAUCAUUGUUUGCUUUGCUCCUACUCAAUUUUGGACUCAUCACAAAGCAGAGUAGCAAACAUUCACAUAUGAGAUACUCAUUGCUAUUUUUGUUUUAAGGCUCCAUUUGUUUCGAGUAAAAUGUAGCAUUUUUUAGAAUUAUUUUUCGGGAAACCAUUUUCUAGAAAAAUGUAAUUAUUUUUUUAUGUCCGAUUGAAGCCUAAAAAUAAAGUGGACAUAUUUUUCGUUGUUAUGUAAAGAAAAUAUUUUCCUCCAUGCACUCUUUUAAAUAAUUUUUUUUAUUAUUUUACUUUUAAAACCAAUUUAUCAAUUUAUUUUUNNNNNNNNNNNNNNNNNNNNNNNNNNNNNNNNNNNNNNNNNNNNNNNNNNNNNNNNNNNNNNNNNNNNNNNNNNNNNNNNNNNNNNNNNNNNNNNNNNNNUCAAUUUAUUUUAUUUUAAAAAUUAAUUUAAAAUAUUUAUCAUUUCUUUUCUUCUAUCAUUUAUCUCUCUCCUUAGUCACCGGCCAUCGCCAUGGUCGACAAUCAGCCCAAAGGCAAGCUCAAGGCUUGCCAAAUUCUAAUGAGCUCAAGGCCUCAGGCCUCGCCAAAUCGACGAGCCAAGUGAGGAUGAGAUCAAUGGCCGGAGACCGGCCAGAUAGAAGUUUUUAAUUUUUUUUUUAAAAAGAGAGAAAAAACUAGAAAUUCGAGUUAUUUUAAAAAUGAAUAUAUAUAUAUAUAUAUAUAUAUAUAUAUGAAAAUGUUAACAUUGGUGUGAGAUAAGAAAAGUGAGUGAGGAAAAUGUUUUCCUCAACAUUUUCCCUAUUUUAGAACUCUUUUUUGGCUGAUGGAAAAUGUUUUUUUUGACUAGUCAUUUUUCAAUGAAACGAAUGCCGGAAAAUCUAAAAAAGUAGUUGUUUUCUGAAAACAAAUGGAGCUUUAAGUUAUAAAACAAAUUUAUUUCAUCCAAUUUUUCUUUUCCUGAGAUAGUCCAUCAUAAAAUAGACAAAUUGUUGGAUUUUUGCGGAAGCGUGUGUGUGUGCAAAUGUGUAUGUGUGAAUAAAAAUGGACUACAAUGCAAGGGAGUAUGGGUAAAAAAGGCUUUUAUUAUGAAAGUUUGUAUUACAAAGAAAUGAAUGUUUCUAGUUUUUCUACAGCAUAGAAUAGACACCACGACUCCUUUUUAUAGGCAUGAGUCACCGCCUUCCUUCACCGACAUUGAGUACAAAAAUCAAUAUAAAAUUACAAACUUGCUUUUUGUCUCCUGCUUGUGCGGCUUCUUCCAGAUCUUCUGGUGGCUUCUCUAUUAUUCUUCAUUUUUCUAUUCUCUGCAGCUCCUCAACUUUUGUUGACUUUUCUUUUCUUUUGCCUUUUUGCUGCCCACGUGGUCUUGCUGCCCAGCAUACCAGAAACUUCUUCAACAUUUGAGAGUUUUCAAGACUUGCUUUUCUUGCAUGCACGUGCACUGUUGUUGCCGACUUAGAGCAAGUUGUUGCCACCAACUUUUUCCUUCUCCAGUAAACAUGAAUAGUCUAGUGUGUUCUAGCACUUUUCAAAAAUGGAUCACAUUCUAAUUUUAUAAUAUUGAAUCAGUACGAGUUUAUGAUUUUGUCUGAACUUUCUAAUUUUAUGUUAUUGAAUCACAAUCUUACCACGAUUCAGAUCUCGAUCCUGUCUAAAAUAGAAUCUGCAAAAAAUGGCAUUGUCCUGACAGUGGAGGUUCAAGAUCCUACAAAUUUACGAGAAGUAUGGAUGACAUGUUUCAAUGGCCGCCAUGUAAGGAUGCUGGAGCGCCUCCGUCACCAUGAUCCUCUUCCUCAGGUCGAACACGAGCAUCCGCUGCAGCAAGUCCGCGGCCAGAGAAUCAGCCUGCGGAUACAGCCGGGAGAAAUGGGUCCCCCUUGAGGUAUUGAUCAACUCAAUAGCCUCCUACCUCUGGCUACGGAUCGUGUUCAUGAUAAUCAGCUUCAGUUGGUUGAGGCACUCUUGUCUCGGAGGAUCUCCACGAAGAUGCAGCCCACAGACCAGACGUCGAUCGAGGUCCCAUAUUUGUCGAAUGAGAGCAGCUGCUCAAGGGCGUGGUACCAGCGUGUGACCACGUACUCGGUCAUGAGUUGCCCGUCACUUUGGGUAGCCCACGCAAGCCCGAAGUCGCAUAUCUUCAGGUCGCAGUUGGCGUUCACCAGGAGGUUUCGGCCUUGAGGUCGCGGGGGAGAACAUUGGCCAGUGGAGAUAUUUCAGCCCUCGCAGUAACUGCAUGUGCAGAGUCAAAAUCAGAAGAAGAGUUAGAACUGGAAAAUACAUGGGCUGCAAUGCAACAGCGUAUAUCAUGAAGUUAGUCAAGCUAAGUCUAGUGACUGAAAAUCAGAAAGUCAAUAUAUUCUUAAGCUUCAAUUAAUCGAGUUUAUCCUUACCCAAACGAUGAGUUGGUGAUAAAGACCUAAAAGACUGGAGGGCGGCGCAACUCCAGUAAAAGGCGGCAGAAUGCAAGUAAGCCAUUCUCAACGGCAAUACCUCUGCAAAUCAACAAAAGAGGAACGACAUGAUUCAACUAAACCAACUACAAAAAACCACAUGAACGAGAAUGUUGGACUUAGCUCACCAGUAACUCUUGNNNNNNNNNNNNNNNNNNNNNNNNNNNNNNNNNNNNNNNNNNNNNNNNNNNNNNNNNNNNNNNNNNNNNNNNNNNNNNNNNNNNNNNNNNNNNNNNNNNNUGUGACAUCCUGAAUUUCUCAACAUGUUUUCUACUGAAUUAAUCAAGCAUUUGUUGACGCAUUUAUAGGGCUAUUCUCAGAGCCGAUCACUCUUGAGAUAACUAGACUGUUUGGGUAAGUAAUUAGGAAAUUUUAGGGCAAUAAACUUGAGAAUUCGAUCAGGAAUUGGCUUAUUGACCAUACUCAUCUUUAGAGGUCAUUAUGGCACAGUUAAAAAUCGAUUUAAGACCAAAGAUAGGUCUGGUCGACUGAGAUGUGUGGCUGAUCGUGGGUGACUCCACUAAAUUGGAAAAUUCUCGUCAACCGACACUAAUAUGAUUUUAUUGUCGUUUUGGUACCCUGUGUUCGUAUUUGAAUCCUCGGAAUUUUCAUGAUAAUCGAGAGUCACUAUUGAGUCAAAUGGGUUCAUAGUGGUUUGAAGAAAAUCGACCACGGGUCAUUUGCCUUAAAAAGUUACGAAAACCACCCGAUAGCUUAGGUCACGCUAAAAACGAGCCAAAUAGAAAUUAACCGCCGAUUCAAGUCCGAUUUCAAAAAUUGAAGGUUCUAUCAUGUCACAAUAAAUUUUAGGAUCCAUGACUCAGUCUCAAAAGAUUUUUUUGACACCCGACACUUUUUGGGAAAAAGUCGUCGCCGGAUUGUUUUUGUGCAGAAAAUGCCAAAGAUGGUUUUUAGUCGCAAAAUUGAGACGCAAGAUGGGUAAUUGGGUGAGGAAAAUUAUCAAUUUGAUAAUUGAUAUAUCAAUUGAAAUUAUGGUGGCCAAUGGAGAAUGAAUCAAGAGAGAAUUGAAGAGCAAUUGAAGCUUUGGCAAAGAAAUUCGUAACUCACCUCCCACUAGCCCAAAAUUGACCAAUUGAGAAGUUGUGAAGGGUGUGGGUGUGGCCUAAUGAAGGCCAAGGGAUAAUACUUAGCCUAGGGUGAGUGUGGGAGAUAUUUUGUGGAAAGAUCAAGCUAAGGGGGCCCCUCCAUUCUCUCUUUUUCUUCAAACCGUGCAUGACCAGCAAGGGAGGGCAGAAUCAACGAAAAUUCCAGUCCACCGAACGUCCACCUUCUCUGCCAUCCCACCGAAGACACAGCCCACGAUAUCUCUCUCUCCCUUUGCUCGUUUGCCUCCUCUCACGUGGCCAGCUCACCCCUGCUCCACCAUCUCUUGCACUCUUGGUUAACUUCAGUGAAAUUCCUCAAGCGAAGUCCCCAAGUGUUGACUGAAACUGCUGCGGUUCGUCCAGCUCCAUGCGGCUUCAAAACUCCUCUUGCUGGCCUUGGUUGUUGACUGGAAGCAUCCACGAAGCCUUGAAGACCGAAGCUGCCUAGUGUCUCUCACGGCUCAGACGGAGCUGUUUCUCCAUCCGUGUCUUCUGCCAGGCGUCCCCUCCUCCACGCGUCCCUCAUCUCCACGCCAGCACGCCCACAUCUCGGUCAAAUUCCUCACCGAGUGAAGCCCUUUGUUGACCAACAACGUCGCUUGAAGAAGCCACGUCUUCACCGAGUCAUGCCGUCCACCGAAGCCACUUGCCAAUCAACUUCAGCACCCAUUGAAGACCACCGAGACUCCUAAUUUGAUCGAGCAGCUUGGCCUUGCUGCCACUUGGCAGUGUUUGCCCUUGGUUCGGUCAACAACAUCAACCGAAGACGUCCUGCAAAGCUACCGACUUGACUGAAGCCGCACGCCAGUGAAGCUCGUGAAUUCGUGUGCCUUCAACCCAUCACUUUCAGUCAUUCGGGCCCAGCAAAAUUCGGUCCAGUUGAGGGCCAUUUCAAGCCCACAGAAUUGACCCAUUUGAAAACCAAUUUCCAGCAACUUGAAGCCCAUCUUCAACAGGCCCAAUCCAACUUGGGUCUGGCCCAAAAGCAAGAACAAAUUUCAGUUGGGCUAAGAUUUGUUGGGCCAAGUCUAAGGCCCGGUCCAAGCCCGCUGGUGUCGUCGAAAGCCCGAUUUCAACCGCCGUCGCGGUAUCCCGAUACCCGCUUUUAAUCAAGUGAGUAAUCUCACUAAUCAUUGCUUAGUAGACUAAUGAUGCCUAAGGGUUGAUUAGAUUUAAUUAAGUGCAAUUAGGUGGUUAGAUUAGUUUAGAACAAUUAAAUUAGUGACUUAAUGAUGCAUGUUAGGUGGUUAGACUUAGCCAUUAGCAAGUAGACUUACUGUACUAUUUAUUCAAUGCAUCUCGGGAUUUUUCCCAACCUGAUUCAGGCUUCAAUUAGGCAUUACGAGCCUAAAUUGGAUUUUUGGUAAUUAUUUAUUAAUUUUCGAAAUUUAUUUAAUUAUAUAUUUAUUUUCCGGAAAUUAGGCAGGGAUAGGCGACGACCGGAAUUUCGUGCUGAUUUUGUGGUGUAGUCUGUUUAUUUAUUUGAACUCCACAUUAAGUGGAAUUGACUUAAUUAUGCAAUUUGAGGAAUUAUUCCUAAAUCAAAUGAAAUUGAGUGGAAGUGAAUGAUUGAUUGGUCGAUGGCCGAGUAUGGUUGUUUAACCUUUAUAAUGCUUUGAUGAGUUGUAAAGAGGAAAGAAUCGUGAGAGUGAACUAGGAAUUCUCUUGGUUGACAUCGAUCAGGUACGAAGUAUAGACAGGCGUGGUUCAGUGAUUAAGGAUAUUACUGUUCGAAAACGGCGCCUUAAAGAAUGCACGUAGACUGUAUAUGACUUGUGGCAGGCGUGGUCUGGUGAUUAAGGAUAUCACUGUGCGAAAACAGCGCCUUAAAGAAUGCACGUAGAUUGUUGGCGAUCUGUGACCUAUGACAAGCGUGGUUCGGUGAUGGGGAAUAUCACUAUGCGAAAACGGCGCCUUAAAGAACGCAUGUAGACUAUCUGUUACUUACAUCACCUUGGUGAAAACGACGCUCGAGAGCAUUAAUGGAGCUCUAUGAGUAAGUGUAUUAUUGGAGGUUAUACAGUGGGAUGUGAAUGACCUAGAAGAGGUCUGACUGACAUAUAAUCAAUUAGGUCGAUUGAUCAAAGAUUGAUCUGAUGUCGUGAUUUGAUUUACUGUUCGAGGUGAUAUACGAAACAUUUGUAUAAAACCUUGAAUUGCAAGUUGGAACUAAUGCCAAGGUAAGUCUUUUGACUCGUGCUGUGCUUAGGCAACCAUGUGGUGUAUUGGUUUCCUAAUCGAGUCUUAGUGGGGUAGAACUUGCUGAAACGUAGUCUCAUCCCGGUUGUGGGACAACAUUUCAGGACCCUGAUGAGGAGUCGGAAACGGAGGAACCCGAGGAGGAGAAAGAUCUUGAAGAAGAGGGUGAUCCUGAGGAGGAUCCUGAGUACGACCUAGAUGAAGACUGAGAUCCCAUCCCCUUUUGUGAUUAGUGUUUAUAUGUGAAUAGAGUGAACUUAGGAAGUUGUGAAUGGCUCUGUAUAAAAGUAUGGUUGUGAAUUUCAAUAUGAAAAAUAUGGCCUUACUUUUUCUAUCCCAUUGUUUUAUUGUCUGGGGAUUUAUAAUUGCUUCUGCAUGUGCUUAAUAAAUAAAAGGGUCGACGAUACAUAGUCCUAAGAUAUCACAUUCUAAAAUCGACCAAGUAGAAAUAUGUGUGCGUGCCCAAGGAGUAGGGCAUGACAACCGUUGCCCCGAAGACCAGCAAUCGAUGUCCUUACUCAACCCGAUGCCCUACUGCCCAGAGCCGAAGCCCUGUGACCCGCCUUCGUCUGCCUACACCCCUGUGAAGUCGCCACUGCUCUCCACCCUUGGUGCUGCCGCCGGUCUGCCCACUGCCCUUGCCAAAGUUCCCCUUGCCGAACUGAUCGACCUGCUGCCCCUUGGAGACCCAUCGUGAGCACAAGCCAUGCUUUGGAAAAAAAAAGAAAAAAAAAUUAGGUAGUUUAUUUUUAUUUUUACCUAUUUUAUGUUAUCUUAUUUUAUUUUUUUAAGUUUUGCUAUUAUUGUUCAAAUCAGAAUAUUGGAAUGUGAUGUUCAUUUUACAAAUAUUCUAAAUAUUAUCCAUAGAGUUUUGUCUAAAAUUAUUGUAAUUACUAAUUUGAUCCGUAAGAUAUCGGAUCAUUUUUUUAAUUAUAUUAAUUUUUGGGUAUUUUGAUAGCAUUUUAAUUGUUAAAUCAUUAUAAUUAUUAAUUUGAUCUGUAAGACUUCAGAUCAGAUUUUUAAUUAUUUUGAAUUUUUGUCGUGAUGUUUAGGGUUAAAGUAAUCGUUAAUUUGACCUGAUUUUUUUUUAUUAUUAUUCUAAUCCUUUAUUUGGUGGAUAUCUUGAUUAGUUUAGACGUAAUUUCAUAAUUGCUUGUCUUGGAAAAACACUAAAAAUCAUAAAAAUCAAAUCAAAAUGAAAAAAAUGAAAAAAAUAAAAAAUCAAAUCUUGCAUUAGAGCGUCUUGGUUUAGUAAAUUAGGAUUGCUUUUCUAGGAUUGCAUUUUUAGAUAAUUUUUGGAAAAGAUUAGGAUUUAUUUUAGAUAGUCUUUGCACAUUUCAACAAUCUCAUUUUUCUAAAAAAUAGUUUUCUAAGAUAGGAUAGAGUUUAAGUCAAAUUAACCCUAAAACGUAUUAGAAAAUUAUUUAUUUUUAGAUAGUUUAAUUAGGAUUUUUAUUAAUUCCAAAUUUCAAUAAAAACACAAAAAUACUAGGUGCAUGUGGUUCAUUUAAUUAGAAAUAGCUCGUUAGUAAAAUUAGGUCAUGUAGUUAAAGUGCAUGUUUUAAAUUUGAAAUAAAAGAAAACCCAAAAAAAUUGUUUGCUUUGUGUGAUCACCCAUUUACAUGAUAGUGAUUUAGAUUAAAAUAAAUCCAGGCUGCCUGCAAAAACAUUUUUGAAAAUAAAAAUAAUGGUGCCGAAAGGGCAUUAGAGAAAUCUAGUGUAACUAAGUCCCUGUACCCUUUGUCUCUAGUUCGUAGGAGUAAAAUAAUUCUCCCAUUAUUUUACUUAGGUGUCUAAUCAACCUACGUAAAACUGAUCAGUGGCGACUUCUAGAUAAUAACUAUUUGCAUGUUAAAUAUUUGAAUCUUAAGUCGCGAAUUAGUAUGGGCUUGGGAGAGAUCGAGCUAAGUUUAAAGACUUAGCAAUCCAUUAGCCUAAUUUUAGGUGGUGCACUCGAAAUUUAGAUCGUGAAAAAUAUGGUCGCUGCCCGACAUAGUUCUCGUCAUUGUUGCAAGUCGUGAACACGUCCCCAUUGUUGCAAACCCCGUGGGUGCACCCGAUCUACCUCGUCAUCUUUGAGACGAUCUGCGUGUAGCGGCUGCACACUUGGCCUUCCUCGCAUGUGUUGAUCGUGUAUGUGCAAUACUUUUCCUCCUCUGCUCAAGUCACUUUUCCUCCUCUGUCAACUAAAGUGACUUGGGGAGGUGGAGUAGGGAAAAGUUUAAAAAUGCAUCCCGACAAUUGGAUCCCCUUAUGGAAAGACUCAUAAUACUAACAAAUGCUGAAGAAGGGGCAUCAAAUGGGGAGGAAUACAGAAAACUAGUUGAGCAAAUAGAAGCCUUAUGGAGGCAAGAAGAAAUGUACCGGUGCAUGCAAUCCAUAAUUAAUUGGAUGAAAAGGGGGAUAGGAAUAUGAAAUUCUUCCACCCCACCACGAUUCAGAGAAGACAGCACAACAAAAUAUCUAUGCUCAGGCUAGAUGAUCACAAUUGGUGCCAAGAUCAGGUUUCCCUCAAGCAACAUAUAAUAGACUUCUACAAAUCAUUAUAUACCUCGGUUGGAUCUAGACAUGAUCAACCUAUUCUAGAGUAAUGCCUACCAGUGGUUAUAAAUGAAAUGAACGAGGCUCUUGUCAGGCAAAUCACUAAAGAAAAAGUGCAGACAGCAGUGUUUCAAAUGGGAGCGACAAAGGCAUUAAGGUCAGAUGGACUUAAUGGUUUAUUUUGCCAAAUCAACUGGUCAGCAGUUCAGGAGGAUAUAUUGAGGAUGGUGGGUUCCUUCUUCAUUCAAGGUACAUUUGAUCUUGAAAUUAAUAAGACCCAAAUCAUUAUUAUUCCCAAAGUCACAAAUCCUGAGGGUCUUACCCAGUAUAGACCUAUUAGCCUUUGUAACUUUAAUUAUGAAAUCAUUGAGAAGGUUAUGGCGAAUAGACUAAAACCCUAGCUUCCAAAUAUUAUAUCCCUGGAACAAAGUGCUUUUGUUGAAGGUUGAUAAAUCCAAGACAGCAUUUUUAUUGUCCAAGAGGUAUUACAUCAUUUGAGAGUUAGAAAGAGAAAGUGAAAAUUUCAGGCGGUUUUGAAGUGGGUUAAUUCAAAAAAAAAAAAAAAGCACAAACUUCAGGUCGAUGGACAAAUCUAGCCCAAACUUUUUUUUUGUCUCGUAAAAAAGCAUCAACUUUAGGUUGAGUGAUAAAUCUAGCCCAAUUUUUUUUUUGUCACGUAAAAAAGUACAAACUUUAGGUCGAGUGACAAUUCUGACCCAAAUUUUUUUUUUUGAAAAAAAUCACCUACUUUCACUUAAAUCCUAAAUUUGGCCUCCCUUAACUUAGAUUCAUUGAUUAUCCUUAUCAAUAAAUCCAUGUGCACUUGCUAGCUAACACCAUCCAUUGUUUUCGUGUUUUAGCCACAGCUUGAAGAAUAACGGUGAAACCGUGUCAUCUCCUAUACUUCAUUAGCAAGUAAAAAAUUCUCCAUAUUGAGUUUCUCUGGCUAGACUUUAUUGUUUUGUCGUAAUAUGAACCUGUAGAUCACCUCUCGUUAAGAAAACCUUGGAUGAGGUCCACUAACCUCACGGCUAGAACCUUUUCUCCUGAAAUAAGGUUAACUUCAAAUAGAAAGUUAAUGGUAGGGGUUGGAUUUUGGAUAGGAGUGAAAGUUUGUGAUUUUUUAUGAGACAAAUAAAAUUUUGAGGCCAGAAUUGUCACUUAACCUAAAAUUGGUGCUUUUUUACAAGACAAAAAAAAGUUCGGGCCAGAUUUGUCACUCGACCUAAAGUUCGUGCUUUUUCAUGAGAAAAAAAAUUUUUGGCCAAAUUUUUCCAUCAACAUAAAGUUGAUGCCUUUUUAUGGAAUUAGCCCAUUUUGAAGUUGGAUAUGCAAAAAGCCUACGGCAAGGUUGGAUGUGACUUCAUUUAUGACUACAUGUUAAAAUUGGGUUUCUGUGAUAAAUGGGUCUCUUUAAUGAAGCAUUGCAUAUCUUCAGCAUCAUUCAGCAUUACGGUUAAUGGGGACCCUUGUGAAGCUUUUCAUCCAACCCGUGGGAUUAGACAGGGGGACCAUUAUCCCCCUAUCUCUUUAUCAUUAUGGCUAAUGUUUUAUCUUCCCUUAUGUCAAAAGCAAUGAUAGAUAGAAGCAUAAAGGGAAUCCAGCUGAAUAUCAACUGCCCUUUGCUUACACACCUCUUUGCGGAUGAUGCCAUUUUCUUCCUCGAUGGUACUAUCGCAGAAGCAUAAAAUCUUGCAAACAUUUUAAACCGGUUUUGCUUUGCAUCGGGUCAGUCUAUUAACCUUAACAAGUUAAGUCUUUUUUUUGGGAAAAUUUGUCCUUAGGGGCUGAAAUCAAACCUUGUAGUAGAACUACGAGUGCCUAUUAUUGAGAAAACAGGGAAAUAUUUGGGCAUACUCUCAGAUUGGGGACAAAUGAAAAAACAAAUGUUUUCUUGGGUAUAAGCAAGGGUUGAUAGGAAAUUAAAGGGAUGGAAAAAACAAUUAAUUUCAAAGGCAAGCAAGGAGGUGCUGGUCAAAAUAGUGGUUCAAGCAAUACCGCAAUAUGCCAUGUCAAUGUUUAAAAUCCUUAUCUCCAUUUGUAGAGCGAUUGAAAAACGAAUUUCAGCCUUCUGGUGGAAACAAAAUGCAACAUGAAGAGGUGUACAUUGGAAAAGUUGGAACUUAUUGAAGUCUACGAAAAAUUAAGGAGGUUUUGGAUUUAGAGACCUAGUCGACUUUAAUAGAGCUUUGUUGGGGAAACAAGCCUGGAGAUUGAGUCAGGCCCAGGAUGCCUUAUGGAGCAGAAUUUUUAGAGGACUCUACUUUCCUAUAGGAGAUUUUUGGAACGCUAAAAAAGGCCCUAAACCCUCUUGGGGUUGGCAAAGUAUACUAAUGGGAAGAGAUGUUAUUGAACUAGAGAUCAAAUGGGAGGUAGGAGAUGGGAAAAACAUCACAAUUAGAGAGGAUAGGUGGUUGUUGCGACAUCCUGAUUUUCAACCUUGUUCCGAUAAUAUGAAUUGGGUUUUUCAUCGACGUGCCUAUAGUCUUUUUCUCUGAGCUAAUCACUCAUGAGAUAACUAAUCUAUCAGGUGAAGCCGUUAAGGAAUAUAAAUGUGACUGACUUGAGAAUUCGAUCAGAAAUCGAUUGCUCGACCGUGCUAAUCUACAAGGCUCAAUACGGCAUCGUUAAAAUCGAUUAAAAACUGGAGAUAUGUCAAUUUAUAAGAGGCAUGUAAUUAAAUUAUGGGUGAUUCCACCUGAUUGCAAAAUUCAUGUCGAAUGGCACUAAACUAAUUUUUUUGUCAAUUUUGUACCAUGUGCCCGUAAUUGAAAUAUUGAGAUUUUUACGAUAACCGAGAGUUGCCGAUAUGUUGAAGAUACACAAUGUGGAUUGAAAAUAAUCGACCAUGGGUCAAACGCAUUAAAAAUUCAUAAAACCAACCCGGUAGGUUAGGUCACGCUAAAAUUGCGUCCGAUUGAAAUUAACCACAAAAUUGAACCCGAUUUCAAGAAUUGAAAGUUCUAGCAUGUCACGAUUUAUUUUUAGGAUGUCAACUCAUCCUUUGAAGAAUUUUUUACGAGCUCGGAUUUUGGCGAAAAAUCAAAAUUCGGCAAAAUUGAUUCAAGAAAUUCAGAUGGCCAUUUUUGGGUGGACUUUUGGCCUUCAUGUUGGAUCAAAUGGUAAGGGAAAUUGUGAAAAUUGGUAUGGGUUUUCUCCUCAGCAAAUUUGGCCAUUAAAUGGAGGUUAUUUGGAGUGAAUUGGUGUGAAAUUGAAUAUGAAACACACGAAAUUCGUAGGGCCAUGGGAGCUGCAAUAUUUGGACUCCAUCCUUAGCUUGUUGGAGAAGCUUUGGAGGGGAAAUUGGCUACUGGUGAUAGGUGAAGACUUUGGGGGCUUGUACUCAAGUGUUUUAGAUAUUUAUUCUUGACUUUGAAGGCUCUUUGUUCCCCCCUUUCCGACAACAGAUUCUACUUCUUCUUCCUCACUCCCUCAUUCUCCAUUGUGCUGAAGCAUAGAGCAAGCAACCAGCCAGCAGUCUGCAAGCUAGUCACUGCACCACUUGAUCGCCUCACGCCGCUGUCUGAGCUUAUUGUCGCCCUGGUUGCCAUCCGCCAGCUCGCCUUUGCGUCGUUUGAGCUGCCGUCCCCACGCCCGAGCUCAAUCGCCCAUCCGUCCCCUACGAGCUGCUAGCCCCUCAUGUCCGCCUAGCUCCAAUCCUGUGUUAUUCCAAUCGCCCGAGCCGCUGCCAUCUGCUCCUACUCGCACUGCCGUCCAACCUUGCCCAUCCUCGUGCUGAACCGCCUUAGCCCCAAUCGAUUUUGCCCCUCCUCAGAACCAAGAGCUAGCUUGAGCCAUAAGGCUUGCUUGGCCUUUUUUGGGCCCUUUCGAGCCUCUUUUGGUAUCGUUGUAGGUCCGAGUCUUGCUUGCCUUCGUGUCGCCGUUGCCGUGAACUCGUCGGCUCAUUAAACUAGUGAGUUUAUCUCCUAAUCUCCCAUUAAGAUGCUAAUUACACUUCAAGGUGGAUUAAUGGCUAAUUAGUGGAUUAGUUUAGGCCUAUAUAGGAUUAAGGGUUAAUUUAGUUAGUGUAAUUAGUUAUGUAGUUAAUUAGAUAGAUUAAUUAGGUGGUUAGAUAGCUUAGAUGAUUAGGGCGCGUUUGGUAACGAUUUUGUUUUCGGGAACAGAUUCUAAUCAGAAAUGAUUAUUUUUUAUUCUAUUCCCAGGAACAAUUUUUAAGUAUUUUAAGUCAUUUGGUAAUUGUCCAAAAUUUCUGAUUCUAAAAUAGAAUUGUGUUUGGUAUUGUGCUCAUUGAUUCUGUUUCAAAUCAAUUUAUUUUAAUUUUCAAAUAAUUUUUUUACUUUUUUUCCUUUUUCUCCUAUUAUUAUUCUUCUUCUUGUGGCUAGUCGCCAGACCGGUGAUCAGCCAGAUGAGGGCCAGCGACCUCACCGGAGUGUCGUCGGUCCUUGUCGGCCGAGCCUUGCUAGCAGUUAGGUAAGGCUCGCCUAGCCAUUAGCGGGGCUGGGCGAGCCUCGCCGGGGCUGGGCAAGGCCCACUUGGCCACCAGUGAGCUCGCUGGACAUUGCCCUUGCUUGGCGAGCCUCCGACGAGCUCGUCGAACCAGUUGUCGGCGACUGGCAGCGGCGGCGAUAGACAGCAGUGAACUGGUAGUGGCGGUGGCAGACGGCGACGGACACUGGAAUUCUGACCACUGUUUGCUCCAGAAACAAAAAUCAACUUGUUUUUUUUAUUCUUGAUUUCAUUCCAAAUCUACUUCCGGGAACAAAAAAAAAUAGAAAUUUGUUCUCAGGAACAAAAAUUUUACUAAACGCGAUUCUAUUCCUAAACUGAUCCCUGGAAUAAAAAAUCAGAAUCAGACACUGUUUGGAUGAUUACCAAACAGUGCCUUAGUCUAAUUAGUGUAUGUUAUUUAUCCUAAGCUAGGUUAGUUAAUUAUUCCAAUUAGGUGGUUAGAUUAGCUUAGGUAGAUUAAUUAGUGAUUUAAUUUAAUUAUUUUGCAAUUUAUUUAUUUAAAUGCAAUUUAUUUAAUUAUUUAUUAAUUAGUGAAAAUUAUACCGGGAUAGCCGAUUGUCAGAAUUUCAUGCUAAUUGUCGUGGUAGUGUUGUUUCGUGUAAUUGAGUGCUAAUUUUUGCAAUUGGAUGCUGAUUGAUGAUUUUUGAUUUAUUAUUUCAAAAAUAUGGAAUUUUGGUAUUUAAUUAGAAAAAUACCGUGUGUCGAUUUUUGACACCAAAAAGGUUUUAAGUACUAUAUAAAAUCAUGAAAUUUUAAAAUGGGAGAAUAACAUGCUUUAUGGUUCGAUUUGACCGUGUGUCCACGCACACCUAUUUUUAUCGGGUGUUUUUAAUAUGAAGAAAAUAUGCAAAGUACAUUAUUUGAAAUUGAGGCAUUUGAGUGCAAAGCACGAUGUCCUUAGCCAAGAUUGGAUGUGCGUGUGAUUGUUAUGAGAACUCGUCAUGAGCGUUUAUGCCGGAUGAUACUUCUUCAGGAAUGUCCCAUGUCAAUGGAUGCCGGUCGUAAUGGAGGUUGGGCUGAUGCUCAUUUGAGAGUGACAUAUAGAUGUAGAUGUUGUCAUGCUCGAUAAGGCAAGAUGAUGCUCGGUUAUGCCAGAUAACCACCGACUGUUGAGUUGGCCGUGGCCGUUGGGUCGUAACUAAUUGUAAUGCUUGAAUGAGUGAUUUGACCACGCCUGAUUAUGAGACAAAAUUGUGUUGCACAGAAUGUGACAUAUUAUAAUGAUUUGACCUUAUAAUCGGGACCCCUGUGAUUGAUUGAUAUAUGAAAGUGAAGCAUUUCAAUUACCGUAUACAUUUAUUGUAUACAUACGUUAUAUGAACAGUACUAAUGUGCAGGGAGGUGCUAAGUCGAUGUAAGUCUUACAUGAUGUGUGCAUAGGCUGCCUCUAGGUGAAUUUUCAUCUUAAUCGAAGUUUAGAGUGUAGACUCGCUGAGAUAUUGUCUCACCCCAUCGUGGUUUAAAAUUUACAAGUUCCUAGAUGGGGGAGGAUCACGUUUGAUACGGGGUUCCACAGGUGAUGGAUUUGGAGCACACCUUCUUCCCUAUUCCUAGGACCACCUUGACCAAGAGCUAGUUAAGUCAGUGGUUUGUGUCGUUGAGGGCCUACCUCAGUUGGUACCUCACUGAUUCAUAACAUAGUUCAUUGGCUUUCCUCAAAGGGGUCGGAAAGGUCCUCUUUAGGGUUUUGACGGGCCUCCUAAUGGGACUGGGGAGUGGGAAGCAGCUCACUCAAUGGAUCUCAACACCCCUUAUGGUGUCGUGGUGGACCCGGAGCCCAUGGUUGUAGAGCAAAGAAUUUAGAUAGCUCAAUAGCCCUUUUUGGUUUAGACUCUUAUGUAUAUAAACCUUGGUUAUUUAUAAAAUAUGUUUUGUGUUAUUUGAUUGUUCUGCUUUUCUAUCCCAUGUGUUAGUUGUUUGGAGAUUGUUUAAUUCGCUUAUGCUUGUGCAAUAAAAUGAAUGGGUCGGCGACGCAUCCUGGGAAUGUUGCAAUUUGAUCAACCACCGAGAGAUGUGCGUGCACUCGAGGUUCGGGGCGUGACAGUUGCUAUCUGGGAAAAUUGGAGGUCCUGCAAAUCGAAGUGAUCCCCACUUUGUAGCUGACUUGAUUAAUCAGAGAUAUAGGGAAUAGAACUUACAAUUACUGAAUGAGACUUUUGGACAGAGUAUUGUACAAGAAAUAUUAGCUACUCCGCUAAGCCUAAACCCUGGGCCAGACAAACUACUUUGGACAACGAACAAUUCAGGCUUGUACAAAGUAAAAAGUGGCUAUAACAAACUCUGCACCCAAGGGACAACUCAAACAGAGCAUUUGGCAUCAACUUCUUACCAGAAUCCCAAAAGAUUAUGGAUUGAGAUUUGGAAACUACAGACCUAUCCCAAAAUCAGAUUCCUAUUGUGGAGUGUUUGCAACAAUGAUCUUCCUACCAAAGAGAGCCUUUACAGGAGGAAUAUGAUACUUGACUCGUUAUGUCCUCUAUGCGGCCAUGCUCCAUAAUCAACAGAACAUAUUUUCCUUUGAUGUGCCUAGACAAAUAUGAUCAUAUCCUAGGCUUGAAGUCAAUACCUUCCCGAUAAGUAUUACUCGAAUUAACAAAAAGGUAUGUGAAGUUCUUACCUCGAAAGCCAGCCCUUCAUCCAAGGCUCUGUUUGUAGGAGUCUUCUGGCUAAUUUGGAAGGCGAGAAAUGUCUUCAUCUUUCAUGGACGCAAACCUCGCCCAAAACAACUCGUGGAAGAAGCUAAUCAUACAACCUAGUUGUUUGCAAGAUGGAAUACCAACAUGCUCGAUCAAACUUAGUCAUCCGUCCUCCAACGUAAAGUUGGAACCCACCGCUUUUGAGAUCUCUGAAACUGAAUGUCAAUGGAUCAUGAUGUAGCUCCACAAUGGAAGGAUCGGUUGCAGGGAUCUGUAGAAAUAAAGAUGGAACUCUCAUAGAUGGGUUCACAAAGCAAAUCUAUCACGACCCGAACUCCGAGCGCAUGCACAUCCCUCCGUGGUCGAUACAAAUUUGCAACAUCCUAGAAACUAUUGCCAACCCAUUCAUUUUAUCAAGCAUGCAGAAGUGAAAUCAUAAACUCCAAACCAUACAGAAAUGAGAUAGCAAACAUAAGGUUAUAGUUUUACAAACCACACAUAUUUUACAGCAGUGAUUAUAUACAGAAGAAUCUAACAUAACAUGGUCUACUUCAAAAAAAAAAAGAGCUUCUAAGCUAUCUACGCUUUGACCUCCUUGUCCAUGGGACCUAGUUUCUACUUAUGACCCUGCCAGACUCUUCGAUAGAUCAGGGUGAGUGGUCACCCAUUAUCCAAAUCAGAUGACAGACCCGUUAGUAUCUGGCAGAAGUUACUGAAGCAUCCAUACAUCACUCCUUGUAACCCUCUGCUCCUUGCCUGAUGGCCUUCCGUCUAGGAACUUGAAAAAUUUAGCCAAUUAUGGGGUGAGAUCACAUCUCAGCGAGUUCAUCUUGUAAAUCUCGAUUAAGAGAAGAGUACAUUCUACAUGCAACCUAGUCACAUUUCUCACAACUCUUUUAACCCUAGCAUUUCCCUGCACAUUAGUAUUAAUCAAAUCAUAUAUAACAAUAUCAAGAUCAUAUAUCAUAUUAAUAUUUCCACAGAUGUAUAUGUAGGGAUGUAAUUAUUAACACAAUAGUACGGGCCCCCAAUUACUAGACUAAAUUGUUAUGGUACGUGCCAUCCUGCACCACACAAUUCCGUCUCCUAAUUAGGUCCCUCAAGUUCGAUCAUUCAUGCAUCUCGACAAAUUUCAAUUCACUAGAUAUGGUCAACCCAACAGAUAACGAUUAUCGGCAUGGCCGAGCAUCAUCUCACACCAUUGAGCACGGCAAUGUCUAUAUCUAGACAGUAUUCUGAUUAGGAGCAUCGGUCCAACAUCCACUGUGACCAGCAUCCAUUGACUUAGGGCAUUCCUGAAUGAGCAUCAUCCGGCCCUAAAGGCUCGUGAUGGAUUUUCAUGUAGCAUAUGCAUUUAUCCAAUUUCACAAUUCAACAAUUAAUUAUGCAUUUCAGCCAUAUCACCAAAUAAGCAAAUUUCCAGCAAGCAUGUCAUUAAAAACAAUCACACAUUACUACUUCCUCUAACCGGCAAAAACUGUCCAUUUGCGCACUUCCGAGUUUAACACUAGAAAUCAACUCAAGCGAGUUUGAAAAAUUCUCAAACUUGAACAUGUGACAAAGGACACAUAAAAAAACAUUUUUCAUGAAACACCAAGACCCAGAUCCUUCUGAAUUCGGCCCAGUAAGUCACUCAAUCCAGCACCAAAACCGAGUCCGUUUCCAGAUGGUAUGUUUUCCGAAAUCAGCUUAAUUCGGGGUCCAAAAUAGGUUCGUUUGAUCUAAAAUUCAAGUAUGUUAAACUAUAAGAUAUAACAAACAAAUUUUGUGAGGAAACCAUUUGGAACUUCAAACCCUAAGGGUCAGAAAAAACCCCUAGAAUCCCAACAGGUUAGGAUUUCCUAUAUAGUCCGACUUUCUGUUUAAACAUAACGGAGUUAAAAUCUUCUUCCCUUAAAUUCCCAAAAAUCCUGAAAAAAUAUAUGUUAUGAUUGAAGAGGUCUAAAACAUUUCUUCAGAUGAAAUCACUUCAAAAUCGCAACACAUCUCAUUCUACAAAAAUAGCAAACCGCAAGCGUCUAAAAAUCAAUUAUGGAGAACAGUCUCUGUCUUUGGCUAAACUAUCCUCUAAGGUUCUGAGCUUGCUAUUUAAAUGAAGACUAAGCCUUUCUAUGACUAAUAUAACCUUUCUAAAUUAACACUAAGCUAUAUUAAAUCCCAUCUAAACCUUCCUUAACUUAUUUAAAUUCCUAAACAAAGGUACAUGGCCCAUAAUCAAGCCUUAGGAAAACAACUCACCUAGGUUAAAACCACGCACUUCCAAUGACGGUGGUGAGGUCUCAACUGUAGGAGGUCCCGACAACAGGACAAUAGCAAUAGCAAAGUGAAGGUUGCUUUCGGUGAAGACGGUGAGUGGAAAUUGCAAAAGAAUGAGCAAUUGGUUGGCGACAACAGUCGUGGAAGGUGCUUCUUAGCUUUCGGCACAAAGAAGCAGGGGUUUGCCUAUUUUGGAGGGCUGUGGACUUGCUAGUGAGGAUGGUUGUUCGUCAAACCAAGGCCAAGACAAAGAGAUGUGGAACAUGAAGGGCAGCUCGAGUUAGGACCGGUUGCUGCACCAGGUUUGGCAGCACCAAAACAGGAGACUUCUCUGUUUUCUUGGCUGCUGUUUUGAGCUGGUUAGCUAAGAGGAAACCGAAGCAGGGGCUGCUGCUUGAUGAGGAAGAAGACAAGGACUUUAUGGUUGAGAAAGGGAAGGAAAAAGAAAAGGAAAAGAAAGGAAAGAGAGAGGGGAGUGUCGCAUGGCUAAAGGGGGGAAAGGAAACGCACAGUGGGGAGAGAGGAGGAGAAAAGCAAUCCAUGGAGGGCCCCUCACUAAAAAUUUCCAAGUCUUUUGGUCUUUUUUCCAUGUAAAAUGGCCCCUCUCACUUUCAUGUGGCCCGCCCCCUUUAAACACACCUAUCCAAUUCCAAAUGAAACUCAAAUGGUGGUGAAAUCUCUUGUCUUAGGCCUUCAUAUGAAUUUACCUCCUUUCUAUAAGCUUUUCCUUUUUUUCCAUUUUACCAUUUCACAAACUUAGUUAAUAAAGACAAAUCCUCAUUUAUAUCCUUAUAAUUCCUCCCUCUGAAGGUUCCAUAAUAAAGGCCAAAAUCCAUUUAAAAUAUGGCUUCUCUCCCAUUCCUUUAAUAUGCUGCAUUUGAAUUUUUCACCAACAAUUUUCGUCGUCAAUAAACCUUGGAAAGAUGUAACAAUAUUCCUAAAAUUAAUUGCAACACUUUAGAGUUCUCAAUUUCUGAAAUCGGAAUAAAUUUCGCAGUUAAAUUCAGUCAGACGUGGUUUUAGCGCGAUCUAAACUAUGGGGUAGUUUUUGGGAAUUUUUUGUGCAAUUGACCCAUGGUCGAUUAUUUUCGAGACACAAUUUACAUCUUCGACUCAUUGGUAAUCCUCAGUUAUCGUGAAAAUUUCAAGGUUUCAUAUACGAGCACAAGGUACCAAAACGACAGAAAAAAUUGGUUUAGUGCCGAUAGACGAGGAUUUUGUAAUUAAAUGGAAUCACCCAUGCCUAAUUACACACCUCAAUCGAAUCGACCUAUUUCUGGUCUUUGAUAGAUUUUCGACUGUAUCGCAAUGACCCUUACAGACUAAGACGGUCGAGCAGUCAAUUCCUAGUCGAAUUCUCAAGCUUGUUGCAUUAAAAUCCCUUCAUGACUUCCCCAACUAGUCUAGUUAUCCCAUGAGUGAUUAGCUCAUAACACUAUAGGUACGUCGAUGAAAAGCCCGAUUUGUUCAAUUGAAAACAAAAGUAGAAAAUCAGACUGUCACAAAAUCCGAGCCCCCUUUGCGUUUUUUUAACUGAAACCCUAGCAAUCAGAGAAGCUCUCUCAUGGAUAAAGCUAAAACGUGAGUUGAGUUCUACACAAGUACACCGAACUGAAAGUUUUCUGCACAUGGAGAUAGCUUCAGACAACUUAGAUGCUGUGAAUUGUGUCAUGGACCAAAUGGAGAUCCCUUGGACUUCUAGAUCCAUCAUCUAGGAUUGUGGUCUUCUAUUGGCCCAACUAGGAGCAUGAAUUAAACUAAAAUAUGAGCCUAGAGAAGCAAAUCAUGUUGUAGAUUGGGUAGCCAAGGCCCAUCGAGCUGGAACCCUUCCAUCCAAUUGGGUUGCUUAUCCCCCUCGUUCCCUUUGGUUAAUUUUAAGUCUUGAAUUUGGUGCUGGUUGUAAUUCAUCUUUGAGUUAAUAAUCUAAAGUUAUUUUCGACCAAAAAAAAAGUCACUUUAGUUGUCAAAUUUUAUGGGAAACAUAUCAUAAAUGAGAUUUUCUUUAUUUAUUUCCUAUUAGAAUUUUAAAUCUUUUCUGCAAAGUUUCUACCAAUUUGAGUAUGUAUAUACCUCACGUUUUUUGGCUUAGUGAUUAAGAUAUGGAUUCGCAUGUGUGUAGCAUGCCACACAAAUUUAGUUACCCACGUCGCCCAGUACAAACAAUUUCCUCUUUGGACUUACCAUCCUAUUUUUUGCUCUAGUUCUAUUUAGUCCAUAAAGUUAAUAGUGCGCGUGCCAAUUAUAAAUGUGAUGCUCCCUUGUUGUUAAAAAAAAAUUAUGCAUGUACGUAAUAGAUCCUGUGAGGGGUACCGAGAUUGGUUUAAAAAAUUGAAUUAUCAAGUGAUGCAACAAAUUGUAAAUGCCUAGUUCUAUUUAGUCCAUAAAGUUAAUAAUGCAUGUGCCAAUUAUAAAUGUGAUGCUCCCUUGUUGUUAAAAAAAAAAAAAAAUUAUGCAUGUACGUAAUAGAUCCCGCGAGGGGUACCGAGAUUGGUUUAAAAAAUUGAAUUAUCAAGUGAUGCAACAAAUUGUGAAUGCCUAUAUAAUGUAAUUGGGCAAUAUCUAAAUUGGGACGAGAUAAAGGAAAUUCGCAUAAAAUGUCCUGGCCAAAGUAUUUGGUUCACCCGACUGAAUGGAGAGGGGAACCGCACCAAUUGAAUAAUGGGGAAAUUGAAUGAAUCCAGGCCAAGAAAAUUGGCAAGUUUCAAGCGCGCGCUUUAGGCAUUUCUUCGGCAUGAGAUUAGAGACAUAAAAUAAACAAAUGAUUGAAGGCCGUCUCGUGAAAUCGGAGGAGGGUGGCUUAUGUAUUUGAGCACCCCUAAACUCUUAUCUUGUUUGCAUUAUAGGACAAGGUCGUCCAUAACCGGCAAUCUGUUCAGGGUUCUAAACUCAAUGGUGCCAACCAUUCUGGAAAUAAAGCUUGUGUGUUGGAUUUCAAGGGAAGCUAGGAGGAACAACUUCAUUUUGUCGAGUUUGCUUACAACAACAGCUACCAGCAAAGACCACCAGCCAUGGUGGCUUCGCUGGAUAAGAACUUCGUUAAUCCUUGCCCAAAGGUGAGGGGUUCGAAACCCAGUGAAGGUGCUUGGUGUCUUAAACGGGAUGUUGGGGUGGUGGGUCAUCCGCUAGUGUCCCCCCAGGUUUGCUCGGUCGGCUGCCGGCUGUAUGGGGUUCCUGGGUCAUCAAAAAAAAAAAAAAAACAGCUACUAGUAGAGCAUUCAUAUGGCUCCUUUUGAAGCAUUUUAUGGUAAAAGCGUGCAGAAUGCUAGUGUGUUGGGAUGAAGUCAGGGAGAGAAAGAUCAUAAGCCCAGAGUUAGUCUAGCAGUUAGCAGAUGUAGUUGCAGUCAUCGGAGAUAGAUUAAAGACCGCUCAAAGUCGCCAGAAAAGCUACGCAGAUAAACUCCGGAGACCAUUGGAAUUCCAAGUUGGUGAGCACGUUUUUUCUGAAAGUGUCACCAAUGAGAGGUACUUUGUACUUCAGCAAGAAGGGAAAGCUCAGUCUAAGGUACGUAGGUCCCUUUGAGAUUCAUGAGAGAAUCGGGACUCUAGCAUAUUGUUUUGCAUUACCGCCGAACUAGCACAAGUAUAUGACGCAUUUCACAUGUUGUUAUUUCUAUACAUAUGCGUCUGACCCGACACACGUGCUUAAUUUUGAGGAAUUGGACGUGGAUGACAGAGUGUCAUACGUUGAAAGCCCGGUUCAGAUUGUGGAUCGUAAGGAACAUGUUCUGCACACCAAGACCAUCCCAUUGGUCAAAGUGGUUUAGCAACACCACGACACUGAAGGAGCAACCUGGGAAACUAAAGAUUCGAUGAGACGACUGUACCCCCACCUUUUUAUUUAAGAUUUGUAAAGUUUAAAUUUCAAGGACGAAAUUUUUAUAAGAGGGGAAGAGUUGUGACAUCCAGAUUUUCGAAUCUGAUUUCGAUAAGAUGAAAUGGGCUAUUUAUCGACAUGCCUAUAGCCUUUUUAUCUGAGUUGGCCACUCACGAGAUAACUAGUCUAUCAGGUGAAGUCUUUAAGGGAUUUUAACGCAAUAGACUUGAGAAUUUGACCACGAAUCGAUUGCUCGACCGUGCAAAUCUGCAAGGAUCAUUAUAGCACUGUCAAAAUCAAUUAGAGAUCAGAGAUAGGUCAAUUUGACUGAGAUAUGAGAUCAAAGUGUGGGUGAUUUCACCUAAUUGCAAAAUUCUUGUCGAUUGGCACUAGAAUGAUUUUUCUGUUGUUUUUGAUACUUUGUGUCCGUAUUUGAAAUCUCGAGAUUUUCACGAUAACCGAGAGUUGCCAAUGUGUUGAAAAUAUACAUUUUGACUUGAGAUAAAUUGAUCAUGGGUCAAUGCACUAAAAAUUCCUAAAAGCUACCCAGUAGGAUAGAUCACGCUAAAAUCGCGUCAGAUUGAAAUUAACCGCGAAAUUGAACCUAAUUUCAAAAAUUGUAAGUUCUGUUAUGUCACGAUUCAUUUUAGGAACAUCAACUCAUCCUUCAAAGAAUUUUCAGAGAGUUCGGAAUUUUUACAUAAAAUUGAUUUGGACGUUUUGGAAAAUGAACGAAAAUUCAGAUUUUUUCCAAAUUAAAAGAAAUUUUGGCUUCUAAGCUGAGCUAUUUGGCGAUGGGGACUUGCAAAAAUCUUGGGGGCUUCUUCUUCAUCAAAAUUGGACACCAAAUUAGGGAAAUUUGUUGAGGAAUUGAAGCUCAAGUGUGAAAUUUAGAUCUUAGGAAGAGUGUGACAUCCAGAUUUUCGGGUUCUGAUUUCGAUUAGAUAAAUUGGGCAUUUCAUGAACGUGACUACAGUGUUUUUCUUUGAGUUGGCCACUCAUGAGAUAAUUAGACUAGCUAGGUGAGCUCUUAAGGAUUUUAAGGCAGAUAGACUUGAGAAUUCGACCAAGAAUCGAUUUCUCGACUGUGUUCAUCUUUAGAGGUCAUUACGGCACAUUUAAAAAUUGAAUUAAGAUUAGAGAUAUGUCGGUUCGACUGAGAUGAAUGACGAAUUGUGGGUGACUCCACUAAAUUGGAAAGUUCUCAUCGACCGGCACUAAUUUGAUUUUACUAUUGUGUUGGUACCCUGUGUCCGUAUUUGAAUCCUCAAUAUUUUCAUGACAACCUAGAAUCACCAAUGAGUCGAGUGGGUUCAUCGUGGCUCGAAGAAAAUCGACCAUGGUUCAUUUGUCCUAAAAAGUUCUAAAAACUACUUGGUAGCCUAGCUCACACUAAAAACGCGCCCGAGUGAAAUUAACUGUCAAUCUGAGUCCGAUUUCAAAAAUUGAAGAUUCUGUCGUGUCACAAUAAAUUCUAGGAGUGUCGACUCAGUCUCAGAAGAUUUUUCUGACACCUGACACUUUUUGGGAAAAAGUCAUCGCCGGGUUAUUUUAGUGCAGAAAUUGCCGAAGAUGGUUUUUGGUCGCAAAAUUGGGAUGCAAGAUGGGUGAGAGUGAAUCAAGAGAGAAUGGUUGUGCAAUUGAGGCCUUUGCUAAGAAAUUCGUAACAUCCCCACACCCUAACAAGAAUGGACCACUUAGAAGGUUAUAUGGGACAUUUUGAUGGCCUAAUGAAGGCCAAGUAUUUAUACAUGGCCUAGAUUGAUUUAAGGUAGAUAUUUUACAAAAUAUCAAGCCUUGCUGGAGCCCUCACUCCUCAUAUCUAUCCACCUCUCUUUCUCUCAUACCCCACAACCGGAUAGCCUCUCUCUCCCUUCCCAUUUCGUGCGACACCAACACCAACAGAGGAGAAGUAGCCCAGCUCCUUCGGUUGGCCAUCAACAACUGAGACCCCCAUGCCCACUUGCUCGUCUCUCUCUGCUCAAUCCACCGUCCAUGAAGCUGCUCCAUCUUCCACACCCUACGUCCACACAGCCACGACGUCCAAAGAAGCCAGGCACCUCUCCACGCGUCAUCUUCAGUCAACAACAGCAAGCACCGAAGCUUUUUAUUAAUCGAGUAGCACGCCAUUCAACUCCAGCACCGUCCAAGUCUCCACACUCCACUAGCCUGUCUCCUUCGGUCAACCGCAGCAAACAAGCCGAGAUUCGCUGGUUGACUGAGCAGCCUUACCUUGCUGCCAUUUGGCCGUGAGUCUUCAAUUGGUGCCCUCUCCAUGCGGCCAAGGACGACGCUACGUUGUGUCUUCAACCUAGUGAAGCUGUUGUCGCUAGACCAAGACCAGCAAUGUCGCUUGAAGAAGCCACGUCUUCACCGAGUUCUGCCGUCCACCGAAGACUCCACCUGUUGCUUCCUUCGUCCGCGAGCUUCCUCAGAAUUCUGCUUCUCUCACUCGUGGAUAGGCCUAGCUCCAUCCAUCGUGCAUCUUCGGCCCAACAUAAAGGCCAGCUCAUUUGAAGCCCUUGACCUGGCUCGCAACCCAUCUUCAAUUGAAUUGAAGCCCGCAAGAAGCAGCCCAUCAAUUAAUUUAAUCGAAGCCCAUCUCUAGCCCACACGAUUUCAGCCAAUUUCAACUCAGUCCAACCCUUGUGGAUCAGUCGAUCAGCUCGCGAAAAUUUCAUAAGCCUAGAUCAAGCUCAGCCCAAGAAUUUAAGUAGGCCCAAGCUCAGAAUUUCUGCGAGCUUGCAAAGUUUUUUAGGCCUGGCCCGAGGGUGCAUUGACGUCACCGGAAUUUUGGAAUUCGGCCGCCGUCGUGUCGUCAUCGCGGCGUUCCAGUCUUCGCUUUGCUCAAGUGAGUUUUACUCACUAAUGCCUUCUUAGUUUGCUAAUUAUACUUAAAGAUUGAUUAGCUUUAAUUAAGUGCAAUUAGGUGGUUAGAUUAGAAUAGAUUAGUGAUUAUUAGAUAAUUGUGAUGCAUGUUAGUCAAUUGGGUUGUGCAAUUAGCGAGUAGGCACGUAAUACUAUUUAUUGAAUGCUACUUGGGAUUUUUCCCGACCCUUAUCGGGUGUUAACUAGGCAAUUCGGGCAUAAGUGGAAUUUUUAGGAAUUAAAUCUUAAUUUUCAAAAUUAAUUAUUUAAUUAUUUAUUUUCCAAAAAUUCAACUGGGAUGGCCAGUGACCGGGAUUUUAUACUAAUGAUCGUGGUGCAGUCCAUUUAUUUAAUUGAGUUUCAUUUUGUGCUGAAUUGAAUUAUUUGUGAAAUUGGAAAUUAUUCUUUAAUGGAAUAAUAUUUGGUUAUACCACCGCCCGCGGUGGCCACGAUGGUUAAGGCUUGGUACCUCAUCCGCAGGGGGAAGGGUUCGAGACUCCGUGUCCGUGUUGCUUCAAUGCAAAACGCGCGAUUCACCUGUGGCUGGGUUUGUGGUGGUAGCCCAGUCCACCCCAUGGUUUACUCUCCGCCAUGAAGCGGCGCACAGAGGUUCCCUGGGUCACCAAAAAAAAUAAAAAAAAAUAAUAUUUGGUUAUUAAUUGGAAAAUAACUUGGUGUUGGUUGACAGCACUAAAAGUGUUUUGGUGGACUACAGAAAAUGUCGGAGUUAUGGAAAGGAAAAUAUUAUAUUUUGACUAAGGUCAGCCGUGUGCCCACGCAUGAUAUUUUGUCAAGUAUGAUAAAAAGAUGGAAUUGGAUGUAUGAUUGGGAUGGUAUACUAUAUCGGCCUACGGGCGAUAUGUCAGCUUAGCAGAGAGCAGUAUACCGGUAUACUAUAUCAGCCUACGGGCAAUAUGUCAGCUUAGUAGAGAGCUCUAUACCUUAUUAGUUUAUAUUGAAUAUGUCGGUAUACUGUAUCAUCCUACGAGCUCUGAUAUGGUAGCUUAGCAGAGAGCAGUAUACCUUAUCAGUUUAUAUUGAAUAUGUUGGUAUACUAUAUCAUCCUACGGGCUCUGAUAUGGCAGCUUAGCAGAGAGCAGUAUACCUUAUUAGCUUAGAUUGAGCAUUGUCGGUAUACUAUAUCAUCCUUCGGGCUCUGAUAUGGCAGCUUAGCAAAGAGCAGUAUACCCGAUCAUCUCAGAAGUGAGCUAUACUAUCUAUUUACUAGCUUAAAGUGAGCAGUCUUGGACUAUGGUCGGACUUAUAGAUAGUAUUGAAUGUGCCGACCAAGCAUGGGUCCUGAUGACAUGUAAUCGAUUAGAUCAAUUGAUUAUUGGUUCAUUCUGAUGUUGUGAAUUGAUUGAUCGAAUGGAAAUGAUCGUGAGUGGUCUUGUUGACGUGUAAUCAACUAGGUCGAUUUGAUCGAUGCUUCGAUCAGUGAUAUGAUUAUUUGGGUGCCUAUUUGAUCUGUGCUAAUAUGCAGGUGGAAUCUGAGACCAAGGUAAGUCCUCUGAUUCAUGUUGUGCAUAGGUAGCCCUAAGGUUUAUUAGUUUACUAAUCGAGUCUUAGGGAGUAGAACUUGCUAAGAUGUGGUCUCAAUGGUUAUUGAAUAACCAUUUCAGGACCUUGAUGAGGAGCCUGAGGAGGAGGAAUCUGAAGAGAACUCUAAUGUGGAACUAGAUGAGAAGGAAGAUUUUGGAGAAGAAGAUGACCAUGAGGAGGAUUCUGAGUAUGACUCAGAGAGAACUAAGAUCCCAUCUUGUUUUGUCAAACCUUGAUUAUAUGUGGAUAAGUGUUAGAUCAGACCUCUGUGAAUAGUAUUGCAUUAUAUACUAUGAGGUGCUUGUAUAAAAGAGUAGUUGUGAAUUUCAAUAUGAAAAUUAUGGCCCUGCUUUUCUAUCCCAUUAUUUUAUUGUCUGGGAUUUAUAACUGUUUCUGCAUGUGCUAUUGAAAAAGGAAAGGGUCAGUGAUAUGUAGUCCUGGGGAUAUCGCAUUUUAAAAUCAACCAAGGUAAGGGAUGUGUGUGUGUCUGAGGAUCGGUGCAUGAUAAAGAGGGCUGGAAUUUUGGCUUCAAAUUUGGUUUAAUUGUUCGUUAAAUUACUAGAAAUAAAUAGGGGACAAAGCAAUUAAGGGGAUGGAUAAAGAUGGUUGACUUUAAGCUCUCCAAGCUUGCUGAGCACAUCGCAAGCUACCCCUCCAUUGAAACAGCCUCUGCCUUGCCACGCGUCCUCCACCAAAAAAGCCUCUGCCUUGCCAUGCGUCCUCCACCAUUCAUUCUUUGUUUUGACUCUGAAGCAGCUCCUCUCAGCCUCCCUGAACGUUGACUCUGAAGCAGCUCCUCUCAGCCACCAUCUCCUCUAGCUGGUGUUGAUCAAGCAGCUCGACUGAAGUUGCUUCUUUCCAAUUCAGCCGGGCCCAAAUCUAGUUGCUUCUUUCCAAUUCAGCCGGGCCCAAAUCUCUAGCUCAACCCUCACGUAAAUUUUUUAGGCCCAGCUUCAACUCACGUAAAUUUUUUAGGCCCAGCAGCCUACAGCAAUCCAACUACGCUACAGCCCACCAAACUAAGUCUAGCAGCCCAUCUUGAAGCUAGAUCAAGCUUAGCCCAGUUUUGAAGCCCUCUUCAGCCCAACUUCGGCCCAGCCUAACUCAAGAACAAAUCUUAGCUUGGGCUGACAUUUGCUGGGCAGUUUUAGGCAUAGUCCAAGCCCGUUGGCGCCGCCGCAAUCUCAAGUUUUGGCCGCUGUUGCGGUAAACUAGUUUUUGUAUUAAACUGGUGAGUUUAUGCACUAAACUCUUCUUAGUAGUCUAAUUACGUUUAAGGAGUGUUUAGUUUAAUUUAAUUAGGAAUUAGGUGGUUAGUUAGAUUAGAUUAGUGAUUUAAUUAGUUAAUUAUGUAUGUUAGGUGGUUAAAUCAGAAUGUUUAAGGCCUAGAUAGGAUGUGCUAUUUAUCUAGAGUGGUUCGGGAAUUUUCUAGACCCGUGUCAGUAUUUAAUUUAACAAUUACAGCCUAGGUGAGUAUUUUUGGUAUUUAAAUUGAUUUAUUUAAUUAAUUUUAGUAAUUAUUUAAUUAUUAAAUAUUUCCGGAAAUUAAAUCGGGAUAGCCAGUGAUGGGAAUUUCGUGCUGAUUGCAAUGGUGUGGUUAAUUUAUGCAAUUGAGUGUUACAUUGUGCAAAUUGAGUGCUGAUUGGAAUUGUGAGUAUUUAAUUCAAAAAUUUGUAAAAAAAAAAUAUUUAUUUAGAAAAUCCCGGGUGUCAGAUUUUAACACAGAAAAUGGUUUUAUAUACUAUAUAAAACAGUAAGAUUUUAAAUUGGAAAAUAUCAAUUUUUCUAGUGUGAAUUGACCGUGUACCCACACACGACUAUUUUAUCGUGUAAAUACGAAGAAAAUAGGCCAGGUUCAUCAUUUUAAUGGAGACAUUUGAGUGCAAUACAUAGUGCCCUGGCCCAUAAUUGAGUGAUCGUGUGUUGGUUAAGAGAACCUGUCCUAAGCUAUUAAGCUGGACGUAACCCCUAUAUGGGACGCCCCUAGACAACAGGAAGUCGGCCACAAUAGAUUCUGGACACAUGUUCCUUCAGGAAAGCUGUCUAGGAAAGAUGUAACCGUACUUAAUGGGGUGAGACGUAGCCUAGUAAUGCCAGAAGACCGCCGAACAGAGAGUAGGCCGUGCUAUAUGCCGAGAUCAAAACUAGGAACACAUGAUUAUUUGAGUUGAACGCGCCGAAUUAUGGGACAAAAUUGUGUGGCACGGUAUGAGAUGUGUCAUAACAAUUUUGCCCUAUAAUCAGGACCCUUGUGUUUUGUUAUAAUUGAUUAUGGCAUUCCUAUUGAUGAGCUUAUUUGCUGCUCAUGCUUUCAUGCUGUCUGUAAUAUGAAUUGUGCUAACCUACAGGGUGGAUUUAAGACAAGGUGAGUCCCUAUGUUUGUGUGAUUGUGUGGUUAUGAAGCUUCUAGGCGUAUUUCCCUCAUAAUCGGGGUUUAGAGUGUGAACUUGCUGAGAUUUAUAUCUCGCCCCAUCGUAGGCUCAAUUUUCAGGGUCGUAGAGUGGUGAACUUGGAGCCGAGCUGAGGGAACCCAUGGUGUAAGUCAGAUAGGACAACCUCUUUUGGAGAGUCAAUCUUUUGAAAUCUUUUGGGUAUAGACUUUUGUUUAUAACUCAGUAUGUUUAUAAAAGCAUGUUUGUUUAUCAAUUUGUUGUCUUGCUUUUCUAUCCCGAGAUGGUUAUCGUCAGGGGAUUUAUUAUUCGCUUCUGCAUGUGCAAUAAAAUGAAAGGGUUGGCGACUCGUCCUAGGAAGUUGCAAAAUUUUAUCAACUAGAGAGGGAUGGGCACAGGCUCAAGGAUCAGAGCAUGACACUUAGUCUAAGGACUAAAUUGAACACGUAUCAAAAGUCCAGGAAUUGUAUUAAAUAAUUUAAAAGAUCAUGGAUGACAUUAUACAUUGUGCUAAAGUUCAUAGACCAAAUUGAACAAAUUAAAAGUUCAGGGUCCACAUUAAAUAAAUUAAAAAUUUAUGGGCUACAUUGCACGUUGAGAUAAAGUUUAUAGAUCAUUUGUAUCAUUUUCACAUAGAUUCGCUUGUUGGACGAUCUGUUGAAUGUUACUACAAUUAAAUAAGUUAGGUAGCACGGAGAAGCAGACAAUCCAAAUAAUGUCAUUACUUGGCAUUAUAUUGAACGGCUUCUCCAUAUAUGGCAAUUUUAUAUUCAUUAUCCGGCAAUUCCAGAAAAAGAAAAUUUAUCCUGUUGCACCAAGGGACGAAAGUGGGGAAAAAGAAGAAGGAAAGAAUAGAGUGAAUUUUUCGAUUUUCAUGCUGUAAGUCAAAGGAAUGCUAGUGGCGGGCACUGCCAGCCCACUAAUUUAAUAUUAGUACUUUCCUUUGUAGGACAAAUCACUGGGAUGGUAUAGCUUACCUAAACAAGAACAAUCCAAAAAUGAAAGAGAGAGAAAGAGCUUGGGAAUUGGGAAUAAAAUGACAAUGUGGCACCACUUGAUCGAGAUAUCAACGAAUUAAACAAAGUAUAUUAAGGCAAGACAUUUCAUUGGUCCACAAAUCAUACAAUCAUUAUGACCUGGGUUGAGACGGCUUAUAAACGGCGUUCUUAAGUCGUGAAAGAUAAUAUCAUUUCAUUUUAGUGAUGUGUUUGCCAUAUACUUCCGCGUGAAAUUAGCCAGCUAAAUACUAUAUCAGUCUCUAGCGAUAAAUAUAUUUGUCCAUCAUGUAAAAUUUUAUUUAUUUAUUUUUCAUUUGAAAAGUCGUGAUAUUUCUAUCCUGUGAGGAUAAGUCGAUUCAUUUUUUUUCUCUUUAUUUGGCCUUACCUAUUUAGAAAUGCUAGGGAAAUUUGUAACAAUUUGUAUUAAUGUGGAUUCAGCAUACAAAAUACAUGUAUUCAUGUCGUUUUCUUUAUCUUUUUGCCAAAUAUUAAUUUUUUUGGCAUAUAGACAAUCCCUAUGCACUUUCGCUAGAUAAAUGUCGCACGAAUUUGGAAUUUAACAACGUUUGACAUAAAACUGAAGGAACCUUAGAUAAAAUGAAAAUACAAUAGAGAACAUAUAAGGACAAACCGGACAGUUGGGUUUGACAGGUGGUGUAACGGAUGCACACGAUACUUUCUUCCUUUUGGCAAUAGCCAGCAUGUAACAACUCAUUCAAAUUUAGGGAGGUAAGAAUGUCAUGUAAUCUUGGAAAAAAUAUUUAAAAAUAUCAUGAAAAAAUAUGUGAAACAAGUGGAUGAGAUUAGGAGUGAGCAGUUCCAUGAUCGAUCCAUGUUCCACUUAAAACCCGAAAGCCAUCCUAUUGGGAUCGAUUAUAUAAUUUUUGGAACUUGAAUCUAUCUUGUAUAUCUUGGAGUGUGGAAUCUAAUCUAUCAAUCGACUCUAAUGUCUAUUCAUGAACCAACCAAUUCCUCUUUAUUUUUUUUUUAUUUUUUUUUGUCAUGAAGAAUAUGAAACUCUUCUAUUAUUAAAGUCGGGAUAAUGUGACAUCCUGAUUUUCAAACUCUGAUUUCGAUUGGUUAAAUUGCGCAUUUCAUCGACGCGACUACAGUGUUUUUCUCUAAGUUGGCCACUCACGAGAUAACUAGACUAGUUGGGUAGGCUAUUAAAGACUUUAAGGCAAAUAGACUGGAGAAUUCGACCAAGGGUCGACUUCUCGACCGUGCUCAUCUUUAGAGAUCAUUGCGGCACAGUAUAAAAUCGAUUUGAAAUCAGAGAUAGGUCGGUUUGAUUGAGAUGAAUGACCGAUUGUAGGUGACUCCACUAAAUUGGAAAAUUCUCAUCGACUGGCACUAAUUUGAUUUUACUAUUGUUUUGGUACCCUGUGUCCGUAUUUGAAUCCUUGAGAUUUUCACGACAAUCGAGAGUCACCAAUGGGUCAAGUGGGUUCAUCGUGGCUCGAAGAAAAUCGACCACGAGUCAUUUGUCCUAAAAAGUUUUAAAAACUAAUCAGUAGCCUAGGUCACACUAAAAGCGCGUCGGAGUGAAAUUAACCGCCAAUCUAAGUCUGAUUUUAGAAAUUGAAGAGUUUGCCAUGUCACAGGUCAUUUUAGGAGCGUCGAAUCAGUCUCAGAAGAUUUUUCGAAGAUGCCGAGAUUUUUACAGAAAAUCGGUUCGGACGCCGCGAAAAAUCAACGAAAAUUUGUACGAGCCGAAUUUAAGAGAGUUUUGACUUUCAAGCCAAGCCUGUGAGUGUUGGGGAUUUAUAGAAAUUGUCUGGGAUUUUUCUUCAUCGAGAUUGGAUCUCAAUUUGGGAAAUUGUGGAAGAUAUUGAAGAUGAAAUUGAAAUACAAACUAAAGGAAAUUCGGAGCUAAGGAGGGCUGUAAAUUUUUGACUUCAAUUGGAUUAAUUAUGGGAAAUCCAAUCCAAGAAAGUAUUAGAGGGGGACAAGAAGUUAAUGGAGAGGAUAAGUGUUGACUAUUUCUUCCUCUUUGCUGGCUUUCAUUACACGAUUCAGCCCCCUUCUUCGACCUUUCUAGACCGCUCAUACUUGCAACGUCGACUCUCCGCUCGAAUUCACUGAAGCCACGUGAUUUUUCCCUGCAAGCUGCCGCUCGUCCUGCUUCAACGGAAGCCCAUCUCUGCCACGUUCUCGUCCAUCCUCUCCAAACGAAGUCCCUGCUCGAAGACUCCAGUAGCACCGAAGAAUUUCACUGAAGCUGUUGCCACGUUGCUGCUCCCUCUAGCAAGUUUGGUCUCCACCGGUCUUCUUGUUGCCGACCCCAUCAUCCCCAUUCCACCGAAGCUGCUUCUUAUAGCUACCGUCCAAGCCACUUCGCCGAGUCGACCAUGAAGCCUCCACUCGCCCGCAACUGUUCUCUUUCCUUCAGCGUCCAAUUCCCCAGCUCGACGCCAGCUGCCAACAUCUCCACUUCUUCCUGUUGCCAGCAGCAAGGUCUCAUGAAGUCAGCAAAGCCGAAGUCGCAUGUGUCUUCAACCGAGCAACACACGAAGAAACUGCAGCAGCUUCGUAUCUCCUCCAACAGUUGGACGCUGAUGGUUUUAUAUGAGAUGGGCUUAAGGCCCGUCCGCCCAUGUUGGGCCUAAAAGCCUGGCCCACGGAAUUAGGGCCCGUGGAUGGAGGGACGUAUAAAAGGGAGGAGAGAGAGGGAGAACAUACCCUUUGAACAUUACGUACGUUCCUUCCUCCCUCUCUCCCUCCAAAAGGAACAGUAAGCACAAGGCCACUUUCUUCUCCCCUUCCAAGGCGAAUUGGCGUCAUCGGAUCGAACAGGGCCAAAUUCUCUUCCUCAUUUCAGUAUUGGUGUUUAAUCUGUGGCUAACAAGGUACGCUCGAAUCCGUGGUGUGCUUUAGGAUCGGUGAUACGUGAUUUUCCCGAGCUUAUCUUUCGCAUUCGUUUUAGGGGUUCGAUUUAGUGUCGAAUCCAUUUUGUGGGGAUUCGUUAAUCCCAACAUUGGUAUCAGAGCCAGGUUCAUGUUUUCCCGACCCUUUUCAUGUUUUUUGAUUGAAUUUUCACGAAAGUAUUCGGCCGACACAAAUCGGGGCGAGAAAUCCCGACACCCGAGCAUAGUUUGUCAGUUUUUUCGAGUUUCUGUAAGUCGAAAUCGAUUUUUGAAAACAUAGGGUGAAAGGGCUCGUCAAGACGAGUCUGGAGACAUGUCGUGCGCCGUUGGGCGACGCCGCACGCGCCCACACGCGCGGCCAGAAGCCGCUGCGCAUGGGCGCCACGCGCCGGUCGACGAACCGGCACAUGCACGACGCCGACGGCGAACCGGCAUGCGUCAGUCUGACAUCAACAUGACGUCACCCAACGGUCGGUAACCGCUGGGAUGACGUCAUCGAUGACGUCAGCGUCGACGACGGUUGGCUGGGCGGUCACCGACCGACGACCAGACCCGCGACCCGACCCGACCCGACCCACGGACGCCUGGCACGCGCACGGCAUGUGCCAGCUGACGUCUGCGUGACGUCAGCCUGCGCACGCACGCGACACGUGCGGUCGGUUCGUCCGACCCGGCCCGACCGGCCCGACCGGUCCGACUGGUCCAUCCAGUCCGACCAGUUUGACGACCGACGAUCGACGACCUGACCGUUGACGGUUGACCGACGAUCGACAACCUGACUGUUGACGGUUGAUCGACGACCGAUGAACGUUGACCAUUGACCGUUGACCCGAAAAAAAAAAGAAAAAAAAAAGGAAUUUGUUUCUUUUUUCAAUUAUGUCUGUGUGGGUUAGAGGUAAUGCAUUUUUUUUAUUCUGCAUUUGUUGCAUGAAUCAUGAAAAAUUAUGUAUUUUCCAUUUUGUUUAUUGUGGAUUAUAAGUGAUCCAUUUUUUUGGUUUUGCAUUUGUUGCAGGAACUAUGAUGCGUUAUGCACGGAGACCUGCAAUCCCGAGAACGGACGAAGGAAAAGCAAGACUUAAAAGGCCGAUGUAAGAGUUAGCUGAUUAUCGGUGGCUUGAUGGUGAUUUAGUAUCACACAUGGUCAGGGUCAAUCAGAUGAUACAGGAAAUCAUCUGAAAUGGUUAUCUUAUGCCGGAUUUUGAGAAGGUGCCGGCUUUGAUGAACACUCUUCCACCUGAAUGGCAAGCAGUGUUAGAUCGGCUAUGGGAGGUCAACGUGGUCCCGGGUUAUAGGAGACUAGUGGAAGCUUUUGUAAGAGAGUACUAUAGGAUUGAGUUGGCCAAAGCUUCAACCCUUAGAUUGAGCACCACAUGGCGUAGAGUGAAUGCGCCUUGGAGGUGACAUAAAAGCUUUCCAAAAGUUUUUCCAUGGUUGGCAAAUGUGCCUACAAAUUUCUUAGAUAUUUUGACUGAUAGAUUAGAAGAGACAUUCCCUAUUUAUUUCUUAGAUUAGUUUGAGAUGUUUUUUAAGUGUGAAUAUCUCUUUCUAUGUUGAUAUUUCUUCUUUGAAUAUAUUACUUAGUGUAAUUGAUUGUUGUAUUAUGUGAAAGCAUUAUUAUUCUAUUGGAUGUUAGAUAUUAUUUGCUUUCUGUUAAUUGUUGAUUGCUAUGGGUAGUUAGCUAUGGGUAGUUCAUAGAAGUUUUUGUAACUUCAUAGAAUUUAUUUUGCAUAAGACAAUUAUAUUAAUAAUAGUUUUAAGUUAGGAUUUUUGGAGGAUGAUUGGAAACGUAGUAACCUUUUGAUUCUGAAACCUUACUUGAAAUUAUUCAUUGAUAUGAUGGGUCUGUGCAAAGUGGAUGCAUAAAUGAUAGGCAUUAAUUAUUCGUGCAUAUAUGUCUGAUGUGUUUAGAUCGAUGGUUUCAGCAACUAAGAACGUAAUUGCUGAUAUGAACGGCAACAAUUGUGAAAUAUUGAACAUGAAGAUUCAAUAUGUGCUGAAAAAGCAAGAAGCACUAGAAGCUCUUGACCAUGUUAUGGAAGAUCUUGAGGAUGUUGUGCGCCACCUUGAGCUAGUAGAGGACUGCUUAACGGCAUGUGAGCCGAGAAUAAAUAUUUGCAAUGCUGGUUCUAGCUCAGAAAGGGCUUUGAGCUCUAAGCGCAAGCGUAUUGAUUUGUUCAAUAUGUGGGAAUGCAAAGGAUCAAGUCCUUAUUGCAAGAAAUCAAGAGUUAACCAACACAAGAGAGGAAAACGUCCUCAAGUGAAGAAAAUGUCAAGGGUGAUGUGUUACAAUUGUGACAAGAAGGGUCACUAUGCUCGUAAUUGUUGUAAGCCGAAAAAGGUAAACACCUCUUGUACAUUUGAGAACUUUGCUUAUGUGUCAAGUUCUGCAUUAUUAACUGAAUCCAAUCCUUUGUGGACUGUAGAUUCAGGAGCAACAGACGAUGUAGCGAAGGAUAGAGGAUCCUUCGUGGAAUUCCGACGAGUACCAACUGGAACUAAGUGGAUCUAUGUGGGAUAUAACUCCAGAGAUGAAGUUAAAGGGAUUGGCACCUGCCAAUUGAACGUGCGUGAUGGACGCACCUUGUUCCUACAUGAAGUUCUAUAUGCUCCGGAGAUUCGUCAAAAUUUAAGUGUCUGUUUUUGGUGUUGGUUAAGCUUCUUAUUAGUGUGAACUUCCGUAAUAGCGAUGUAGAUUUGUAUUUGGAUACAAACUACUAUGGUUGUGGUCAUUUUCUGGAUGAUUUUAUUGUACUAAAUGUUGACUGUAGUGAUGUCAAUAUUUGUUAUUCCCUUGUUUCAUGUCUUCUACUUCAUAUGAUAAAGAUGUGAUUAUGUGGCAUGCUAGACUUGGCCAUAUUGGCCAACAUCGUAUGAAUAGACUGGCCAAAGAGGGCUUGUUGGGCAACAUUGAAAAAGGUGAUUUGCCAAUAUGUGAGCAUUGCCUAGUAGGGAAAACGACAAUGAAACCAUUUGGAAAAGGUAAAAGAGCUGAAUUUCCUCUGCAUUUAAUCCAUUCUAACGUCUAUGGUUCAAUGAAUGUGAGAGGAAGGCAUGGGCUAUUUAUUUCAUCACUUUUAUAGAUGAUUAUACUCGAUUCAGAUAUGUCUAUUUGAUUUCUCAUAAAUCUGAAGCAUUAAGUUGUUUCAAAAGGUUUAUGAACUUGGUAGAAAAUCAAUUAGACAAGAAAAUAAAAGCAUUGAGAUCCGAUCGAGGUCGAUAAUAUUUAUCUUAUGAGUUCAGAAAAUUAUGUGGUGAAAAAGGAAUAGAAAGACAGUUGUCUAUUCCAAAUACUCCUCAACAAAAUUGUGUUGCAGAGAGAAGAAACAGAACCCUACUGGAAAUGGUUAGGUCCACGAUGGUGCAUGCUAACUUACAUAUCACUUUUUGGAGUGAUACGUUGUUAAAUGCUGCAUAUAUACUUAACCAGGUGCCUUCCAAAUUAGUUAGUUCCACUCCAUAUGAGUUAUGGAUAGGUAGAAAACCGGACUUAAGUUUACUUAAGCCAUGGGGUUAUGCUGCCUAUACUCAUAAAUCCUCUCACAAGUUUGAGAAAUUGGGUCCCAGAUGAAAGGAUAGUAUUUUAAUGAGAUACUGCGAACACUCGAAAGGGUAUGUGUUCAUAGGUGAGCAGGAAAGUGGGAGUAUAACUGAAUUUUAAUCACGGGAUGUCACAUUCUUAGAGGAUGAAUUUCCUAAGAAGGGCGAAAUAAGGGAAGAUUGCCCCUAUUUGAAACCUUGGAUCAAGAUAAUGAUAUUAGUGGAGUUCGUCCAAGUGGGAGUAAUAUGAGAAGUGAUAAAUUGAAUUCAACUCAUUCUCAAUUGUAACCACAUGAUGAGACAAUGUUAUCAUUAUCUAAUCCUAGUGGGAGCAUAAUGGGGAAUGAUGUGCAAAGUGUACAAUCUCCCAUACGGCGAACAAGUCACCACUUUUAUGAUUGCUCCACAAGAUGAGGAUGAGCCAAGAAAUAUUAAUGAGACUCUAAAUUGCCCUAGUAAGGAAAAAUGGAUUUAUGCAAUGAAAGAGGAAAUGGAGUCAAUGAAAUCAAACCAAGUCUGGGAACUGGUUGAUCUUCCAAAAAGGACGCAGAGCUAUUGGGAACAAGUGGGUUCUCAAAAUAAAGCGAAAGGCUGAUGGCUCGAUAGAAAGGCAUAAGGCUCGCCUUGUGGCGAAGAGGUAUAAUCAACAUAAAAGAAUUGAUUAUGAAGAUAUAUUUUCUCCUGUAGUGAAAUUUACCUUGAUUCGCAUAAUUCUGGCAAUAGUGUUUAGUAUGGAUCUUGAGUUACAUCAAAUGGAUGUAAAGACUGCUCUCCUCAAUGGAGAAUUAGAGGAAGGAACAUAUAUGGAACAACCUGCUGGUUUCAUAGUGAAAUGCCAAGAAGAAAAUGUAUGUUGACUUUUGAGGUCGAUAUAUGGCCUUAAGCAGUCGUCAAGACAAUGGUAUAUACGUUUUCAUAAUGCCAUAAUGGCAUAUGAUUUUACAAUGAUUGAUGAGGAUCAUUGUGUAUAUAUAUCAAAAGAUCUUAUGAUCAACUUGUGAUCAUAUCAUUAUAUGUUAAUGAUAUACUAAUUGCCGGAAGCAAUAUGGAGCUUGUCAAUACUGUCAAUAGUUGGUUGUUUUCCAACUUUGAGAUGAAUGAUAUGGGAUUGUAAACCCAUAGACACUCUUAUUGCAAAAGGUGAAGGAUUGAGCCAUAGACUGUGUCCAAGGACUCCACAAGAGAAGGAACAAAUGAAACAUGUUCCUUAUGCUAGUGCUGUUGGGAGCUUGAUGUACGCUAUGAUGUGUACAAGACCUGACAUAUGUUUUGCAGAUGGAAUGGUGAGUAGAUACCAAUCUAACCCAGGUCCAGCACAUUGGAAGGCCAUUAAGAGAAUACUAAGGUAUCUAAAGGGACUGCUGAUUAUAUGCUGAGUUAUUAAGGAAAGGAUCUGCGUCUCUAAGGCUAUUCUGAUGCUAAUUGGAGAGGAGAUUUAGAUGAAAGAAAAUCUACCUCUGGGUUUGUUUUCUUACCAAAUAAUGGCACCAUAUGUUGGAGCAGUAGGAAACAAACGUGUAUGGCCUUGUCCACGAUGGAAGUUGAGUUCGUGGCAUUAUCAGCAGCAGUAUAAGAAAGUGUUUGGCUUAAGAGGUUAUUGGAUCAUUUAGGUGUUAUUGGAAGUGCUGCAGAUCCAUUGUUGGUUAAUAGUGAUAGCCAAGCAACAAAAGCAUACACCAAAGAUCCAAAAUAUCAUGGCAAGACCAAACCUAUAGAUACCAAGUAUAAAUUUUAUCAAAAAUAUGAUUGCACGAAAAGAUGUGAACUUACGGUACAUAUCUAUGCAUAGAAUGGUAGCAGAUCCUAUGACAAAGCCAAAACCUAGAGAUGUGUUUUAUGGCCAUGUAAAAUUUCUAAGAUUGCAUAGAGUCUGAUGUACUGGAUUGUAAUUUCCCUAAAGUGUUCACAUUUCAUGAAUUUGUGUUUUUCAUCAUUAAUGCCUAUGUAUCUUGUUUGAUCUUUAUGCAUCUUAAUGCUUAGUGUAUAUUUUAAGUUGAGAAGUAUGUCGGACAGAUUUAAGAUUAGCCUACCUCACACGGUAAUCGCUUCUAUUUUACUGUGUGGAUAAAUAGAGAUGAGNNNNNNNNNNNNNNNNNNNNNNNNNNNNNNNNNNNNNNNNNNNNNNNNNNNNNNNNNNNNNNNNNNNNNNNNNNNNNNNNNNNNNNNNNNNNNNNNNNNNCAAUUAUGACUGUCUUUGGGAUAAUUAUAAUUGUGGAUAUUAAAAGAGAUCAAAAGAGAUAUAAAAUGUGAUCGAUCGAUCUAGGAUACUGCAUACUAAAUCUACUCAGAGUGUGAUGUCCAUUAUGAGCUACUAUAUAUUCCUAACAAAUGUAUGGCAACGAGCUCUCAAAGUAUGCUGGUCACACGGAUUAUUCACCGGUAUGAAGUUGAAGAGAGGUAAAGAGAAUUCUGUUUAACCCACCAUGUGCGAGUGGGAGAUGAUGGUUUUGGGUGAUGGGCCUAAGUUGGCCCGUCCGCCCAUGUUGGGUCUAAAAGCCCGGCCUAAGGAAUUAGGGCCUGUGGAUGGAGGGACGUAUAAAAGGGAGGAGAGAGAGGGAGAACGUACCCUUUGAACAUUACGUACAUUCCUUCCUCCCUCUCUCCCUCCAAAAAGAACAGUAAGCACAAGGCCACUUUCUUCUCCCCUUCCAAGGCGAAUUGGCGUCAUCGGAUCGAACAGGGCCAAAUUCUCUUCCUCAUUUUAGCGUUGGUGUUUAAUCUGUGGCUAACAAAGUACGCUCGAAUCUGUGGUGUGCUUUAGGAUCGAUGAUACGUGAUUUUCCCGGGCUUAUCUUCCGCAUUCGUUUUAGGGGUUCGAUUUAGUGUCGAAUCCGUUUUUUGGGGAUCCAUUAAUCCCAACAGACGCCAACACCUGCCCCACCAAUUUUUCCUCUCGCCUCCACAAAGCAAGUCAAUCUUGCUGCCCUUCGGUCGGGUGUUGACCGAAUCGGCCAAUUCGGCUUCACGAGCAGAAGAUUGACGCCAGCAAGCUGCUUCUUCGUCCGCGUGCCUUCAGCCCGUCUGCAAGAGCAUUUCCAGCCCAAUCCCCAGCGAUUUGGGCCCGAUUCAGCAGACCCAAUUGAAUUCAUCCCACGGCCAGCAGCUUCUUUGGGCUGUAUCUUCAGCCCAUCUGCUCCUACAUUUCAGUUUCGGCCAAUCUUCCUUCAAGCCAACCCACGAAUUUCAACAGGCCCAAGCCCAAAAGUUUCUGCGGGCUUGCUAAGUUUCUUGGCCCGGUCCGAGUGUGCUUCGACGCUGCCGAAAUUUUGGAAUUCGGCCGCUGUCGCGUCGUUGUCACGGUGUUCCGGUCUUCGCUUUGUAAAGUGAGUUUUGCUCACUAAUGCCUUCUUAGUUUGCUAAUUACACUUAAAGGUUGAUUAGAUUUAAUUAAUUGCAAUUAGGUGGAUAGAUAAGAUUAAAGUAAUUAAAUUAAAGACUCAUUGAUGCAUGUUAAUUAAAUUGAUUGUGCAUUUAACUAGUAAACAUGUCUUAGUAUUUAUUGGAUGCUUCUUGGGAUUUUUCCCGUCCCUUAUCGGGUGUUAAUUAGGCAAUUCGGGCCUAGGUGGAAUUUUUUAGUAAUUAAAUAUUAAUCUUUGAAAUUAAUUAUUUAAUUAUUUAUUUCCCGGAAAUUCAACUGGGAUAGCCAGUGAUCGGGAUUUUAUGCUGAUGAUCGUGGUGUAGUCCGUUUAUUUAAUUGAGCUUCAUAUUAUGCUAAAUUGGAAUUAUUGUGUCUAUUUAUUUAAUUUUCGAAAUUAAUUAUUUAAUUAUUUAUUUUUCGAAAAUUCAACCGGGAUGGCCGGUGACCGGAAUUUCGUGCUGAUUGUCGUGGAGCAGUCCAUUUAUUUAUUUGAGCUUUAAUUCGUGUCGAAUUGUUUAAUGGUGCAUUUUUAAGUUAUAUUCUUAAAUAAUGCAAUUUUGGCUAUGUGAUUGAGAAAUUGGUCGGGUACCGGUUGUCAGUAUUGAAAGUGAGUUGGUAAAUCACCUGGAGAAUGCAUGUGGCCCGGUGAAUUGGAAUUUCAACUGGGAAAGACACGUGGCUCAGUGAUUAGAUAUGUCAUCUUGGUGAAAAGGUAGCUUUAGAGAAUGCACGUGACUCGGAGACUCGGUAUGUCUUCCUAGAGAAUGCACGUGACUCGGUGACAGAGUAUGGCAUCAUAGAAAGGGGUCGAGUGGGACCAUAAAGCCACUAAAUCUUGGAAAGUUCGGGUGGGACCAUAAAGCCACUAAAUCUUGAAAAGGUCGGGUGGGACCGUAAAGCCACUAGAUCUUGAGAGGGUCGGGUGGGACCAUAAAGCCACUAAAUCUUGAAAAGGUCGGGUGGGACCGUAAAGCCACUAGAUCUUGAGAAGGUCGGGUGGGACCGUAAAGCCACUAAAUCCAAGGAAUUGCUUGGUGUGGGAUGAAUGACCUAGAAAUGGUCCGACUGAUAUGAAAUCGACUAAGUCAAUCAGAUCGAUGCUUCGAUCUGUGAUGUGAUCGCUUGGGUGCCUAUUUGAUUUGUGCUAAUAUGCAGGUGGAAUCAGAGGCCAAAGUAAGUCCUCUAACUCAUGUUGUGCAUAGGCAACCCUAAAGUGUAUUAAUUUACUAAUCGGGUCUUAGUGUGGUAGAAUUUGCUAAGACAUAGUCUCAUCCCGGUUUGGGGAAAACAUUUCAGGACCCUGAUGAAGAACCUGAGGAUAAAGAAAUCGAAGAGGAGUAUCUGGAGGAGAACUCCGAGGAUGAUCCGGAGUAGGAUUCUGACGACUUUUGCUAUAGAAUCAAUUUGAGUAGAAACCAAUCGUUUUAGUAUGGCUUGUAUAUGAUCAUAAGGGUGUUGGUUUUCAGGUUCAAUUUCCUAGUCCUACUUGUAUAUCCCAUUGCUUUAUUGUCUGGGGAUUUUUAUAACUACUUCCGCGUGUGCUAUAAAAAAGAAAAGGGUUGGCGAUAUGUAGUCCUGGGAUAUCGCAUUUUAAAAUCGACCAAAAGUAAGGGAUGUCCGCGUGCCUGAGGAUCGGGGCGUGACAAAUAAAAUUUGGGAUAGGAUAUGACUUAUCCUAUCCUACGUUUGGUGCUCGCUCAGGAUAGGAUAAAGUUGGAUAUAAGGGGGGUAUAGGCAGGAUAAAAUUAUCCCAUGGGAGAGGUGGGAUAAAUGUGGAUAGGAUUUUUAACGUCCGUAAUAGGAAAGUUAUUUUUUUCGAAUAACAAACUUAUUAAAUUAACAAAAUUGAAAUUAUAUUUCAAUAUAAAUAUUAUUUGAAUUCUAAUUUAAGAAAUUAAAAAUUAAAAAUUAUUUUUGAUUAAUCUUAUUUUAAUUUAUAUAUUCAACUUUAAUUCUAUCUUAUAAUAAACAUUCAAUCUAUAAAUUAAAUAUUUAUAUUUAUUAUAUAUUUAGGUAUGUUAGUACAAUUUACUAUUUGAUAAAAUUUUAUUAAAGAAUGAUGAAAGGGGAAAAAAGAGAUAAUAAAGAAAAUAAUAUAAAAAAAGGAAAAAUAAAAUAAACUAAAAAUUAAAAUAAAUUAAGAAAUAGUAUUACGAGCGAUUUUCACCAUCUCCGUUUAUGAACAUUUAGGUUCAUUUGUAAUGAUAUCCGUUUAUAUAAAAAAAAUGUACAUGAUAUGAUAUGAAUAUAUCCGACUUUAAUACUGCGAUUCACCAAACAAUGGAUAUGAUAUAAAAAAAUCUCAGGAUUUCAUAUCCUAUCAUAUUCAGUCAUAUCCCAAUUAUAAAUCUGGAUGACCAAAUGUAGCCUAAAAGUCAAAGUUUCCUUGGAUUUGAUGCAUUUUCUGCGUGCACUUUCCAAGAAUGAAUUGAACAAAAAUAUACCUUUUAAGAGUACCAACAAAGGGAAAAUUCCAAAUAAGGACCUAAAAUACUAUCAUUUUCUUUUUUAAAUAAGAGCUUGAAGUUGACCUUAUUUCAAAUAAAUUCCCGAAGUGGUUAUCAUUGUUUCAAAUAAAGACCUAUUCUUGUCAGCUUGCCAGCUAGCAAAAUAUUCCGGCUGAUCAAGGAUAUUUUCGUUAAAACACAAGUUAAAUUUAAAUUAAAUUAGAAUGAAAAUUUUGAAAAAAAUAAAAAAGGAAAAACAUAGGGGGGAGGGCCCGCCUGUGUUUUCCUUUUUCUUAGUUUUUUUUGUGAAAAGAAAAAAAUAAAAAAAAUAAAAAAUUUUAAAAUUUUAAAAGAAGAAAUUGCCCUUUACAGCAGGUGAAUUCAAGCCAUUAUUUGAGAUUGAUAUGGAUACUUCAGGCUCUUAUUUAAAAAAAUGUCCACUUUAUGCCCUUAUUUAGAAUUUUCCCUACUAACAAAUCAUGAAUUUGCCCUACAAAAAGGCAUCAACUUUAAGGCUUGGGAUAAAUAUACAGGAACUUUUUAAAUGGUUCAAGAAAAGGCAAGGAUAGACCAAUCGAGGAAAAGGCAUGGACUUUUGGGUUUGGUGCAAAUCUAGCAGAAGUCUCUUAACACCUUUAAAAACCAAGAAUAUAACCCAAAAUGAGCUCAAAGUUUCCUUCGUAACUCCCGAAACUUCUUCGUAGUGGCUUUGUUACAUGCCUCAUUUCAUAGGGAACCUCAAAGUGGCUCUAUUUCAUUAUAUUUCAUGAGAUUCAUAGUUGCAUUACUUAUAGCUUCUUUGUUCAUAGACAAAGCUGAUUUGGAAUUGUUUUUCAUUCCAAAGCAUAACCUAUGUCCAUGUGCUUCAUAUUCACGUAGAGUUUGCUUUCAGAAAUAUAGCCAUCCCUACCCCUUCACGUCAAUCCCACAAGCCUCUUAUCCAUUCUCAUUCGACUGGAGGGGACACCAAAGGCCUCUGCCCUUCCAUCCCUUGGAUAGAUAGAGAGGGAGAGCAGAGCUUUUGGUUUUUUCAUGUUGUCAAAGAGUUGAACAAUGAAAAUAGAUGGCGAAUGCCUAAUCAAAUUGAUCGGGUCACGUAGGAACAAGGUUUAGAUACGCUCCCCUAACUGUGUUUGCUAUAUAAAUUCUUAGGCUAUGUUUGGUCAUUUGGAUGUUUAGUUAGGAUAGGAUUACGUAUGAUAGGAUGAUUAAUUUAGGAAUUUUGUAAUAUUCUAUUCACUAUGGUGAACCACAAUAAUAAUGGCGGAUGCUUUUAUAUUUUAUUUGGCCUAUUGUUUAGUAUAAAUGUCAAAUGUCAUAUCAAUACGAAUACAACUAAAUAUGCACAAAUGGAGAUGGUAAAAAUAUUUUGUGAUUAACUAUUAAAGAAACUACAAAUGCAUAAAUGGAGGUAACCUCCAUCGAUCAAUCCAUGAUUAACUAACGAUAGAAAUCUUAAAUAACAAAUGAGCUAUUAUAGCUUUCCAGAGCCACAGUUUCGACUAUGACGAGAAACGUAAACACGCUCCAACAACAUUGAUGAGUUAAAUUAGGAAGUGAAUGCCAAAUCUAGUAAGAGAGAGAAGACAUGAACAUUCUCCUUCCAAAAUUGCGAGAAGUAUAGUGUUUCAACUCUCUCGUAACUUCGUGAAACUUCAAAGUGAAUUACAAACCUAUGAAGGAAAAUGAGCUUUGAUUUUCUUGUUGCUUUCGUGGACUUUUGAUGUGAACUAGAGAGUUACAAGGGAAAAGAGCUCUGACUUUCUCACUAUUUUUGUGGAGCUUUAAUGGGAACUAAAGAACUAUGGAUGAGUCGUGAAGUUUCAACAUGAACUAGAGAUACAGAAAAAAAUGAGACGGAGAGGGUAGGGUUUUGUUCUAGAAAAGGCAUUGCCAUUAUCAUUUGAGAAUUUAAAAAAAAAAUCCUUUUAAGUUUAAAUUUGUUCAUUUAAAACAUUAGUCCUUCUUCUUCAUUUUUGUUUGUCUAUUUUUUUACUAGUUUCUCUCUUUUUUAUUUAUUUUUUAUAUCAGUCCAUCAUUCCUUAAUCAAAAUUGUACUAAAUAAUUUAUUAUGCUAACAUACCUAAAAUGUUUAAUAAAUAUACUAAAUAUAAUAUAUAUUAUAGAAUAGAAAGAAAUUUAAUUAUAUAAAUAAAUAAAAACGAAAAUUGUUGGUCUUUUUUGUUAUCAUAAAUUUUCUUUUUAUAUUUAGCAUUCAAUUAUUAUUUUAAUUUUAUUAAUUUAGGAAAUUUGUUAUUCAAGAAAAAUAGUUAUUAUACUAUGGAUAUUAGAAAUUCUAUUUACCUUUAUCCAACCUCCCUCAUGAGAUAUUUUUAUAUGGCUCAUAUCCCUUUAUAUACAACCUUAUCUUAUUUUGGGGAACCAAAUACAAAUUAGGAUAAAAUUUAUAUUAUUUUAAUUUUUAUCUUGACUAUCAAACGUAGCCUUAAUUUUUUUUUUUAUAAAGGAUUAGAUAGAAGACUUUGUUUCUUCCUUUAAUGAUGUUUGGAAUAUAAGUUCUUAAUUUGUGGUUGGUAUUGCCAGUCUACUAAUUUAAUAUGGGAACUUCCCAUUGUAAGGCAAGUCCAAUAGUGAAAAGUACAAAGAGACUUUGGGAAAAGGGAAAAGUGACAAUGUGGCACAAAAUUGAAACUUGAUCCAUAUAUAAAUGAAUUAAACAAAAGAUUUCAAAGCAAGACAUUUCAAAGGUCUAUAAAUCAUAAAAUUAACUAGGGUUGAGACGACUCAAGAAUGGUGUCCUUUUUUAGUCAUGAGGAACAAUGUCAUUUUAUCUUCCUAAUGUGUUUAUUGUUCACUUUCUCGUGCUAUUAGCUACAUUAAAUUUUAUGUUUGUCUUAUGUUCAAGAAACUUAACCAUGGAUAUUUUUGUUCACCAACUAAAAGUUUAUACAUCUUUUUGUGUCAUUUGAAAAGUUAUCAUCAAAUCAAACCUAUGACAUCAUACUUAUUUAUUUCAUCUCCGAUUUUUUUGUGAAAAAUGGCUUAAGAUACCGCUGACAGCAUAAACUCCCAUUACUUUUAAAAAUAGCUCCAGAGAAAUCGCUCUUUGCGAAUAGGGAUGCCAAUUUUGUGUAUUCUUCAAUCUCGAUAACAAUUGGAGACACCUUCCUGUAUUAGAUCUGAUAUAAGUUCAUGCUUAUGUGGUCCCACAUUUUAUCGAACAUGUGGUAAAGGGCUUGGUCAAAGAGAUAACGUGCAAUGUUAAGAGGGACAACUCGUUUCAAAUCUUCACAAUCAGUAACAACAAGAGCUUAGAUCAUCAAAACAGAUUUGACACUGAUCGAUUUCCACACAAGCGCGUCUGUAGAUUUCGUACUUUAUUUAUCUCAAGAAAUAGCCGAGAACAGAGCACGUUCAAAUCGACCAAGAGAAGGAUGUUUACACGUAGUGGUUUCCGGCCGAACAUGAGCAAAGUGCCCACCAGAGAAAGUUUCUAAGAAUGGAAUCAGUGAUAGAGACAACGGAAGCUGCAAUUCAAGCUCCUCGUAAAAUGUGCCCGAGAACAGGGUAGAAGAGAGUUUGUCAAAAUAUGUCUAAAAUUUGAGCCAAUGAACGAAAGCGACCCAAGAUAAAUUAACGUAAAGUCCGAAAGUUGAAUAUUUGUUGUCUUCCACCAUGGAAAUCAAAAUUUCCUGUUCGGCAUUGGAGUCUAAAGUGAUACUUUCAACGUAAAAAGAAAAGUCAAUAUUGGAGUCCAAGUAGGAAGAGGAAACAAAUUUCCUAUUUUCAAUUCAGAUUAUUCAAUGCGUGCGUUCUUAGGGCGUUUGCUUUUCUGACGGGCAGAGCGCUUAUAUAUUUAAAUAUGUACUCGUGGGCUGCUCACGAAGAAUUGGUGAAGCGACUUUGACCGAGUGCUUGGUGUGGGUUUUCUGUUGAUUUUCUUCGUAAAAUUACACUAAUAAUUUUAGUGUUGAAGACGAUUAAAUUUUGGGAUAAGAUUUGUGAAUUCCUUUAAGAUUGAGAGAUUAAUCGUGUAAAAUAGUGGGGUUAAAUUCUGUUUGAAUUUAUUGGAUGUAAUUAAGAGUUGGGAAAUAUUGAAGUUAUUUAAUUGAUUCGUGUGAUUGUAAUAUUUUUUAUAUUGCUUAAUGUAUAAUAGCAUUUUUUGUUGUCCAUGUGGAUGUAGGUCACUUCGAUUGAAUCACAUAAACCGGCAUCCAAUUUAUUUUCUUAUUCUAUUUAAUUGUUGUUUGACUGCUUUUUUUUUUUUUUUUUUGCAACAAUUGGUAUUAGCAUUAGAUUUAACUGAGCUAAGCAAAUCAAUGGAGAUGAUGCAGAAAUGGUGAGAAUAGACAGUUUGAUGGGAGGAUGUUAGUUUCUAGAAGAUGUAGAUUGAGGAUUACCAAUACCAAAGAAAUCUACACUUACUCCUAUUUGGGAAGAAGACAGAGUUGAUGAAGCCAGCUGAUUGAGAAUCACUGGAUAGACAAGCUUUGGAUGUUAGUCAGUUGACGUUGGCUCGUAAUGUUGCGUUUAACAUCUUUAAAAAAAAGUCUAUUGUGGGUUGAUGAAAGCUCUCUUAGACAUACGAGAAGCCUUUUUCAACUAACAAGGUCUAUUUGAUACAAUGCCUAUUUAACUUAAAGAUGGGUGAUCGUGCGUUAAUUGCUUAUUAUAUAAAUGAAUUCGAUGUGAUUGUUACUUGGUUGAAGUAAGUUGAUAUUGACUUUGAUGAUGAGGUGUUUGUUUUGAUUCUAUUAUUUUAAUUGCUUAAUAGUUCGAAUACUAUUGUCACUGUUGUUAGUAAUCCCUCUAGGGCAAGAAGCUUGACAUUUGAUAAGGUUCAUGACUUGCUUCCGAGUGAAGAUAUUCGUAGGAGAGAAUUUAAUGAACCUACAUAUACUAUUUCAGUAGGUGAAAGUAGAGCAACUACUAGUAAUCGUAUUUAUAGAAGUAGUAUAAAUUUGAUCAUAUGUAGUCAAUCUACAACUAGUGGUGUCGGCUGUUGGAGUUAUGGCAAGAAGGGAUUACCUUAAGCUGAAGAAUGAGAAGGGCAAGGGAAUUCGAGUUUAAUCUACAAAUAAUGUUGUGAUAGUAGCUUACCACAAUUCAAAUAAUACUGAUUAUGUCUUAUCUAUCAUUAUGCUUAGGCACAAGUAUGAUGCUAUUGUCAUGAUUAGAUAGUUGAGAGCUUUGAUAGAAAAUGAUACAAAAAAGACAAUUAAGUAUGUACGAACUGAUCGUAGAGUUUUGCUUGGUGUGUCAAACAAAUGUUACGGAAGGGUUGAGAAUGCGACAUAGAUCCUCAUAAAGGGAUUUCUGAGGUCAAACUUGCGGUUUACCGAUUUGACAUUUGUUUCUGACUUUCGGCAGGAGGUCCACAUGUGGCUCUUUCUCAUGGGCGGCAGCAUGAGAUCCAGAGGGAUAAUCAAUACCAGGAACCGGAGUGUCUUUAGUCUAUCGUCCGAUUCCAACGGCGAUAUAUCUUCACCGUAGCUUUAUGACAACGAUCCAGCGGCAGGCCUCACGGUGCUAUGGACUCUGUCAGUGGCUUUCUUUGCCUGCAACAAUGCCAAAUGUCAAGCAGCAACCAUAUAUCGGAUAGUACUUUCCAUGGUAAAAACGUUCCAUUUAUCUAUUCACUGUAAUUUACCUCUUUCUCCCAAUCGGUACAUCCUGUUAGGAUCGCAAGUAACAAUGCUUGCGCAAAGAGUGCAACUAUAAUCCCCGUCCAGAGGCCCUACAGCUCGAUACGAAGAAAAAGCAAUUAUAGGAAUAUCGGAUUGACUACCAGUUACGAUGAAAGGAAAGGAUGCAGCAGAAUGGUAAGGUAAAUACCUUUCCACCAAAGUGACAGACAAAAGCUAGGAAUACGGCCACUGGAAUACCCAGCAAAUAGUAGGCACCCAAAUUGAUGACAGCUCCAAUCUUUUGCCAUCCACAUCCUCUUGCAAUUCCUUAAAAAAUGUAACAUAUAGCAUAAAAAAAGUCGAAGUACAAAUCGGUUUAACUUGAACAUAUUUGAGAUUUGACGCAUUCUCCAUCUGCCCUCCCUUAUUGUCAGAAUAAGUUGUUAAAGUUAAACUAGGUCAGGUGCACCAUUAAACUGUAAUUAUAAGCAAACUUCGUGCAUACCUGAAAGCACGGACUGAAUGCCAUCGAUAAGAUGGGAAGUUGCGAUUAGUACCAACAUAUCUCCCACAUAGUUCACUAUUUCUUCUUCUGUACUAUAGAGGUAGCCCCACGCCCUUCGACAGAAGAUCAUGAGAGUACCAGCAAGCAAGCCUUCCGUGGCGACCAUCAUUAAGGAAACAUAAAUUGCCAAACGAGCUGCUCGUGGUCUUCCAGCACCCAAUUCAUUUGAAACUCUCGUGCUGCCAAAAAUAAGGCCAAGAAAGGGUGAGACUGUGGAAUAGCUACAUCGUCUGCAGGAUCCACUGAAUUAAAUAAAGGUUAACCAGUUAAGAUUACCUUAUUGAACCACUGAGUCCUAGAGGUAUCAUGAAAACCAAGGCGCAGGUAUUCAGGCUGAAACAAGCACAGGAUACUAAGUUCACAUUGUUUAAAAAUGAUAACAACUGGUGCCAAGAGGUUAGCAACUUUUUUUGCCUCUUGUUGACACAAAGUACUGAUGCA